Molecule: long non-coding RNA, 153544 nt
Filed under: Gossypium barbadense (sea-island cotton)
Lineage: Eukaryota; Viridiplantae; Streptophyta; Magnoliopsida; Malvales; Malvaceae
Description: long non-coding RNA (GBAR_LNC020350)
Rfam family: MIR7486 microRNA precursor family (bases 50855-50941)
Source: RNAcentral
AUGCUUUGGAAUCAUUUGAGCAUCAAGAAUAUGAACAUAUAAAGUAGUUAGACAAGGCAAAUUGUUUAAUUCGUCAAGGCUUGCAUUUUUCCUCUCAGUUUCAACUACUCCUUCCUUUUCCCAUUCAACAAAGCUUCCACCCAUAUAUAAUUCUUCUAAUUUAGACAAACUUGAUAAGACAUUUGGUGGGAUGAUUUCGAGUUCUGUACACCAACUCAAAUCUAACAACCUUAAUUGAGUCAAUUGUGCCAUCGCCAUAGGUAGUUCUUUGAUACCUGACUCAGAAAGGUCGAGGAUUUCUAAAUUCUUGCGCUCUCCAAGGAUGGUUAUGUCAUCAACUGCACAUUUUUUUAGACACAACAUGCGAAGGUCCGUGAGGUGAAUAAUUGAUUCAGGUAGGGAUGGAAACUGCAUUCCGAACAAAUCUAAGACUUUGGAGGAAUUUUAACUGCACGGGCCAUAUGGAAGAAGGAAAGACCUGAACACUCCAUCUCCUUAGGAAGGUUAGCUAUAAUCUGAGGACAACGUAAGCUGAUCACACUCCACCUAUUCAUUUUCUCCUUAUCGGACCACUCCUUUGGAACAUGAUCUCUCAAAACAAGCAUACGAUAGUCCUUCAAUGCAAUAGCUAAAGCAGCAUCCCAAACAACAUCAUGGAUAUCAAAGCGCUCAUCAUCAUAACUAUCAAGCAACAAGGCAGACGCUUUGAGAUUAGCCACAACCGUCAAUACUUUAUUUCUAGCUUCUUCCAUAGUGUGGACACCCUCAAAUAAACCCAAACCUAGAGUAUAUCUUACCAAGUCCUCAACAGACCAUUAUGGCCUAUUACACUGCAAAGCAAGAAAGUCAGCUUAACUUCCUCGCUUUCUAAAUAAUUAAAACUCCACUCUAUAGCUGAACGUGCCGCAGUUAUCCCCGUGAAGUUGCUUGACGAAGGCUUCUCCAGUUCUCGUAAAGCAUUCUUCCAUUCAAACAACCUUUUGUUUCUCAAAGCCCCUGCAACUGUCGCAAUGGCUAUUGGCAAUCCUGCACAUUUUUUGGCUACCUCCAUAGCUAUAGGCUUCAAAUCGCAACUUUCAUCACAGUUGCCAGCCAUCUUCUUGAACAGGUCCCAGGCUUCCUUUUCAUUUAAAAACCCAAUGGGAAAAUUUUUCUGAGCAUCCAUCCCAUUUACUAAAACAUUGAGCUCUCUAGAAGUUAACAGCAACUUGCAGCCCUUGUGUUCAUCUCCCAAAGGAAUCCCUACUUCCUCAAUAUCUAACUUUUCCCAAAUAUCAUCCAACACAACCAGAAUCCUCUUCUCCUUCAUUCUUUCUCGUAGUCGAAAUGCCUUUCCAACCAUACUCUGUUCCUCAAAUUUCAAGCCCAAGAAGUCUGCAAUUUGGUUCUGAAUCUUCUCAAUAUCGAUGGCUUGAGUUACGGUUGCUAUGACAACCGAAUCAAACAACUUGCCCUUGACUUUCUAGCGAUUUCUUUGACCAGCGUUGUUUUUCCAAUCUAAAUUUAACUAAAUAAAAAUAAAAGUCUCUUUAUUUUCAUGCCCCUCUUUUUCUAGCUCCUACUCCUUAGUACUUUUGUGCCUUAAUAAUUCAACUUUCUUUGGUGCUAUAGGGGUAUGGAGGGAAAAAUAAUAAUUCAAUUUUCUUUCACUUCACAUGGAGGUCACCAAAACGUUAAUCCAAAUUGCGGAGCUAUACCAUUUUGUACAUAAAAGACUUGCUAGCUUGGAAUGGGUAAAAAUAAUGUGAGAGUAACUUUAAAUAAUUAUAUAAAACAUCCUUUUUUUUUUUAUUUCAAAGAUUUUCUUUUUUGAAAUUUACUUACCUAUGAAAUUAAAAUAAAAAACAUCUUUUUGAUAUUGAACAAAUUGGUCACUCUAAAAGAAAUACAGUAAUUUAAUCAUUAUCAAUUUUGAAAGUAACCACGAACAAUUAAUCAAGCACUAAUAGUUUCUGUUAAUUAUACAUAAUUUUGAUUAGUAUAAAAACAAAUUUAAUCCUUGAUGAGUAUACAUUUUGCGUAAAUGCUGAUAGAAUGUGUAAUUAUUACGGGUUAUAUAUGUUAAAUCAUGAUCAAUUAACUGACGAAAUGUGUAAAUGUUGUGAGUUAAAUUUGUUAAAUCAAUAAUAAAUUGAUAGAAUGUGUAAACUUUAAGGGCUAAAUUUAUCAUUAUACCAAGAAAAUUAUGUAUAAUUGAUGAAAAAUAUUAACGUUGUGAUUAAUUGUCCUUAAUUUAUCACUUUUAAAAAUAAAAAUAAUUGAAUAACUCUUAUAUUUUUAAAAAUACCAAUUUUUUCAAUAUUGAAAUUGAAAAAGAUUAGAGACACAUGUUUUAAUAUAUUUAUUCAAAUUGGAGUAAUUUUGAAAUCAAUUACCAUUCUUCAUUUUAAUAUAUUUCAUUAUUAGUUGCUUGUGUUCCUUUUUUUAUGGUUUAUGCAUGCAUUGUGUUUGGUAUUUUUUUUUCAACAAUGAGCAACAUAGACAACAAAUAAUGAAAUAUUAAGCACAUAAUACAAAUCCUGAAUAUGAAUUAUAAAACGGAUAUAAAAAAUACAAAUAAAAAUUAAGACUAGACUCAGCCACGAAUGAGAAAACUACCUUUAAGGGAAAGCUGUCGCAUGAGAUGGCUUGGAACAUUUGCUAGAGCAUAUUUUGGAACGAUUUCAAACUGUUCCGAGGAGGUUGGAGGGUCUUGGGCUCUUCACCUUUCGUAACAAAUAUAAAUCUGCCAUUAUCGAAGUGCAUUAAUCCUUUUGUUUCUUUUGCUAGCAAUUUGGGGAGAGGCUCCUACAAGGCCAUCAACUCUUAUCGCAACAAAUUGAUUAGUGUAUCAGAUUCUCAUCAAUUAAAGGGUGUUGCUUGGAGCAAAGCAUCAAAACACCUUAAGAACCAAUCCAUAACCAAAUGGACUGUUACACUAAUAAACCAUAAACUUCAUGGAUUGGAACACUUAGUUAAUUAUGGAUGAAAGCUGGCUUGGAAAUUCAUACUUGAGACCCGCCAACCUUGCAACGUAUAAGCAAGACAGUCAACCGUAAAAAUCAGAGGAUCAACAACCAAAUGGCAACAAUCAGUAAUGCCUACAACUGAAAAUGUAAAACUUGAUCAGAAUCCACGUAACAUUAUUCUUCCAUCAGGCAAAUACCAACAACCCAUUGAUUCAAUUUCAGCCGUCUUUUCAGAAUCAGCCGUAUCAUUAAUAGAUAGCUGCCUACUUUUAUCCCUCAUUAGGGAAUAAUAUAUAUAUAUUAUAUUUGUGAAGAUACUUGAUAGCUUUAAGCUGACAUUGAUAUGGUAACCAUCAAAAGUUGGCAAAUCCUUAAAACAGGGGUCAACCUUACUAGUAAAAGUUUACAUGUUUGUAGCCCAAUGCCAUGCAUGAUGCCCUUGAAGUUCAAUUUUGAGGGUAUAAUGUGAAAUGGAACAGUUCAAAUAGUAGUUUUACAAAAACUGAAAUAACCUUUCACAUUUUACCAAAAGUUGCAGCCUCGUACUUCAGCAAAGCAACUCAACCUACAAUGAAAAGGGCGUCUCUAUGGUCGCUUUAUAAAGCAUUAUUUAAGCUAUGAUGAAAAUAGAAGAGUCAAUUACCAUUUGUUUUGAAUUCAAACGAAAUUGAGCUUUUCGCAUAAGCACCAAACAUAUUUCCUUAUUCCAGCUUGGGCGACCGAUCAGUAACCUCCGUCACCUCAGAAUUUUGCACAUUCUGUGCAUCAUCAUAUCAAACCAAGAAUUGUUCAAUUAACUAUGUAUGUAUGUAUGUAAAAACACAUGAACUUAAAUCCUUUAAAUGAUUUGUACCAUUUCAUCGAACAUAUGUUUUAUGGUAGUGUUAAGGUCGCCUUCCCACUGCAGUUCACCUUCCUCAUCUCUUGUUAAGUGCAUUUGUUCCAGCCUUGGUGUGCUUAAAUCUCCUUGGCAGAAAUUCCUCAUUUGGGGGCACUUUGUCACCAUCACCAUUAGCAAGACUGGGAAUUCCAGCGAGUAAUGGGCCAAGGAAAAGCUUGCUAGACAUGGCAGACAACUUAGUUCCAAAUACUUCAGUUUGGGAAAUACAAUGCCCCCUUGUAUUUCUUCAGCCUCACACGCUAUGAUUUCCUCCAUCAUCUCACAAUCAUCUAUGCUCAAUCUUUCCAGUAGCCUCAGGCACUUAGCCGUUGAGCAUGCGAUUAAAUUGAUGAACCCAUCGCAUCUUGAAACUUUCAGUGUUGUUAGAUUUUUGAAAGACAGCAAAGAUGGUUCAAAAGUCUUUAACGUCAACUCUGGAAGUUGAGACAAACUUAAUUCCUUUAGCUGAUAGAAUGCUGAUGUAUGCCUUUCCUGGUCGCUGAGUCCUUCAGAUUGUACUAUUUGACAAAUGGAAGCAUUGUCUAUAACAAGCUUAUGAAGCUUUGGUAGUGACCGAAUAAAGGAAUACGGAAGAGUAGUGGAUGUCUCAGGAAAGAAUUGGAGAUUAAGAUGCUUAAGGUUUUGGAAACACUGCAAUGAGAGUUGUCCAUCACAUAUCCCCUUCACCAUAUCAUUCGUCUUCAGUGUUAGUUCUUCUAAUACAGGGAAAGUGUCCUGGAUGGCAACGAAUAUAUUAAACAUCGAUCAAAGAGUUUUCAAUUAGUAAGAACUAGACUACAAAAUGAAUAUAAUUUCCGUUUUCUUUCUCAUAAAUUUAAAAGGAAGGUGAGAAUAUUAGUUAUUUCAAAAGGCAUUUUAUAGGUAAUCUCAAGUAAUGAACAUGGAGUAUGAAACUGUUAGUGAGCUCACCUCAUUGACGGAAAACAAGGGUUGUUGGCUUGAGAUUCCAUCCUGACACUCAGGACAUUGUGGAGUAAAUAUCUGUACUUUGGGGCAUUCAAUAAUGUCCAUUUUUUUCAAUGAAGGCCACCGGGUGGUAUGCAUCCUAGAGUAGAAACUUUUCAAUCUCGGCACCUUAUCCAAUCUGAGUUUUACUAGUUUGGGAAAUACAAACUUGGUCGUCUCUGUUUCAGCCAUAAUAGAUUGAGCAGCUGAUGUUGACUGUGACUCAUCAGCAAUGACUCCUUGCAGCUCAAUAAUUUGUUCUAAGGAAUCACAAUUCUGAAUCCGCAACUUCUUCAAACUAGGGAAAACAACCUGCUAAAUCAUUUCAUUAGGUUAAUAACUGAAAUAUGCAUGGAAAAGAAAGAACUUGAAAUGAGUAAGAUCAAUUGAAGUAACAUAAAUUAAAAGGAGAACCCGUAAAGAAUUGACCUUUUCAUUGAGGAGAGAUGAGUUAUGAACCUCCAAGUUACUAGCUUGUACAUGUUGGCCAAUUUCAGGUUCAUCUUCGGAUACACAUUUAGUGAUGAAUGUUUUUAGCAAUGGACAAUUUGUUAGUUCUAAAUCUGUCAAACAUUGGAAUUCAAAGUAAUUUUCAAAGCACAAACUUGUGAGUUUGGGAAGGUCUUCUAGCCAGAGCAUUUCUAGUUCAGAGAAAAACAUCUGAUUCCUCCCUUGAUGUUCCUCAACCAAUCCAUCCGUGAAUAUUACUUGUUCCAUCAUAUUACGGUCCAAAAUUGCAAGGUCUCGGAGUUGCACAAGAUCUUUUACCAAGAAAGACGGGAACAGGUAUUUCAAAUUGUGACACCUCUCCACUUGCAAGGUUUUUAGGCAUCCGACAGAUGGGGAGGAUGGGUGGUGCCAUAUCUCAUGAAUGUUAACGAAGGACAAUUCCAGAUGCUGCAAACGAGGAAUGACAACCUGUUGACAUAAAUUUCAUUAUAAGAUAACAUCAUAACUCUUCCUUCGUUACUUGUAAAUAUAAUCAAAAUGAGUAGAUGAGUAUAAAGAUUUUUAAACUGAUAAGUUAAGGUUAAUAUUCAAACAUCAACUCACUUGACAGUUAAAGUGAUAAAUAUAGCUAGGAGACGUGAACCCUUUUUUUUAGAUGAAAUGUUCAGCAGCAUAAAUCUAACCUAAAGCAAAAUUUGUUUUUUUUUUUGUUAAAUAAAAAAGCCUUUUUUCUAUAAAACCUCGAGCUUUCAUAUUUGCUAUAAUGGUUGUUGAAUGAUUAUUAUUAAUGCAAUUCGACAGGGGAAUAUGCAUGUUUUUAAUUAAGUUGGACUCACAUAUUUAUGUAGUUUCCAUUAAUGAUUUACAUUAAUUACUUAAAAUAAGUUUUUUAAUGAGUUAACUUCAAAAAUGUUAAGCAUAAUUACCUAUUUAAUCCUUUAAUUUUAUAUAAAAUAAAUCAUUUUAGCUCUCUAUUUAAUUUUUCGUUUCUUUUUAUUUCUUGAAUUUGUAUUAUUUAUUAAAUCAUUCUAAAUGGAUAGAAAAAUCAACAUUUGUUAACUUUACUGAUGUGGUAUGCAUUGGAUUCCCAUAUAGAUACCAUGUCAACAAUUAUUUUUAAUCAUUAACUUGGCAUGCAAAUAGAUUGUUAUGUCAUAAAAAUGAAAAUUCAAUGCCCGAAAGAGGUGAAAACUUAAAUGGAGAGUUUUUUUUUUUUUUUUUUUUUUUGUAAAGUUGGAGAGUCAUUUUAUUGGAAGAGGGAUGAGCAUUGAAGGUCAUUGUCUGCUAUGUCAAGGGAACCAAGAAACAAGAGAUCAUCUUUUUGCAGACUGUAUGUUUGCCAAAACUGUAUGGGGCAGCGUUUUACGGCUUUGUAAUAUUCAAAGAGAAGUUAGGGGGAUGGAAUCAUGAGAUCGGAUGGCUUUGCACAAGACUUAAAAGGCAAAGCUGUAUAUUAGGAUUUUAGCUUUUGAAAAGUGCUUUUCAACUUUGUCGUGAGCAAGAAAGAAAUAGAAGACAGUUUAAAGGUUUGAAUAGUAGUUAGCAGAACAUUUCUAGAAGUACUAAGGAUAUUGUAGGUUUAAGGCUUAGAGGUAAAAAGAUUAAUUGUAGUGACACUGUAAAUAUUAAACUUUGUACAGCUUGGAGUACAGUAGGGAGUAAAUAUAGUGCUAAGUACAGACUUUUUCUCCCUAAAGUUGUAUUGAAUGUUUUUGUAGCAGUUUUACUAGUUUCUUGGAUAAAUAAUGUAAAAGAACAUUAAGUAAAAUCACAACACAUACAGAGAAGAGGAGAAUUUAGAAGACGAGAAUGAUGAUGACUUAACAUCAAACAACUUUAAAAAAGUUUUAUUUAUUAGUAUUUUACUUUAAGUUUUUCCUUAAAUUCUUAUUUUAUAUAUUUAUUUAUACUUUAAACUCCAUUUUUUUUAAAAUAUUAUCUUAUUUAUUAAUAUUUUUAUGAAUUUUAUUGUAUUAAAUUUUGACAACUCGUAGUACGUGACAUUAAUACUAGUAUGUCUAUAUAGACCAGACACACUCAUGAAUUGAUCAAUAAAAAGAAAAUGUGAAAUAAAUUGUGCAGAUAAAUAUUGAAUACCCAACUUACCUUAUUGCUGAAAAAAGUUGCAGUGUUAUCAUAGAUGCCCCCUUCGCCAACCACGCUUUCACUUGCAUCACCACUCUCUCUUGAAACUGAGGAAGAAAAUGCAGUCAUUUUUGGACACUCCUCUAUCGUGAUAUCACUCAACUCUGGAAAUUCAAGAGCUUGACUUCCCAAAUGGAAAUUUGUCAAGUUGGAACACGACUCAAUUUUUAAGGAGAGUAGCGAAAGAAAUGUAAAUUUAUGUGUCAUGGCUUCCUCCUCCUCCCUAACUACUUGUUCCAUUGAACUGCAUUCUUCCACUUCUAUCCUUCGUAGUAGAUUGAGGCUCAAAAGCAUAGACGGAGUAAAUAUGUACUUCAAGCUGCUACAUUUAUAAAAAUUCAGCGAAACAAGGUUUCUGCCCAAAAUUUCUUGAGGGUUCCUAAUCCAUAUUUCUAUUGACUUGGGAAAUGUGUCAGAGAUGUUCAAAUAUUUUCCGUCAUAGAAUCCAUCCUAAAAAAAAUAUGAUAUUAUUCCACUAGAUAGUAAGCAUGAAUAGAAAAUGCAAACAAUAACAAAAUAACUAAAAUUAAUUGUAUUAGGACGGGAAGAAGCCAGCUAGUUUUAUAAACUUAUUAACUUUGUACCUUUUCCGUGUAGCGCUGUCGUAUGGUGGUAUUCAGGUCACUUGCCCAACUCCAUUUCUCACAGUAACGCGACUGUUUUACUCUUUGUAAUUGUGGGGUGCUUAAAACUCCCUCUGAAAAGAUCUUUAACCUAGGACACCGUUCCACAAUUAAAUCUUCCAAACAAGGAAAGUUGAAGGUGUAAUUCCCUGGACAAAAGCUUGUGAGGCUCUGUAAAUAGCUUAGUUCUAAACAUUUCAAUUUACUCACAACUAUUGUCUGAUGGUAGUCUCCCUCGUUUCCCACUAUUUCUGUCAUUUCGGUGCAGCACUCUACCCUCAUUGUCCUUAAUUGCACGCAAUUCUUAAUUACUGAGGGUGUAACUAAGUUUGUCAUCAUUUCGCAAAAAGACACAUUCAAAGUUGUGAGAUUUUGUAAAGAAGAUGAGGAGGCUCUAAUAUUUAUCAAAUCAUCACAUCCCCUAACUGUGAGUGUUCGGAGAUUAGAAAGAAUAUGGUCAAGCUCCGAACCUUUCCUCCAUAUAUGGUUAAGAUUUAUGGCAUUUUCCAAUUCCAUAUUUCUAAUUGGCGAGAGAGUCCCAGCGUCUCCUUUACAAGGGACUGUGUAUUUGAAAUUAAAAUCACAAAGCUUAAAACUAUCCAGAUUGCAGAAUCUUCGGACGAAAGGAAAUAUAGAAGAUCGAGUGCCCCCUCUCACAACUAAAACUUUAAUAUCUUGAAACAAAGCCGAUGGAAACUGGUCCAUAUCACAAAAAUCUAUUAACUCAAGUUCCUCUAAUUUGGGAAUCACCUUGGAAACCAAUUAAACAUAAACAAGUUAGGCACAAUUUUGAUCUAUAUGCUUAGAUUAAGUCCCAACAAAAUCAAUAUUAAAGCAAACGAAACAAAAUAGAAUGCUUUAAAGUUUAGGGACUAAUUUAAAAUAAAUGUUAUAAUUUGGGAUAUCUAGUAUAAUUAACUCUUAAAAUUUUAACUUUUUAUUGAAUGGUUAUUUUUCCUCUGGAGUGAAUGAAGGGUUGGGAUUUAUUUUGUACCCAUUACUUAAAUGUAGGGUAAAUUACAACAAUACUCACUCAAGUAAUAGAAUAUAUUUAUUUUGAUUACUUGAAAACAAAUAAAAUCUCAAUUUAACCACUAUUGUUAAAGAAGUUUAAUAUUUUAAUCGCAAUGGUGCUAAGUCCCUAAAAGGAUGCUAAAGUAGUAUUUUUCUUAUCCUCGAAACUUAAAUUAUCUAUCAAUUUAGACUCGAUUCUUAAAGAUCAAGAGUAGCCAUCAAUAUUUACCUGUUACGUCUAUUCAAUCUUUCUUUUAAAAAUUUUAAAUAUAUAUAUGUAACAAAAGUUUUUAAAAAUACAUAAAAAAUCAAAAAAUCAAAAAAUUAUAUCAAAUUGUUACGUCUAUUCAAUCUUGCUUUUAAAAAUUUUAAAAACAUAUAUGUAACAAAAGUUUUUAAAAAUACAAAAAAUUAUAUCAAAUUGAGAUGCAUGUGACGGUGAUUUAAAUUAUAAUAUCAACCUGAAAUACAUGUGACAGAGUUUAAAUCAUAAAAAGAAAUAUAGUUGUAAUGAUAUACAUACCUCUUCAACCAACAAAACUGGUUGCUCAUUUCCUUGGAUUAAUCUAAGAUGUUCCGAAGCCAGUAUCUUUAGCAAAGAAGAGCAAUCUGUUUUCAAUUUUUUCAACAUUGGCCAGACUAUUGUAUGUUGCCCUUCAUAGAAACAUUUGAGGUUUUUUAGGGAUGUAACCUCAAGGGAAGACACUUGCGGAAAUUCAAACCUCACAGGCUGCUCCUCCACUCCUUCCCCUUUCGAUACAAUCUUCUCCACUCCACAAUUAGUGAUGCAUAAAUCUUCAAGUUGUGGAAGAUCUUUGGCUAUUGACACUGGAAAUAGAUUUUUCAGACUCCCACAUCCCUCAACUCUUAUUUUCAUCCUUUCCAACCUAGGAAAUGCAGCCUAUACAAUAUAUAAUUCAUGCCCAUACAAAAGUUAGCUCAUAUAAUGCAGGCAAAAUAACAAGGACAAAGCAGCUGAUUUUUUUAGAGUGUAAGAGUAAUGAAAUAAAUCACCUUCUCAUUAAAAAGUGUAUGCAUGCCGGACUGCGUACUAGUUUGACUAAUGAAUUCUUUUAAUUUUGGGCAACCCUCAAUCUCUAGCUUUUUCAACAAUGGGAACUCGAUAUUAUAAUUUCCUGAGCAAAAGAAAAUGAGGUUUGGAAGUCCUACUAUAUGCAGGGAGUUUAACCGAGGGAAACAAAUCACAUCUUUCCUUUCUUCUUCAAUUGUCUCUGUAAGUAUUAUGUCCCUUAAGCCCUGGCAAUCCUUUAUCUCAAAGCAUUCGAGCUGCACCAGACUUCUAGCGAGAGAAGGUGAUAACAGAUGCUCCAACUUACCACAUCCUUCGAUGAUCAAGCUCCUCAAAUUCGUAAUCCAAUGACAUGCCUGGUUGUGCCAUAUUAUUUUGGUGUUAAUUGCAAGCUUUCCAAGUGAUGGAAAACAAAUUGCACAUAUUUACACAAUUAUUUUUAUUCUUUAAAAUCUAAAAAGAGAGGAAAGGGAAAGAUAGAAUGUAACAUAAUUUGGAAAUAUGAUUUUAAACUUUAAAGACAAUUUUAGUUGGAAUUGUUGGUUCCAAUUUCAUUUUCAGAAUUAAAAAAAUUUGUUAGGCGGUCAGUUUGGAUUAGAAAUUAAAUUUCCAUUUGUUUUGAGUUUGAAAUUUAUUUUUGAACCUGAAAACCAUUAUACAAUAUUAUUUAUUUUUAUUAUUAGAAGUAUUACUAACUAAAAGUUGUAUAAGAAAUAACGAAUAAAAGCAAACAGAUACCUGUUUAUUGAAAAGUGAUAAGGGCUCGGAAAUAAUGGAACACCUUUCGUCUUGAGAGCAAAAGCUAAUGAGUUGCGGUAGAUUUUCAAGUGUUAUGGAGCAUAAUUCAGAAACCCCAAUUUCAUUCAUUGUAAUAUACUGUACAUGCAUACCAUUUUCGAUAUGAAGUCUCUUUAAAUGUGGAAGAUCUUUCCCAUUAUUUAACUCCACAAGUACGUUCUUGACACCUUCAAGUCCCUCUAGGUACAAAGCUUCAGUCUUUAUCAGCAACAUUUUCAACCCAUUGUCCAAAUGAAUGUUUGUAUAUAACUUGAGCCUCAAUGUUCUCAAACAUUCAUGAUUUUGGUACCAUACAAACCUAUUAUAAUCACCUACACGAAUAACGUAUUUGUCCAAAGUUUCAACGAAUCGAUGCUUUGGAAUCAUUUGGGCAUCAGGGAUAUGAACAUCUAAAGUAGUUAGACAAGGCAAAUUGUUUAAUUCGUCAAGGCUUGCAUUUUUUUUCUCAUUUUCAGCUACUCCUUCCUUUUCCCAUUCAACAAAGCUUCCACCCAUAUAUAAUUCUUUUAAUUCAGAUAAACUUGAUAAGACAUUUGGUGAGAUGAUUUCGAGUUCUCUACACCGACUCAAAUCUAACAACCUUAAUUGAGUCAAUUGUGCCAUCGCCAUAGGUAGUUCUUUGAUACCUGACUCAGAAAGGUCGAGGAUUUCUAAAUUCUUGAGCUCUCCUAUGAUGGUUAUGUCAUCAACUGCACAUUUUUUUAGACACAACAUGCGAAGGUCUGUGAGGUGAAUAAUUGAUUUAGGUAGGGAUGAAAACUGAAUUCUGAACAAAUCUAAGACUUUGAGGCCUUUGGUUUGUUUGAAAAAAUUGGGAGGAAUUUUAACUGCGCCGGCCAUAUGGAAGAAGGAAAGACCUGAACACUCCAUCUCCUUAGGAAGGUUAGCUAUAAUCUGAGGACAACGUAAGCUGAUCAGACUCCAGCUAUUUAUUUUCUCCUUAUCGGACCACUCCUUUGGAACAUGAUCUCUCAAAACAAGCAUACGGUAGUCCUUCAAUGCAAUAGCUAAAGCAGCAUCCCAAACAACAUCAUGGAUAUCAAAGCGCUCAUCAUUAUAACUAUCAAGCAACAAGGAAGACGCUUUGAGAUUAGCCACAACCGUCAAUACUUUAUUUCUAGCUUCUUCCAUAGUGUAGACACCGUCAAAUAAACCCAAACCUAGAGUAUAUCUUACCAAGUCCUCAACGAGACCAUUAUGGCCUAUUACACUGCAAAGCAAGAAAGUCAGCUUAACUUCCUCGCUUUCUAAAUAAUUAAAACUCCACUCUAUAGCUGAAUAUGCAGCAUUUAUCCCCGUGAAGUUGCUUGACGAAGGCCUCUCCAGUUCUCGUAAAGCAUUCUUCCAUUCAAACAAUCUUUUGUUUCUCAAAGCCCCUGCAACUGUCGCAAUGGCUAUUGGCAAUCCUGCACAUUUUUUGGCUACCUCCAUAGCUAUAGGCUUCAAAUCGCAACUUUCAACACAGUCGCCAGCCAUCUUCUUGAACAGGUCCCAGGCUUCCUUUUCAUUUAAAACCCCGAUGGGAAAAUUUUUCUGAGCAUCCAUCCCAUUUAAUAAAACAUUGAGUUCUCUAGAAGUUAACAGCAACUUGCAUCCCUUGUGUCCAUCUCCCAAAGGAAUCCCAACUUCCUCAAUAUCUAACUUUUCCCAAAUAUCAUCCAACACAACCAGAAUCCUCUUCCCCAUCAAUCUUUCUCGUAGUCGAAAUGCCUUUCCAACCAUACUCUGUUCCUCAAAUUUCAAGCCCAAGAAGUCUGCAAUUUGGUUCUGAAUCUUCUCAAUAUCGAUGGCUUGAGUUACGGUUGCUAUUACAACCGAAUCAAACAACUUGCCCUUGACCUUUCUAGCGAUUUCUUUGACCACCGUUGUUUUUCCAAUCCCGCCCAUACCAUGCACCCCAACAACGCUGACGCUAUCAUCUUUUAGUGCCUCCAUUAUUCCGUUCAAAAUCGACAUUCUUGACUCGAAUUCCUCAUAACCUUUAACUGGUGCAACCACGAUACCUUGCGAAGCUGCACGAUAGGAAACCCUUUCAAACUUGCCAUGUUCAAGUAGCUCGGCAACAGCCUUUGCCUCCUCUUCAGCUUUCAGGCUAAGCUUGUAACGGGUCCUGAAAUUAGGACACAAACCAAUGAAACACUUUUUCUUUGCUUUUUCUUCAUCUUGCAUCACUUUCUCUACUUGUUCAGGGAUCUUCCUGUCCACUGCCGACAUCCAGUUGUUAACAUCACGUUCGAUCUCUUCGCCGUUUCGUUGAGCUGCAUCAACAGAAUGCUGCACUCUGUCCCUUGCAUCUUUCAGCUUCUCAGCUUGGUCCUUGAGGGUCUCAACAUAUUGCUGAUGAUUGGAAAGGUAUUUGACAUGGUUUUCGAUAGGAGAGAUCGUAUACUCUACAGCUUUAGCUACAAUAGAGCCAACGAUGGCACCAACAAUCUCCAUCGAGAGAGCAAACUGAAUAACCACAGCGACAACAAAGACCAAAACUUGAAUUAUCUUAUAUAUAUAGUUUUUAAAAAGAACUCAUUUUCAUAAUCUUAAAUAUAUAAGUAUGAGAUUAAUGUUUUACUUUAUGACAAUUAAAGUAAAGUAAUUUUGUUAAUAGAUAAUCUUUUAUUAAUAUAGACAUAUAUCUAACUUUAUUUUUUUAAUAAUUAUCUUUUUUUGAAGGAGUAGGUUUUUUUUUUGGCUAAGCAUUGAAGGAAUAAUUUGUCUUUUACACUUUGAAUAAAUUUUACAACACAUCUUUUAAAAAAUAGUUUUCUAAUUAUUAUUUAAAUUAUUUUCAACUAAUUCAAAAUUAUACCUAUUUCUUAUAUUUUGAUUAAACAGGAGAUUGUUUGGUGUAAUGUUAUUUAUUGUACAAGCAGUAUUAAGAUAUUUAAUUUUUUAAAAUAUUUUACUAUACUUCUAAAAGACAUUUUAUCAACCUCAUGACUUUACUUAUGGAAUUUAAAAACUUCAAUAAUAAAUUAUGAUAAAUCAUUUAAUACACUGCCAAUAGAAUUUUUAGACUCUACUAGCAGGACCAAGGGAUUGAUAAGUAUUUUAUAAGGGUAUAAUAAAAUAUUUAAAGGAAAGAGAGACAUUUCAAUUUUUUAAGGUUACUUGUGGAAUAAAAAAAGUAUUAAAUCCUCACCCUGUUUAUAUUAAUAUUUUUAAUUUAGUUUUUAAUCUUAAUUCAUAUUUUAAAUAUUAUGUUAUAACAAAAUGAAAAUUUAUUAAUAGUAAGGGGAAUGAUCUACUUACGCAAUGUAAAAAAUUAAAGUAAUUUUACACACUUCCGUAAUUAUUUAUAUUAUUAAUAUUUUAAUGAUACAAUCAUUAUAUUAUAUGGUAUAUUCAUGUAGAUCAUAAAUUUCAAUUUUGAUUUAAAUUUAAAACUUCUAACUAUUUAAUUUGUUGCACAUUUUUUAAUUUAGUUAAUUUUUUAAAAAAUAGAAAAUAAUAAAGUAUAUUAAAUGUUUCAAUUUAAAAAAAUAUAUUUACUCCUUAAAUAGUAAUAAUAUCUUCAAAUUUUAAACUACUUGUGCAACUUGCACUAAAUCAUAUUCAAAAAGUAUUUUGGUAAUUUUUUUAUUAAAAUUAAAUAUAUUAACCGCUACCAACAGUGACUAAUUCUCUCGUUACAGGAAUUUUCUGAAAACUAUCAAAGUAUUUUGUUAAUUUAGUUCAAACCAAUUAUAUAUAAAAUAUAUAUUUAAUGUUUGAAUAUUUAAUUUGUUUUUUAAAUGAUUUUUCAUUUAAUUUUAGUACCCUAUCAAACCAUUUUUCCAACCGUUCACCAUAAAAUAGACUUGAUCAUGAGUCGAAUUACAAAGUCCAUCCAAAACAUAAAGAGUUUAGGUAAUAAUAUAAACCCAAAAAAUAAGCUUCGAACAAAAAAAAGAUUCGCGUUUGAAAUAGGCCGAGGCUCAGACAAGAUUUUUUUAGUUUGGACCUGACCCGAAUUUAACUAUUUUUUUGCUGCUGUUUACUGCUUUUAUGUUGUUGUUUUUUACUGUUAUGUUGUUAUUUUGCUACUGUUUUACUCUUAUAUUACUACUAUUUUGCUACUAUUAUUUAGAUAUUGUAUAGCUCUUAUUUUAUUUUUAAUUUUGCUAUUAUUUUAGAAAUAUUUAUUUGCUAAGUUGCAACUAUAUUAGUGUUAUUUAAGUAUAAAAUUUUUAUUUAACAUAUUUCAAUUUAUUGAGAAACAUUUAUUUUAAUAUUUUUAGAGUAUUUCAUGUAUUAUAUUUUUAAAAUUUAUUUUUAUAUAAAAAAUAAUCUAAAAAAUUUAAUAUGGAUGGAUUUAAAUUUAGUAUUUUUUUUAUCUGGGUUGAACUUAAGUAAAAUUUUAUUCCCAUUUUUUUCGUUGAGCCGAGAACGAACCUGAAAAACAAAUCUAAAAUUUUUAUAUUGACCCAACCAUGAUUAGAUCUACUACAAAUCCUCUUCUACAUGAUAAGUCAGUACUCAACCUCUUAAUAACCAUAUUCCAGUAUGUGGAAGGCACAAGUUGUUGAUAGAUCACAAACAAAAGUGCUUAUGCAGCUUUCCUCAUAGUCACCCCUUCUUUCCCUUUUUUCUACGAACUUUAAAGAGUGUUUUCCACAAUCUUUUUAAUGGAUUUUUACUGAAAAUAUGUUUUCUUCUUAAUUCUGAAUUUUUAUGUAACUUUAAAAAGUAAAGAUUAAAUUAAGGCUAAAAAAUUUAUUUGAUCUUUUUAUAUUUGUCAGGUCAACAACACUAAGUGUAAAUUUGAAGGGAAAGAUGAAGAUUUUAAAUCCAAAAAGUACAGGACUCAAAAUCUUAAAGCUAAAUAGAUUUAAAGCAUAAAAGAAGUCCAUUUUCAGGGUUAAAUCUGCCUGCCUAAGCUUAUUUAUACGGACAAGUAUUUCAAAAGAGUAAGAGCAAAGCAGAUGGCGUACCUUUUGGCUAUGAUCAAUAACUGAUAAUUUUCCCCCUUCUUAACAGAGCAAAGGCAGAAAGUAAUGAUUUGAGAAAGAUGACUUCAUCUUACUUUAAAAGAAAGGAAGUCUCGUGGAAACAGCUGAGUAAUGACUAGCCAACCACCAUAAAAUGUCGUAUACCAAAACAUAUUUUAAUGGGAAAAUAUUCGCUUUUACCAACUAAGCAAAGUGGUAUUUUCCAUUUUUAGUUUUGAGAUGGAAAGAAAAUGAGAUUAAGUUUAAUUAUAGGAUUAGUAAAUGACAAUUACAUCAUUAUUAAUUUCAUGGUUUUCUUAUGACCCCAAUUUAUAUAUAUAUUUUAUGGACAUAUAAAUAUUUCAUAUGUUUGCACUAACUCGGAUGAAUUGGUGCAAAUAUAUACUUGUUUUUGACAGAAAUGUUGGCAAUCAUAAAACAUAUAAAUGAUUUUUUACUCUAAUUAUCUCUAUUUACAACUCUAAACUAAAUAAAAUAAAUUAUAUCUAUUCAAUUGAUUGAUUAAAUAUAAUUUAUAUCUAUAUAAAAAAAUUCUAUAUAAUUUAGAUGUAAAAUAUACUAAAAUAGAAAAUAAACUAGAAAAUAAAAAAGGAGUCGAUAAUAUUAGUAAUAUUAUAUUACUAUAUUAAUAUAGAAUACUACAUAUGGAUCCAUACGUCGUUACAUUCCAUUUAGGAUUAGGCUGGGCAUAAUCGGGCCUCCUUUUUACAUAUCUCUUAUUAUUUAAGACCUUAUUCACCUCUUUUCUUUUUUUCUUUUAUUGAAUUGAGAACUUGUUAGAGGAAUCAUUACUGCAAGACAUAGAGGGAAGGUCAUAGGAGUUUAUAUUGUAAAAUUGAUUUUCGGUGAAAUGAAAAAGACAUGUUCGGUCCCUAAAAUAAGUUAUUAAAUAAAUGAAUUAUUAAGUAUCCAAGUAGUAAAUAAAGCUCUUGAAAGGUUGAGUGAAUGAGUUGAUCCAAUUGCAUGAGUAGUUUCAUGUAAGGUCAUUUUCCAAUUUUCCAAUUUUCCAAUUUUUUUUUUGUUUUUUUGCUUUUUCUUUCUUCAACCAAGUAUUCCUCAUAUAAUAUCUAUUCCUUUUGGAAAUUUUAUCUAAAAAGGAGUGGCUAGAAUCUACGAAAGCACACCACUGCCAACGUAGAAAAAGAAAUGCAAUAAUAAAGGAUGUUUUCAAGGCUUACAUAGUCAUAGGAGCUGACAGUAUCCGGUCCCUAAAAUGAAAAAAAAUUCAUGUAUAAUAUUUAUAAUUUAUAAUAUUUUAAAUUAAUAAAAGUAAAAUUAUACUUUGUUCUUCUUUAAAAUGAUAAAAAUUUUGAUUUAAUUCUUUAAAUAUUAUAAAAACUAUUAAAUUAAUUAAAUUGUACAUUUUUACAUUAAUUCCGAUAUCUCAAAAAUAUUUUUUGACUCCGCCACUGUCAAUAUCAUCUUUGAGAGAUACGCUAUUAAUUAAUUUAUAUGUAUGUCAUUAAUAAUUAUAAAAAAUUGACAUAUAUAAAUAUCUUUAAUAACUUUUAAAAUUAAUUGUUGUAAUUACAUCUUGAUCAUUUUUAAAAUUAAAUACUCAAAUAUUAAUUAAUUUUAUUUUUAUUAAAUUAAAAUAUCAAUUAUUCUUAUUGGUUGCAUUUUAAUUCAAGAAAAACUAAAAAAAAAAAACCUAUUUGGUUUUCAUUCCACGUUUCCGCAAGUCACAAUAAAGGAUUUUUUUCAUUAAUAAUAUAAAAUAAAUAAAUAAAUACAGGAUAGGAUAAAAAGAUUAAUAUUUAUGAGAAUAGUCAAAUGAAAUAGUGAAAUACCGGUGCCGGCUAACCAAUCAACGGCAUCACUUUAUUUAAAAAAAUUUGGGUGCAGCUUGAGCACUCGGCCUUACCAGGCUAAAAUGUGAUGAUCUAAAAAUUCCAGGGACCUUAUCUGUAAAUUUUCCGUUUUAAUUGACAGUCGAAAAAUCUUCAUGGGUGCCGCCUGACAGUAUGACAGCACCAAAUUAAAAAGGGUAAAUUCCACCCUAAACCCCCUAUUUAUUAUUAAAUUUUAUUCUCUUUUAACACCAAAAAGAAAUUGGCCUCUUAUCAAUUAGUCUAAAUUUUUUUUUUACUAAAAAGUAUUUUUUUCAAGUAAGUUGAUUCCAACUCGAAGUAAAUUUUAUUUAUUUUUAAAAAAAAAAUCACAUUAUGUUUGACAUUACAAUUAACUGUAUUUAUAGUAGUUUUCUUUUUCUCUCAUUAUAUUUGGAAACUAUAAAUUUAACUAAUAAUUAUAAUUUAUACAUAAUAAGAUUUUUUCUAAAGCUUUUAUAAUUAUAAUUUUAUACUGUGUACGUAAAUCAAAUGGAUAAUAAAAAUAAAUAUAUAUAUUUAAAAUAAAUAAAAUUUAUUUCUAAAUGGAAACGGUUUACUUACAAAAAUAUUUUUUGGUAAAAAAAAUUUAGACUAAUUUAUAAAAGGCCAAUCUAUUUUUUGGUGUUAAAGAAAAAUACUAAAUAAUAAUAAAUAAGGGGGAUUUAGGGUGCAAUUUAUCCUUUUAGAUCAUCACAUUUUAGUCUGGUGUCGCCGAUUGGUCAGAAAACACCGAUAUUUCACUAUUUCAUUUACCUAUUCUUGUAAAUAUUAUUCCCUUUAACCUAUUCUAGUAUUUAUUUAUUUAUUUAUUUUAUAUUAUUAAUGUAAAAAAACCCCACAAUAAAAUGUUCAUAAUAAUUAAUUCUCAAUAUGUAAUAUUGAUUUUCAAAUAUAAUGUUGACUAUAUUUAAUAAAAAUUUAAAAAUAAAAUAAUGUGAUUGAUUUCAUGUUUGAUAUUAUUUCACUUUUAAAACUUUAAAUUUUGAAGAUAUUAUUUGCUAAUUUAUGGUUAAUAUUAAAAUUUUAUUCCUUCAAUUCUCUAUAAACACAUAAAAAUAUCUCUUAUAUAUCACCAAUUUAAUUUAUAACUUUAAACAACUUCAAAUGUCAAAUUUACUAACAUUUUUUAUUCCAUAUUUUUAAUUUAUCAAUGUAUCUAUUAGAGCGAACCUAAUAAUUAACCCUCCACAUUCUAUAGGCCCAUUAACGGGAUAGAUGUUGGUAACGAGUUUUAAAGUUACUCCAUAUCCAGGACAAUGAUCGAACCAUUAACCACCGAUUAAAGUAGAAAAGGCUCUUGCCAUCUCAAGUGUAUAAUAGUUGACAAAGACGUGAAAAAUUGGUAAUUUUUAGUUUUACGAAAUCAACCUUGUGUACACUUUAUAAUUUAUUCUUUUGCCAUUUUACAUUUAAUAGCUAAUCUAUAUUUUAUUUAACAUAUAUUCCCAACAAAAAUUGUUCAACCUAAUUAUUGUAUACUCAAUAUUUUUACUUUUUUAUUAAGAUAAUGAUAUGCAGGGCGAAGUCAAAAAAAAUUUUGGGACAAAAUUAAAUUGUAUAUUUUUAUGAUAAUAAAAAUACAAGUUUACCAUUUUAAUAGUUUAUAUCUUUAUAAUUUUUAAAAGGAUAAAUCAAUUUUUUAUCAAUUUUAGGGGAGGAAAGUGCAAUUUUACCAUUACUAAUUUAAAAUUUUAUAAAUUAUAAAAGACUUAAAUGGAAAAUAUUCUAUUUUAGAGGACUAGGGCUUCGCCACUAAUCAUGUCUAUUUUUCAUUAAAUUAUUUACCUAAACUUUAAAACAUUUCUGUAAAUUUUUGUGUCUUUCAUUAGAUUGUGUGCAAUAGAAACCACCUCUACUCAAUUUAAUCAGUCCAAUUGGUUUAAUUGAAUAAACUAUUAAAAAUUAAAAAUUAUAUAUUUUAAAAAAUCAACUCGGUCGUUUGUUCAACCGGUUCGUGAAUCAACUAGUCUAAAUACUUAUUUUAAAUUGAGACAAUCUAAACUCAAAAUUAUCCAAAUUCUAAAUACUCAAACUUAAACCGGAUCAAAUAGGUGGUAAUCCUAAUCCGAAGAGAGACCGAUAUGAACCCAUUUGUCACUAGUACAUAGACGAUCCUUUGCUUAGAGAAGGAUAUUAGGGAAUGACAAAGUCUAUUCCCUUUCUGCAUGAAAUUAUGGUCCCAAUGUAAACGUUGUGUUUUAUUAGCAAAUAAAGGGUUAGAAAAAACGAGGUAAGUAUUGAAGAAUAAUACAUCGACUCUCUUUACAAUAAUGUACAUUAUUUGUAAGGCAACUAAAUGAAUACAUAGGGAAAAUGUUACUGAAAACGAAAAAAAAAUCAAUUACUGAAAAAUAAUGUAUAACCUCAUAGGUCAGAAUUUGAUUCUUAUUAUAACCACCAAUGCCAAUUUCCUUAAAAUGAAAAAAAAUUUCAUUUAGGCUCCUUUAUAAAUUAUAAAAUUUUAAAUUAAUAAUUGUAAAAUUAUAUAUAGACUAUUAAAAUGGUAAAAUUACAUUUUUACUAUCGUAAAAAUAUUCAAUUUAAUUUCAACCCUCAAAAUUAAUAUUUUUUUGACUUCACUACUAAUAAUCAACUUAGAUACUACAUUAAGCUGAAUGAGAAUUAUAUAAAAAUUAAAAUCAUUUAUUAAAUGAGGAUGUAGGCAUGUUGUUAAAAAGAUAGCCUCUCAUUGUUUUGCAUUGGAUUGAUUAUUUAUUUGUAUUAAAUUAUAAAGUAAAAGAUUUAAAGAUUAAAAUAUACUCGAAGUUUUUACAUACUUCGUACAUUUGAAACUUAGUUUCUUUAUUUUUACUUUCAAAAUUAAAAUUUAUCAAUACAUAAUCAAAGUCGUUAAUCCCACAUCAGAAAGAAAAAGAAUCCUAAAUAAAUAAUCGAGUGCACUGCAACAUAUCUUUUAGGAAGAAGGUAAUUAUCGAAAUACAUAUAUACAUUUGUGAUGGGUCUUGGGCUAUAGCUAGAUCUAUAAUAGAAUAAUUCAAAAUUAGAAAAUUUCAGAUCAUUUCAUCCAAAUCAGUUUCAAAUUUAAGUUUGAAAUUAUUUGAAGUUUAAAUUUUCUAAUAAGAUCAUAUCGAGUUUAUUUGAUCAAAGAUUUAUGUUCAAGUUGAUAAGGUUUUCAAAUCCAAAAAUCACAGAUCUAAUUGCCUUUGAUUCACAAUUUUUGAAGAUAAAAAAGGAAAAAAAAAAACUCAUAACAGUAUAAGUUGUUUAUAUUAAUUUAAAGGUUGAAUAACAUGGGGCUAUAUAUAUAUCUAUUAGUAUUUAACUUGGAAAAUAAUUUUAAAAUCUAAAAUGAUAUUAAAAAGUAUUGAAAAUAAAGUUGUUGGGAAUGACAAUCACAAAUCUCGAAAUGAUUAGUUUUCAUGAUAUAUAAAAAGCGAAUAUAAACAGUAAAAUGAUUAGUGAUUGAUAGUAAAGGAUAGGUAAGCUUACCGUGAAAAUAGUCGGAUUGAGAUCACGGAAUUCGCUUUCAUUUUCGCUUAUGAAUCUUCAGUUGCCCGAUUACGUACUGAAUGAUUACUUUCAUGGUGGCUUUCCUUCCUUCCUUUCUGUUCCAAAUCUGAAAAAUAAAAGAAUAAUAAAAGGGGAUCACUAAUGGCUGUUCUUUACCCCCAUACAUGCCUAGCCUAGUUAUGUUGCUAUAGGCAUAGCUAGUAUGCAGAAGGAAAAGGGCCGAAAGGGGCACUACAAAUGCGAAAGCAGAGCUAUGUACGGAGGGGGACUGGAUUAACACCUAAUCCAUUUGGUGCCAAACAUCAUCUGAGAGAGCAACAUUUGAAUUGAAACACAAAAUUGUGCUCAAGUGGGUCCUUUAUACUAGUGACCUUAGGUGCCUGCUGCACCUUUCUUGCAUCCAAUUGCACAACCCGUCAAUUCAACCCCAAUAUAUCAACUCUCUCUCUCUCUACCCCUCUCUCUUCAUUGCUCACUUGUGCCUGUAUCUGCAGAUAUAUGUGGCUAUAUCCAUUAACACAUUUGUAUCCAAAUUCAUGAUGAAACUCAGGAUUAAUACGUUACAUAUGUUAAUAAGAACAUAUUUUGCAGUGCUCCUAGCAUAGUCUUGUUGUAAGAUAAGUACCAUGUUUCACUGCUAGGAAGUUUUAUGAAGUAAGUAUUAUCUUGGGAAAAUCUUCAUCAAAAGGAAUCGAACCAUAAAAAUUGUAAUAGGUGUUGGACAAAACACGUUAGCGAACAAAAUAAUUAAUUAUAAAUAAACACAUAUGAAAUAAAAAAUAAAUAGAAUGAUUUAUAAUUAAUUUAUCAAAUACAAAAAUCAAAUAAAAAGUUGAAAUAAAGUAGAAUCGAGAUUUUACGAAAAGUUGAGGCCUGUGAAACACAGUUUCCUUAAGGUAAAUUUGGCCACUCCUACAGUACUUGGAGAAACGUUGGUCGAAUGUCUCCCAGGAUACAACAACAACAAUGAUCAAAGUAGUAGCACCUCUACAACGAUCAAGCAAACAAACUUUUUCUUUUUCUAUCACUGGAAUAUUGUAAAAAUACGGAGAGGCAAAAGAAGAGUUUUGAAAUGAACAGAAUUUCAGUAUAGGAAAUUAUUUGAAUGUGUGUGUAAUCCUCCAGAAUACACAGCAUUUUAUAGGCAUUUAGGAUAGUAAAAAAAUUUAGAAAUAAAUAUAAAAUCUGCCAUUAAGGAAAAGUCAAAUUAGAUUUAAAAAUUAAGGAAAUAAACAUAAAAAUCAAUUUGAUUUAAAAUUUAAAUCAAAUUAGAUACUGUCUAUAUAUAAGCAGAUUAUAUCUGCUGAGGAAAAAUAAAUUCUUGUUGGGCUUGCUUAAAAUAUCAGUAAGCCCAAUUAAGCUUGACCGGUCCAAACAUUUCGCAUUGCCCACGUCGUGCGAGUGCACCCCAAACCUUUCAAGUUUAGACCUAUACUUUCUACACACGAGACAAAGUUACAAACUUAAUCAUUCAAUUAUCUUUUAAGAGGGUUCACAUAUAUAAACCCAUCUCACACUUUUGUAUUUAACCCAUAUGAAUCCAAGCCUUUAUUUUUCCUCAACAAUAUUUCCAAGUAGCUUACUUUGAGCAUCAAUUUCUCAUUCAUCUCAACCAUUUUGAGCAUAUGAUAUAUCGUUGUAAAGGUCUCAUAGAGUAGAAUAUGAAACUAUAAUUUAUGAUUCAACUCUCCACUUUUACCUAUAGAGAAUAUGCCUUAAAGUUCCCAUAAAAAUUCAAUUUUUCGAACAACAGGAGUGUCUGCAUUUGUACUUUCAUAAUGGUAAACAAUCAUCGGUAUUCAUGCAUUGCGGGGGGGCCCGGGGGGGGGGGUUAAAAAAAGUUAAGGUAUGCAUUGUUUUUAGUUCAGACUGUAAAAAUUUUAUUGGCCGCAACAAUUGGUUACUUAUAGUAAUGUUAGGGGGGUCUCUUGGAAAUUCUGUGACCACACAAGGGUACCAUACUGCAAAACUUUGCUACCAUUACCAGUAUCAAAUGUGCAUCCCCCCACUUAAACAGCUCUACCUUCUUUCUUUUCUUAUUUUUUUUUUCCCUUUUGAUUUCUUUCUUGUGGUCCUCACAUUUGGCAAUUAUUGGUUCAAACAAGAUAAGCUCAUCACCAUCGUUCCUUAUUAAAAAACAAGUUUCAGUUUCGUCAGUUUUUAUUUUUUUCCCUUUACUGAUAUUUUUCAAAACCUACACAUUGCCUUGUUGUCAAUGACAAAUAUUUUGUUUGUUUAAUAAUGGUGGAUGGUGGCAUUAGAAUAUUACUGACUCGCAUGCUUGUUUUUCUGCGCUGACCUUAACUUGGUUAAAGUCUUAAUCCACUAACAAUGUGGAUACUACAAAGUUUUUUAGGUGCUUUAAAGAACUAAACUUUUAGUUUAACUAGUGAUCUUCUCAAUAAUAUAUAUAUACAACAUUUAUUUAAGGAGAAGGGUUUUAUACAACAUUUAUUUGUUUGUUUAUAGCAUAACUACAUCUACAUCUGAUGUAAUAUUAAACAGUUUAAAUUAUAAUGAUAUUGACACAAAAUUGAAGUUUGCAUACUUUUCUGAUAUAUAUACUGUGAUGAGCCCUGCAAUAUGGAGUAAACGAUCUUAAAGAUCAAUGUUCAAGCCUUGUUGCCUAAAUUCUUUGCCUAAAUUUUAUAAUUGAUUGAAUAAGUGUUGAUCCACUAUAAACUCAUCUGUUGAAGCAAAAAAAAAAAAAAAAAAAAUUAAAAAACUACAAAAAGACAUGUAUAUGCUGAAAUGACUAAGCCCAUUUUGCCAUCAAAGACAUAAAUCCAGCACCAAGUAAAACUGCAACAUAUGACCAAGCCUGGAGCUUCAUAUUUGUUUGAAGCUUAGGGCCCAGAAAAUCAGCUGCAAGGAGAUCAACCAGUGCCAUGUAGUUCAGCAACCCUGCUGAGCAAGCAUUAAGUAGUCCCACCACCAUAAGUGAAGUUGGACUCGUCUCACUGUAAACCUUGGACAAACCAUUUCCCAGAACUAUUCCAAGUGGCGUUGUGGCUGAAAAAAAGAAUACCAUGAUUGCUUUCAUUUUUAUCUCAUAUUCAGCCUGCACAUAUCAAACAUAAUGUUAAUCAAUAUUGUACACUAAAUGGAUGUUUGAAUGAGAAAAUAGUACAAUGUUGGGGGUUACCUGCAGUAUGCAUCCACCAAGUCCCAUCCCCUCAAACAUUUGAUGGAAGCAAAGGGCAGCAAUGAGUGAUCGAAUGGUGCAUUGAUUGCCAGAGGCUCCCAUUGCAAGACCAAUCACCACUGAAUGAACUACAAUUCCCAAAUCUAAUACCUACAUUUAGGAAAUAUAUAAUGUAAAGACUUGAAAAGCAAAACCAUCGAAUUUGAGGAUUCAAACAUGUAUAUAUACCUGAGCAAUAACUCGAUGCCUUAACAAUUGUGAUGAUACGUCGUCAUUCAUCUCAAGUGAAUGGCUAUGGCCGUGUUCAAAAUUAUCGAUUGGUACAACGUUCGUAUUUUCCAAUCCACCACCAUUGUUAGCAUCCGCCAUUAAAGCUUUACCGCAACGUUUCUUGUAUACACUCAUUGCAAAUGAAUCCACCAUAAGGGUCAACACAGCCGACAGCAUUGCGACGAAGGUUGUGAAAGGGAACUUCCUCCAUGGGUUUUCAGGCAAACACCCGGACAUAAGGUCGUUGAAAGAAUCCGCUAGCACGUGCAUGUACCCAGUCGCUAGAAUAACACCGGAGGAAAAUGCCUUGACAAUGGUGAACAAGUCUCUGCCGGGUUUAAGUGACGGAACCUGACCAGAAAACAAUGGUAGACACACGCCAAUCAUGCUGGAUAGUAAAAUUGCGACAAUGGCGAUGAUUUUUAGCUUCAUGGAUUCUCUGUAGUUAUGGCAUCCAUUAGUCUUGGUCUCUGCUUCACAUUGAGCCAAUACAAGUGGAGUAGAAGAUGAAAAGAUGAUGAAAAGAACAAGGAAGAUUGAAUUUGCAAGGGAUUUUAGAACUGAUUUCAUGGCUGCCAAGAAAGAUUUACAGUUACGUUGGAUUGUGAGGCUUAACCGACUGGUUUAGAGGGAAUGAAUAUAUACAUUUCAUGGCCAAAUAUUACUCGUAUUUUUUUUGCCUCAUUUGUAAUAUUUCAGAUUUGGUGAUAUUAUUGCGAUUAAAAUUUCUAAUAUGUCCUUACUUUCGUUGAUUAAGUGGUAAAUUUAACAAGAAAUGUGAUGGUAUUUUGGUAUUUUAGCCUCGAAAUAAGGAAACCUGUGCAUGGCGUGUGAUAUGUGUGACCCGCCUUAAACUUUCUCGACCUUUGACUUUUCUAAUAAUACUAAGCACACGUCAGGCGUAAGCCUUUCUGCUGAUGUGGAAAUUCUUUUUCCAUGCAACAAUAUUAUUAUAAUCAAUCAUUAAAUGUUGUCUUUAAAAUAUUUUUUUAAAAAAAGUUGUCUUUAAAAGUUGAAACAUAAAAUGAUAUUAUGAAAUAGUACUAGAUUAACAAUAUUGCAUCUUUAUUUUAAAUUAUUCUCCCAACUUUAAAAUAUUUUAAACUAUUUAUCUCAUCCUUUUAUUAUUGACACUAUUAAUUUAAAAUGAUAUUUUUAAAGAAAAGUAAAAUGUUGUCGAUACAACUUUUAAAAAUAAAAAUUAAAAAUAAAGUAGAAGAGAAAAUGAAUGAUAGUUUUUGUAAUACCUUCGAUACCUUGAAAUCAAUAUUUUUACAAUAUUCAUUUUUCUUUAAGUUUUUUAUUUUAAAUUAUGUCUCAUAAGAUUUGACGUCUCAUUUAAUGAUUUUAGCAGCAAAAGAACAUUAUUGAUAUAAUAUUGAUAAUUUGGAAAUGUAAUUUAAAAUAUUUUGAGUUUGAGGACUAUUUUAGAAGAAGGGCCAUAGUUUAGAGAUAUUUGGAGCAAUUAACUCUAAUAAUAAUGACAUGACAAAGUUAAAAAAGGUUAAGUUAGAAUUUUGGAGAUAUAUUAUUGGAAGAAAAGUCAAAAUUCAUAGACUAUAAAUAUUAUAAAAAUGAUAAACUAGAUUGCAGGUCACUCAACUAGCUUAAAUGACUGCAGACUAGAGGUGCUCAUGGGCAGGGCCCAGAAAAAAAUGUUGGCCCAGCCCGAAAUAUGGGCCUAAAAUUUUGCCCAGGCCCAGCUCGAGAAAAAAUUUAUAAGCCCGAGCCCGGCCUGGCCUAGCCUAUUUUUUAAAUAAAUACCAAAAAAUUAUUUUAAAAAUUAAAAAAACUAAAAAAAGUAUUUAAAAAAUAUUUUAAAAUAAAAAAGUAUUUUAAAAAUAUUUUAAAAUUAAAAAAUUAAAAAAAGUAUUUUAAAAAUAUUUUAAAAUUAAAAAAAUUAAAAAAUAAAUAUAUUUAAAAACUCCACUAACAAUGUACCAAAUAAUUUUCUAAUAAUAUUCAAAAAUCAAAAUUUCAAAAAAAAAUCAUAAAAAUUUAAAAAAAUAUAUGAAAUACACGGCAAUUGUUAUAUGUAUUUCAAAAUUUAGCAUUUCCGUUAAAUAAUAAUUUCACUCUUUUUAAAAUGUUGAUAAUCAAAUUCAACUCCUUUUAAAGAGUUUAAAGCCAAAUUUAACUAAAUAAAAAUAAAAAUCAAAUUAAUAGAAUAUGUAAAUAUUAAAGACUAAUUUUGUAUUAUGCAAAUAAUAAAUGUAAGUCUCUUUAUUUUCAUGCCCCUCUUUUUCUAGCUCCUACUCCUUAGUACUUUUGUGCCUUAAUAAUUCAACUUUCUUUGGUGGCAUAGGGGUAUGGAGGCAAAAAUAAUAAUUGUGUGACAUUGUCAAUUUUCUUCACUUCACAUGGAGGUGACCAAAAUGUUAAUCCAAAUUGCAGAGCUAUACCAUUUUGUACAUAAAAGACUUGCUAGCUUUGAAUGGGUAAAAAAUAAUGUGAGAGUAACUUUAAAUAAUUAUAUAAAACAUACUUUUUUUUUAUUUCAAAGAUUUUCUUUUUUGAGAUUUUCUUACCCAUGAAAUUAAAAAAAUUAAAAAAUAUCUUUUUUAUAUUGAACAAAUUGGUCACUCUAAAAGAAAUAGAGUAAUUUAAUCCUUAUCAAUUUUGAACAAUUAAUCAAGCGCUAAUAAUUUCUGUUAAUUAUACAUAAUUUUGAUUAGUAUAAAAACAAAUUUAAUCCUUGAUGAUUAUAUAUUUCGCGUAAAUAUUGAUAGAAUGUGUAAUUAUUAUGGGUUAAAUAUGUUAGAUCAUGAUCAAAUUGAUGAAAUGUGUAAAUGUUGUGAGUUAAAUUUGUUAAAUCAAUAACAAAUUUAUAGAAUGUGUAAACUUUGAGGGCUUAAUUUAUUAUUAUACCAAGAAAAUUUUGUAUAAUUGAUGAAAAACAUUAACGUUGUGAUUAUUUGUCCUUAAUUUAUCACUUUCAAAAAUGAAAGUAAUUGAAUAACUCUGAUAUUUUUAGAAAUACCAAUUUUUUCAAUAGCAAAAUUGAAAAAGAUUAGAGACAUGUUUUAAUAUAUUUUCUUAGUUGAAAUCAAUUGUUUUUUUGUUUUUUUUUCAACAAUGAGCAACAUAGACAACAAAUAAUGAAAUACAAAUCCCAAAUAAGAAUUAUAAAUUGGAUAUAAAAGAUAUAAAUAAAAAUUAAGACUAGACUCAGCCACGAAUGAGAAAACUACCUUUAAGGGAAAGCUGUCGCAGGAGAUGGCUUGGAACAUUUGCUAGAGCAUAUUUUGGAACGAUUUCAAACUGUUCCGAGGAGGUUGGAGGGUCUUGGGCUCUUCACCUUUCGUAACAAAUAUAAAUCUGCCAUUAUCGAAGUGCAUUAAUCCUUUUGUUUCUUUUGCUAGCGAUUUGGGGAGAGGCUCCUACAAGGCCAUCAACUCUUAUCGCAACAAAUUGAUUAGUGUAUCAGAUUCUCAUCAAUUAAAGGGUGUUGCUUGGAGCAAAGCAUCAAAACACCUUAAGAACCAAUCCAUAACCAAAUGGACAGUUACACUAAUAAACCAUAAACUCCAUGGAUUGGAAGACUUAGUUAAUUAUGGAUGAAAGCCGGCUUGGAAAUUCAUACUUGAGACCCGCCAACCUUGCAACGUAUAAGCAAGACAGUCAACAGUAAAAUCAGAGGAUCAACAACCAAAUGGCAACGACCAGUAAUGCCUACAACUGAAAAUUUAUAACUUGAUCAGAAUCCACGUAACAUUAGGCCCUGUUCUUCCAUCAGGCAAAUACCAACAACCCAUUGAUUCAAUUUCAGCCGUCUUUUCAGAAUCAGCCGUAUCAUUAAUAGAUAGCUGCCUAAUUUGAUCCCUCAUUAGGGAAUAAUAUAUAUAUUAUAUUUGUGAAGAUACUUGAUAGCUUUAAGCUGACAUUGAUAUGGUAACCCUCAAAAGUUGGUAAAUCCUUAAAACAGGGUUCUACUCAACCUUACUAGUAAAAGUUUACAUGUUUGUAGCCCAAUGCCGAGCAUGAUGCACUUGAAGUUCAAUUUUGAGGGUAUAAUGUGAAAUGGAACAGUUCAAAUAGUAGUUUUACAAAAACUGAAAUAACCUUUCACAUUUUACCAAAAGUUGCAGCUUCCUACUUCAGUAGAGCAACUCAACCUACAAUGAAAAGGGCGUCUCUGUGGUCAUUUUAUAAAGCAUUAGUUAAGCCAUGAUGAAAAUAGAAGAGUCAAUUACCAUUUGUUUUGAAUUCAAACGAAAUUGAGCUUUUCGCAUUAGCACCCAAACUUAUUUCCUUAUUCCAGCUUGGGCAACUGAUCAGUAACCUCCGUCACCUCAGAAUUUUGCACAUUCUGUGCAUGAUCAUAACAAACCAAGAAUUGUUCAAUUAACUAUGUAUGUAUGUAUGUAUGUAUGUAAAAACCCAUGAAUUUAAAUCCUUUAAAUGAUUUGUACCAUUUCAUCGAACAUAUGUUUUAUGGUAGUGUUAAGGUCGCCUUCCCACUGCAGUUCACCUUCCUCAUCUCUUGUUAAGUGCAUUUGUUCCAGCCUUGGUGUGCUUAAAUCUCCUUGGCAGAAAUUCCUCAUUUUGGGACACUUUGUCACCUUCACCAUUAGCAAGACUGGGAAUUCCAACGAGAGAUGGGCCAAGGAAAAGCUUGCUAGACGUGGCAGACAGCUUAGUUGCAAAUACUUCAGUUUGGGAAAUACAAUACCGCCUUGUAUUUCUUCAGCCUCACACGCUAUGAUUUCCUCCAUCAUCUCACAAUCAUCUAUGCUCAAUCUUUCCAGUAGCGUCAGACUCUUAGCUGUUAAGCAUGCGAUUAAAUUGAUGAACCCAUGGCAUCUUGAAACUUCCAGUGUUGUUAGAUUUUUGAAAGACAGCAAAGAUGGUUCAAAAGUCUUUAACGUCAACUCUGGAAGUUGAGACAAACGUAAUUCCUUUAGCUGAUAGAAUGCUGAUGUAUGCCUUUCCUGGUCGCUGAGUCCUUCAGAUUGUACUAUUUGACAAAUGGAAGCAUUGUCUAUAACAAGCUUAUGAAGCAUUGGUAGUGACCGAAUGAAGGAAUACGGAAGAGUAGUGGAUGUCUCAGGAAAGAACUGGAGGUUAAGAUGCUUAAGGUUUUGGAAGCACUGCAAUGAGAGUUGUCCAUCACAUAUCCCCUUCACCAUAUCAUUCGUCUUCAGUGUUAGUUUUUCUAAUACAGGGAAAGUGUCCUGGAUGGCAACGAAUAUAUUUAACAUCGAUCAAAGAGUUUUCAAUUCGUAAGAACUAGACUACAAAAUGAAUAUAAUUUCCAUUUUCUUUCUCAUAAAUUUAAAAGGCAUUUUAUAAGUAAUCUCCAGUAAUGAACAUGGAAUAUGAAACUGCUAGUGAGCUUACCUCGUUGACGCAAAACAAGGGUUGUUGGUUUGAGAUUCCAACCUGACUCACAGGACAUUGUCGAGUAAAUAUCUGUACUUUGGGGCAUUCAAUAAUGCUCAUUUGUUUCAAUGAAGGCCACUGGGUGGUAUGCAUCCUAGAGUAGAAACUUUUCAAUCUUGGCACCUUAUCCAAUCCAAGUUUUAUUAGUUUGGGAAAUACAAACUUGGUCGUCACUGUUUCAGCCACAAUAGAUUGAGCAGCUGAUGUUGACUGUGACUCAUCAGCAAUGAGUCCUUGCAGCUCAAUAAUUUCUUCUAACGAAUCACAAUUCUGAAUCCACAAGUUCUUCAAACUAGGGAAAACAACCUAAUAAAUCAUUUCAUUAGGUUAAUAACUGAAAUAUGUAUGAAAAAGAAAGAACAUCAAAUGAAUAAAAUCAAUCGAAGUAACAUAAAUUAAAAGGAGGAUCCUUGAAGAAAUUACCUUUUCAUUGAGGAGAGAUGAGUUAUGAACCUCCAAGUUACUUGCCCGUACAUGUUGGCCAAUUUGAGGUUUAUCUCCGGGUACACAUUUAGAGAUGAAUGUUUUUAGCAAUGGACAAUUUCUUAGUGAUAAAGAUUCCAAACAGCGAAAUUCAAAGUAAUUUUCAAAGCACAAACUUGUGAGUUUGGGAAGGUCCUCAACCAAUCCAUCCGUGAAUAUUACUUGUUCCAUCAUAUUACAGUCCGAAAUGCGAAGGGAUCGGAGUUGCACAAGAUCUUUUGCUAAGAAAGACGGGAACAGGUAUUUCAAAUUGUGACACCUCUUCACCUUCAAGAAAUUUAGGUAUCCCAUAGAUGGGGAGGAUGAGUGGUGCCAUAUCUUAUGAAUGUUGAUGGAGGACAAAUCCAGACUGUUCAAACUAGGAAUGACAACCUGUUGACAUAAAUAUCAUUAUAAGAUAGUAUCACUCUUCCUUCUUUACUUUGAAAGACAAUCAAAACGAGUAGAUGAGUAUGAAGAUUUAUAAACUGAUCUAAAGGUUAAUAUUCACACAUCAACUAGACAGUUAAAAGUAACCAAAAUUUUUUGGUUAAUUAUGAAAAUGAUCCAACUUAAAAAUCAUGUACGUAAAUGACUUGAUUUCUAUAGUGCUUACUGCAUCGGCCCCCAUCAUCAGUCAAUGAUUGCUUUUUAAAAAAAAUUGUAGUGGUGUUGCCUAAUAAAUUGAUGGCACCAGACUGAAUGUGGUUAUAUAAAAUGUGCAAGGAUCCUUUAAAGCGGUUAACGUUUUUAGAUUGAUUGAAAAAGGGGUGUCAGUUGGUAUCUGAACUAAAUUAAAUGUUUUUCAACAUUUGACCUAUUUGCAUGUUACAUUUGUCCUCUUUUGAAAUUAGAUUUAAAUAGCACUUAAAAAAUAUAAGAAUAACAAAAUUAAACCCUUUUUUUUAAAAAAAAUACUUAAAAAAUUAUAUAAAAUUCUAAUUCAAAUUACCCAAAUAUAUUCCUUAAAAAAUUUCCUUAAGUUUAUCUAAAUUUAAAUAUGCUAGGGAAUAAAUUGAAAAUGCUUGAAUUUAGAUAAAGUUUUGGGUAAUUUAAAUAAGAAUUUUAUAUAAUUUUUUAAGUUUAUUUUUUUAAAAAUAAAAUAAAAUAAAUGAGAAUGAUUUAUUUUUGUUAUUCUUAUAUUUCUUAAGGGUUAUUUAAAUUUAAUUUCAAAGGGGGAUAGACCUAACAUGCAAAUAGACCAAAAGAUGAAAAUCAUUUAAUUUGGUGCCACAUAUUCACGGGAAGACCCCUUUUUCCGCUAAUUAAAAAAGGGUAAUUACUUCGUUAAGUCCAUGAACAUUUUAUAUAAUCACACUUUAGUUUGAUAUCGCCAAUUUUUCGAACAACACUACUAAAAAACUAUUAUUUUUUAAAUAAAAUACAAUCAUUGAUCGAUGAUGGUAGGUCGGUGCCGCCAUUGUGUCUGGCGGCACUGGCGGCACCGACAAACACUAUAGAAAUCGAAUAAUUUAUGUACAUAAUUUUUAAAUUGAAUCAUUUUCAUAAUUAAUCAAAAAUUUGAGUUACUUUUAUAAAAACCCGACAGGUAAAUUUAAGUAAUUAUAUUGAAUUUUUUUUCUUUCAAUGAUUUUUUCUAUAUAUGAAAUUAAAAAAAAGAAUUAAAUCUUUAAAUAAAACCCAUCCACUCUCUCACUUCAAUUCUCCUCUAUAUAUUUGGUUCUUUCUUCUUCAAACUCCUCACCUUUUGUUUUCAUGCUUCUUCUUCUUUGAUCUCAAAUAUGAAAACUAAUAUUUUAUUACCUUUAAUAUAAAUUUCAUUGAAAUAUUUUUAACGUAAAUAAUAAGAAGAUGAAAACUGACUCAAUUUGGAUUUAUAAUUAAUUAAAAAUUUAAAAUACAUUAAAUAAAAUAUAUUACAUUUAUUAAAAAAUAUGGUAAAAUUUUAAGGCAUUCAUGUGUAAAAAAAUUAAGCCUUUCACAUAAGAUUAUCUCAAUUGGUCAUAAAGCCAUUAGUUUUAUAUAUCAUAAUAUGUAAGAUUUUAUUAUUUAAGUUGUUGUCUUUUUUGUUCACAAUAUGAUUUCAGGAUCACAACUAAUUAAUUCAAGGUAAUUGUUUUUUUUUUUAAACAUGCAUCACAAUAAAUUAUAAUGCAAAAAUAUUAUUUAAAUAAAGUUUUAUAGUGCAUAUCAUUUAUAAAAUUUAUUCAAGAUGGGAAUAUUUUAUUUUAAAACAUAGGUUAUUUAAUUAUAUAAAUUCAGAUUCACCAAUCUAAAAGGUGAUUACAAUCGAAUCAUGCCUUAAAUCGGGUUUAAAUUAGACUUUACCGAGGAGGUAAUUAAGGGAUGAGGGCUCAUUUCAAGCCCUCCGUCAUCUAUAAAUGGAUAAGUCGGAUAUAGUGUCUACACUCUACUUAAAUACGACCUCAACACCCCUACACCACCAUUUCUAAUUGCUCUUUGCACCGUCUACAAUGUGAACCACCUUUAUUUAAGUGACUUUUCACACUCAUAUAGUGUAAACAACUACAUUGUAUAGUUCUACAUUUAGUAUUGUUAUAAUAGAGUGAAAAGAUAACAUCUUCCUCGACUACUUCGAAGUAGUUUCCCUUUUGAACAAAUUGAGAGUAACUACUAUAUUAAGCCACCUUCGUCAUGAAUAGCCUAGUGGAAGAGUGAUACAAGUUCACAAUAACCACUAUAUCGGCAAUGUCAGAAGCUACCAAAGAUGCAUUACCUUAAGCAAUCACUAAUAUCUACAUCAUAGCCUCAUCACUGUGAGGUUAUGUCGGCAACAAACUCCAAUCAACCAUGACAAUGCCAAAAGCUCCCAAAAGAUCCUUUUGCAUUGAUGAUGCACUAGAGUAAAUUUCAUAUAGCACAACAUCCUCCUCAUCAUUUUGAAAACCAAAACCAGCAUACCGGAAGUGAACAACAAUUAAAAGAAACUCAAACUAAAAACAGUAUCACAAUUUUCAGAUAAAAAAAAGUAAAUUAUUGACACCAACAUUGCUUACAAAGAAAGUAUAAUGAAUUUUUAUUUAUGUACAUACUUUUCCAUUCAAUAGUGUUUUCUUUCGUUGAAAUUCGAUGGUAAUAAUUAAUUUUCUCGUCAUGGGUACUCUUCAAAGAAAUAAAUGACUACCCAUAAGGAAAAAUAGUUAAAACGAGAGUAAAGAAAAAUAAAAACCAAAAGCGAAAAGAGGAGAAAAUUAUACUAUCGGGAUAUUGAAAUAUAACAAUUUCUUCAAUAAAUUAAUUUAAGUAAUUCGAUGGUUUUAGGAAUUAGUGGAGAUUGGCAUUGGAAACAAAAUAUUAUUUUUUUACUUUUAAAAAUCUAAAAAUAAAAAAAAGGGGGAUAUUUUGUACAAGUGAAUGAUAUUUCAAGGUCUUCCACAAUUAUCUCCUUCUUAAUUCUUAUACACCCACAAAUUAAAAAAAAGGGAGAUUAGUUUUCUUUUUUCUAUUAUUAUUUUAUUAUUUAUUGUCUAUUACUAUUUAAUUUAAAACUUCUCUUAAAUUCUUAUUUUUAUUAUUAUUUCACUUUAAGUUUUCCUUUCAAUUCUUAUUUUUUAUAUUUAUUUAUACUUUAAACUCCAGUUUUUUUUAAAUAUUAUCUUAUUUAUUAAUAUAUGGAUUUUAUUAUAUUCAAUUUUGACAAGGUGUAGCACUAGUAUGUAUAUAUAGAACAGACACACUCAUGUUGAUCAAAUCAAAAGAAAAUGUGAAAUAAGUUGUGCAGAUAAAUAUUGAAUACCAAACUUACCUUAUUGCUGAAAAGAGUUGCAGUGUUAUCAUAGAUGCCUCCUUCGCCAACCAAGUUUUCACUUGCAUCACCACACUCUCUUGAAACUGAGGAAGAAAAUGCAAUCAUUUUUGGACACUCAGCUAUCUUGAUAGCACUCAGCCGUGGAAAUUCAAGAGCUUGACUUCCCCAAUGGAAAUUUAUCAAGUUGGAACACGACUCAAUUGUUAUGGAGUAGAGCGCAAGAAAUGUAAAUUUAUGUGUCAUUGCUUCCUCCUCCUCCCUAACUACUUGUUCCAUUGAACUGCAUUCUUUCACUUCUAUACUUCCUAGUGGAUUGAGGCUCAAAAGCAUAGACGGAGUAAAUAUGUACUUCAAGCUGCUACAUUUAUAAAACUGCAGGCUGCUAAGGUUUUUGAAGCCCAAAACUUCUUGAGGGUUUCUGGUCCAUAUUUCUAUCGACUCCGGAGAUGUGUCAGAGAUGUUGAAAUCACGUGGGCCAUGGAGUCCACCCUAAAAAUUAAUCUGAUAUUAUUCCACUAGAUAGCAAUCAUAAAUAGAAAAUGCAGACAAUAACAAAAUAACGAUUUAACACUCUUCAAUGGUUAUUGAAGUAGAGGACACGAGGAAUCUAGCUAGCAUUAUGAACUUAUUAACUUUGUACCUUUUCUGUGUAGAGCUGUUGUAUGGUGGUAUUAAGGUCACUUGUCCAACUCCAUUUCUCACCGUAACGCGACUGUUUUAUUCUCUGUAAUUGUGGGGUGCUUAAAACUCCCUCAGAAAAGAUCUUUAACCAAGGACAAUCUUCCACAACUAAUUCUUCCAAACAAGGAAACUCGAAGUUGUAAUACCGUGGACAAAAGCUUGUGAGGCUCUUCAAAUUGCAUAGUUGUAAACAUUUCAAUUUACUAACAACUAUUGUCUGAUGACAGUCUCCCUCGUUUCCCACUAUUUCUGUCAUUUUAGUGCAGUCUUCUACCUUUAUUGUCGUUAAUUGCACAAGAUUCUUAAGUACUGAGGGUGUAACUAAGUUUGUCAUCAUUUUACAAAAUGACACAUUCAAAAUUGUGAGAUUUUGUAAAGAUGAUGAGAAGACUCUAAUAUUUAUCCAAUCAUCACAAUGCUGAACUGUGAGUGUUUGAAGAUUAGAAAGAAUAUGGUCAAGCUCCGAAUCUUUCCUCCAAAUAUGAUUAAGAUUUGUGGCAGAAAACAAUUUCAGAUUUCUAAUUGGUGGGAGAGUCCCGGCGUCUCCUUUACAAGGGACUACAUGUUUGAAAUCAAAAUAAGAAAACUCAAGUCUUUCCAGAUUGUAGAAUCUUCGGACGAAAGGAAAUAAAGAAAAUGGAGAGCCACCACUCAGUGCAAAAACUUUAAUGUGUUGAAACAAGUCUGGUGGAAAUUGGUCCAUAUCACCAAAAUUUCGUAACUCAAGUUCCUCUAAUUUGGGAAUGACCUUGGAAACCAAUUAAAUAUAAACAAGUUAGGCUCAAUGUUGAUGUAUAUGCUUUAAAAAAACAAAAAAAAAAAAAAAAUUUACAAUUUUAGUGUUUGAUUUUGAUGAUUAAAUCCCAACAAAAUCAAUAUUAAAUCAAACGAAUCCAGAAUAGAUGAAUUUUUUGUUUUAAGAAAACACAAUACCUUGAGAAUUAAAACUGAUAAAAAUUACAGAACAUGAAAGCCGAAAGAAGAGUAGCAAAUCUAGAUUAAAAUAGAUAAACAACCAUUGUUAUAUAUAUAUAUAUAUAUUUUUUUUUUCUAUGAUAAAAAAUAUAAGCAGAACAGUGGAGAUAAAACACCAACGUUUUAAAAUAUUACACUGAUUUAAUUUGAUGGUUAAAUUAACGAAUUUAAUAACAGAAAGACGUAAUUGAUAUAACCUCAAUAGUUUUAACCCUCAAUAUUUAUACAUUUUAUCAAAUUGAACUGCAUUCACUCAAUAUUUACCUAUUAUGUUUAUUCACACUUGUUUUUAAAAAAAUUGAAAAAAUAAUUAUAAAUGUAACAAAAAAAUUUAAAAUAUAUAUAUAUAUUGAAAAUUCAAAAAUACGAAAAAAUAUCCAAAUCAAACAAAAUAUAAUAAUUAGAAAUGCAUUAUCGUGGCAUAUUUCAACUUGAGAUGCUUGUGGCAGUGGUUUAAAUCAUAAAAAGAAAUAUAGUUGUUAUGAUAUACAUACCUCUUCUCCCAACAAAACUGGCUGCUCAUUUCCUUGGAUUAAUCUAAGAUGUUCCGAUGCCACUAUCUUUAGCAAAGCAGAACUAUCUGUUCUCAAUUUUUUCAACAUCGGCCAGACUAUUGUAUGUUGCCCUUCAUAGAAACAUUUGAGCUUUCCUACCCCUCUAACCUCAAGGUAAGACACUUGCGGAAACUCAAACCUCACAGGCUGCUCCUCCACUCCAUCCCCUUUCGAUACAAUCUCCUCAACUCCACAAUUAGUGAUGCGUAAAUCUUCAAGUUGUGGAAGAUCUUUGGCUAUUGAUACUGGAAAUAGAUUUUUCAAACUCCCACAUUCCCAAACACUUAUUUUUAGUAGAUUUUUCAAGGAACCUGGUGCUAGGUCAUUAUAAAAUAUCAUCUUCACAUUACUCAAGCCAAAGAUAGUUAUGUCUUCCAAGCUAGGAACUGCAACCUAUUCAUAUAUACAUAUAUAAUCCAUGCCCAUAAUAAGAAUAAUGAAGGCAGAAAAAAAAAACAAGGACAAAUCAACAGAUUUAUGCAAGAGUGUAAGACAAAUGAAAUAAAUCACCUUCUCACUGAAGAGAGCGUGCAUGCCGGACUGAUUACUAUUCUGACUAAUGAAUUCUAUUAACUCGGGGCAACGCCCAAUCUUUAGCACUUUCAACAAUGGGAACUCAAUAUUGUGGUUUCCUGAGUUGAAGAAGAUGAGGUUUGGAAGACCCACUAUUUGCAGGGAGUUUAAUCGAGGGAAACAAAUCACAUCUUUCCUUUCUUCUUCAAUUUCCUCUGUAAGUAUUAUGUCCCUUAAGCACUUGCAAUCCUCCACUCCAUCCCCUUUCGAUACAAUCUCCUCAACUCAACAAUCAGUGAUGCUUAAAUGUUCAAGUUGUGGAAGAUCUUUGGCUAUUGAUACUGGAAAUAGAUUUUUCAAAUUCUCACAUCGCCGAACAUUUAUUUUUCGUAGAUUUUUAAAGGAACCUGGUGCUAGGUCAUUAUAAAAUAUCAUCUUCACAUUACUCAAGUUAAUCUCCAUGUCUUCCAAGCUAGGAACUGCAACCUGUUCAUAUAUAUAUAUAAUCCAUGCCCAUAAUAAGGUUAGCCCAAAUAAUGAAGGCAGAAAAAAAAAAACAAGGACAAAUCAACAGAUUUAUGCAAGAGUGUAAGACUACUGAAAUAAAUCACCUUCUCACUGAAGAGAGCGUGCAUGCCGGACUGAUUACUAUUCUGACUAAUGAAUUCUAUUAACUUGGGGCAACGCUCAAUCUUUAGCACUUUCAACAAUGGGAACUCAAUAUUGUGGUUUCCUGAGUUGAAGAAGAUGAGGUUUGGAAGACCCACUAUAUGCAGGGAGUUUAAUCGAGCGAAACAAAUCACAUCUCUCCUUUCUUCUUCAAUUUCCUCUGUAAGUAUUAUGUCCCUUAAGCAAUAGCAAUCCUCUAUCUCAAAGCAUUGGAGCUGCACCAGACUUCUAGCGAGAGAGGGUGAUAACAGAUGCUCCAACUUGCCGCAUCCUUUGAUGAUCAAGCUCCUCAAAUUCGUAACCCAAUGACAUGUCUGGUUGUGCCAUAUUAUUUUGGUGUUAAUGGAACACAAUUACAAGCUUUCCAAGUGAGGGAAAAUAAAUUGCACAUACUUUCACACAAUUCUUUUUCGAUAGGGAAAGAUCGUAUGUAACAUAAUUUGAAAAUAUGAUUUUCGAUUUUAAAGAUAAUUUUAGUUCAAUUUGUGGGCUCAAAUUUUAUUUCAGAAUUAAAAAAAAAAUUCUUGGGUUUUGUUGCGGAAAGGAUCGAUUCGUGAACUCCGAUAUGACUACAAGUAAAUUGACCGAAACGAAAAAUAAAGUGAACACAAGGAUUUACGUGGUUCGGCUUUAAUGCCUACGUCCACGGGCAGAGGCGAAAAGAAAUUUCACUAUAACAAGAUGAAGAUUACAAGUGUUUUACACUCAAGACACAACCCGAGAACCUCACAACUCUCAACCCCUAUAGAAAACCCGAAAGCUAAAAUCCUAGCUUUCAAAGAACAAGCUUUGCUCUCUCUUGGUUUGGGAUGAUCAAUAUGGCUAAUGAACCUCUCUAUUUAUAAGAGAGUUCAAGGACAUAAUUGUCCAAAACUUUGGCAAAGAUUUGUGGUUGAAAAUGGACACCAACAACCAUCCACUAAUCCACUACCACCAACAACCCACUACCAACAACAACAAUCCACUACCAAUUUUAAGCCAUUUCUUAACAAAUCUCCACCUUGGCUUGAAAUUUACCAAGCUGAACAUCAUAGUGAAUUCCUCGAACUGGAUCACCUCUUCCAAACGCCUCUCUGGCGCUAAUCAAUCCCGAAUACCUAUCAAGUCCAAGCAAUGCUUGAACUUAUAUGCAGGGAUCACCUUAGUUAACAUAUCUGCAGGAUUCUUCUCGGUAGCAACCUUGCUGAUAACAAUGUCACCUUGCGUAACAUGUUCCCGAACAAAAUGAUAUCUGACAUCAAUGUGUUUGGUCCGUUCAUGAAACAUCUGAUUUUUAGUCAGAUGUAUGGCACUCUGGCUAUCGCAAAAUACAACAGUGAAAUCCUGUUGUAAACCCAAACUGCUUACUAGACCUUUCAUCCACAAUGCUUCUUUCACUGCUUCUGCUAACGCCAUAUAUUCCGCCUCAGUCGUAGAUAAGGCUACGGUAGACUGUAACACAGCUUUCCAACUAAUGGCUCCUCCAGAAUAAGUGAAAACAUAACCCGUCAGAGAUCUUCUUUUGUCCAGAUCUCCAGCAUAAUCAGAGUCCACAUAGCCCGUGACACUGCUAGUGCAGUCACUCUGAUCAUAUACCAAGCAUAAAUCUGCAGAACCUCUCAAGUACCUGAGAAUCCAUUUCACGGCCUGCCAGUGUUCCUUGCCAGGACAACUCAUGUAUCUGCUGACCACACUAACUGCAUGUGAAAUGUCUGGACGAGUGCAAACCAUUGCAUACAUCACGCUUCCAACUGCACUCGAGUAUGGAAUGUGAGACAUUUGCUGCUUUUCUUCAUCAGAUUGUGGUGACAACUCUGCAGAGAGUUUGAAAUGUGGUGCCAACGGAGUACUCACAGUUUUCGCUUUAUCCAUGCCGAAGCGUUGAAGAACCUUUUCAAUGUAGUUCUUCUGCGACACACGAAGCUUGCCCGCCUUGCGAUCUCUGUGAAUAUCCAUGCCCAAAAUUUUCUUGGCAGCACCCAGAUCCUUCAUCUCGAACUCACCACUCAACUGCGACUUUAACUUGUUGAUUUCCGACAUGUUUUUGGAAGCAAUUAACAUGUCAUCAACAUACAGCAACAAAUAAAUGUGCGAACCAUCUGAGAGCUUCCGAUGAUAGACACAAGCAUCAUAGUCACAUCUUGUGUAACCAUGCUGAAUCAUGAAGCUAUCAAACCGCUUGUACCACUGCCUUGGGGAUUGUUUCAAUCCAUAUAAAGACUUCUUUAAUAGACAGACAUGGUCUUCUUUACCAGGAACUGUAAAACCCUCUGGUUGACGCAUGUAGAUUGUUUCCUCGAGCUCACCAUGCAAGAACGCCGUUUUUACGUCAAGCUGCUCAAGUUCUAGAUCAGACUUGGCCACCAUGGCAAGUAAUACACGAAUGGAAGAAUGCUUUACGACUGGGGAGAAAACUUCAUUGUAGUCAAUCCCCUCUUUCUGAGUGAAGCCUUUAGCAACCAAUCGUGCCUUGAAUCUAGUUGCUUCAACCCCUAGGAUGCCUUCCUUUUUCUUGAAGACCCAUUUGCAACCAACUAUCUUUUGGUUACUUGGCGGCUUAACCAACUCCCAAGUAUGGUUCUUGUGAAGAGAUUCUAUCUCCUCACUCAUAGCAAUUGCCCACUGUGCCGACUCAUCACACGUGACAGCCUCAUUAUAACUGGAAGGUUCUAUACCAAUGGACUCCGCCACACUGAGCGCGAAAGACACCAGAUUAGCGUAACGCGGAUUUGGUUUGAUUUGUCUCUUCGUUCUUCCAGUGGCAAUGCUAUAUGGUUUUUCUUGAGGUGACUCAUCUUCAUCGGAAUCUUGCACCUCAACUUGAUCAUCCUGGACUGAAGUACCUUCCGUAGGAAUUGGAGCGUCCACCUGACACUCCACCUGCUUCUCAACACCGUGAUCUCCCAUUCUAUCUGACUCCUCCUUUUCCCGGGAAUUUGUGGUGGAUCGAAGCAUGGAUGACUCAUCAAAAGUCACAUCUCUGCUGAUGAUGAACUUGGACGAAACCGGAUCAGGACACCACAACCUGUAUCCUUUCACCCCUUGGCCGUAUCCAAGAAAUAUGCAUUUCUUCGCCCUCGGUUUGAGUUUUCCCUCAUUUACAUGAGCAUACGCAGGGCAGCCAAACACUCUUAAACCAGAGUAAUCAGCAGGAGAACCAGACCAUACUUCCUCAGGAGUCUUCAGCUCAAUAGCUGUUGACGGAGAUCUGUUAACCAAAUAACAAGCAGUAUUAACAGCUUCAGCCCAAAAUUCUUCACCGAGCCCAGCAUUUGAUCGCAUGCAACGAGCUCGCUCCAAGAGAGUUCUAUUCAUGCGUUCUGCAACUCCAUUUUGUUGUGGUGUUCGACGAACAGUGCGGUGUCUCACUAUUCCUUCAUUUUUGCAGAACUCAUUGAAUUCACCUGAGCAAAACUCCAAGCCAUUAUCCGUCCGGAAUCGCUUGAUCUUCUUUCCUGUUUGAUUUUCGAUCAAAGCUUUAAAUUGCUUGAAGUUGAUGAGAACCUCAUACUUGCUCUUCAGAAAAUACACCCAAACCUUUCUCGAGUAAUCAUCGAUAAAGGUAAGCAGAUAUCUGUAACCACCUUUAGAAAUUGUCGGAGAAGGCCCCCAAAGGUCAGAAUGGAAGUAAUCCACUGUGCCUUUUGUCUUGUGAAUCCCAGUGCUGAACUUUACCCGAGUCUGUUUACCGAAGACGCAGUGCUCACAGAAAUUCAACUUUCCUGUACACUGCCCAGACAAUAAUCCUCGUUUGCUUAGCACCGAUAAGCCUCUCUCGCUCAUAUGCCCGAGCCGCAUAUGCCAUAACUUCGUGGUGUCAGAAUCUAGAUCAUCUGAUGAUGACACUCCCGCAACACCUGUAACCGAGGAACCAUCGAGGAAGUAAAGGCCCCGCUCCAAAUUACCACGUAUCACAGUCAAAGCACCCGAGAAUACCUUGAGAACUCCACCUUCAGCAGAGUACCGAAAGCCUUUCUUGUCCAACGUACUCAAAGAGAUCAAAUUUUUCUUCAUUUCUGGAAUGUGCCGAACAUCAGUUAGAGUUCUAACAAUACCGUCAAACAUCUUUAUACGAACUGUGCCAAUCCCCAUGACUUGACAUGCGUGGUCAUUUCCCAUUAGUACUGAACCAGAAUGCUUCUCGUAUGUUGAGAAUGCAUCUUUCGAAGUACUUAUAUGAAAUGUAGCUCCCGUAUCAAGAAUCCAUCUCCCACCAGCGUAAGAGUCGGAUACUGCAAGAACGAUCUCGGCAUCACUUGAAGAAUCUGCAUCAGCUACAUUCGCACGAUCAUUUUGUUGCUCCUGUGAUUCUGAUUUCUCCUUCCUUUUCGGACAAUCUACCUUCAUGUGCCCGUACUUCUUACAGUAGUAGCACUGUAUUCUCUUCUUGGACUGCGAUCUAGGAUGGCUUUUACUUGAACUUCCACCCUUUGCCUUGGAUCUUCCUCGAGCAACCAAGCCUUCGCCUUCAUUGUUUUCGACCACCUUACCAGUGAUUUUCUUCCUCAACUCACUGGAACUUAAGGCAUUUUUCACCUCCUCUAGAGUCAGGUCAUCACGACCGUACAUCAUUGUAUCAACAAAAUUCUCAUACGAGGGAGGCAAAGAACACAAAACAAUUAUUGCUUGGUCCUCAUCAUCGAUUUUGUUAUCGAUAUUAUUCAAAUCCAUGAUAAUGGAAUUGAAUUUAUCCAGGUGCUGGGAAACAGGUGUACCUUCCUCCAUCUUCAGGGCAUAGAGUCUUUGCUUGAGGUAGAGCCGGUUCGUCAAUGACUUCGUCAUGUACUUGCUCUCUAACCGGAGCCACAAACCGGACGCGGUUUUCUCAUCCGCUACUUCUCGUAGCACUUCAUCUCCUAGACAUAGCAGAAUAGCACUAUGUGCUCUUUCUAGCAUGUCAUCCUUUUGCUCUUCCGAAAGCGUGCUUGGUAAUUUAUCUUUACCAGACAAUGCUUUUAGCAAUCCUUGUUGAACCAGCACUGCCCGCAUCUUGAUGCGCCAUAAACUGAAACUAUUUUUCCCGGUAAAUUUCUCGACAUCAUACUUAGUCGAUGAAACACUUGUAGCCAUAAUUUGGAACCUUUGAAUGAAUGAUAAUAUUUUCUUCCUGAUGUGAAAGAUCAGACAAAGCUGCAGUCACAGGGCAAUUCAGAAAAUAUUAUCACUCCUUCAACUACGCUCUGAUACCAAUUUGUUGCGGAAAGGAUCGAUUCGUGAACUCCGAUAUGACUACAAGUAAAUUGACCGAAACGAAAAAUAAAGUGAACACAAGGAUUUACGUGGUUCGGCUUUAAUGCCUACGUCCACGGGCAGAGGCGAAAAGAAAUUUCACUAUAACAAGAUGAAGAUUACAAGUGUUUUACACUCAAGACACAACCCGAGAACCUCACAACUCUCAACCCCUAUAGAAAACCCGAAAGCUAAAAUCCUAGCUUUCAAAGAACAAGCUUUGCUCUCUCUUGGUUUGGGAUGAUCAAUAUGGCUAAUGAACCUCUCUAUUUAUAAGAGAGUUCAAGGACAUAAUUGUCCAAAACUUUGGCAAAGAUUUGUGGUUGAAAAUGGACACCAACAACCAUCCACUAAUCCACUACCACCAACAACCCACUACCAACAACAACAAUCCACUACCAAUUUUAAGCCAUUUCUUAACAGGUUUAAAUUUAGAUUAUUGAAUUGACUUUGUACUUUCAAUCGGUUUGAAUUAAAAAUUAAAUUUUCAUUUGUUUUGGAUUUGAAAUUUCUUUUUGAGCUCCGGAAAAAUCAUUACACAAUAUUAUUUAUUUCUAUUAUUAGAAAUAUUAAUGGGCAUAUAAAUAAAAAUUGUAUAAGGAAAUAUAAGUAAAGCCAAACAAAUACCUGUUUAUUGAAAAGUAGUAAGGGCUCAGUGGAACACCUUUCGUCUGGAGAGCAAAAGCUAACGAGUUGCUGUAGAUUUUCAAAUUUGAUGAAGCAUAAUUCAAAAAAUUUAAUUUUGUUCGUUUUAAUAUAUUGGACAUGCCUACCAUUUUCGACAUGAAGGCUCUUUAAAUUUAGAAGAUCUUUUCCAUUAUUUAACUCCAUAAGUACAUUCUUGACGCCUUCAAGUCCCUCUAGGCACAAAUCUUCUGUCUUUAUCAACAACUUUUUCAUCCCAUUGUCCAAAUCAAUGUUUGUAUAUAACUUGAGCUUCAAUGCUUUUGGAGAUUCAUAAUUAUCGCAACAAUCAGAUAUUCCAUAAUUACCUACGAAAAUCCUGAAUCUGUCCAAUGUUUCAACAAACCGGUGUUUUGGUAUCAUUUGGACAUCAAGAAUAUGAACAUAUAAAGUAGUUAGACAAGGCAAAUUGUUUAAUUCAUCAAGGCUUGCAUUUUUCCUCUCAUUUUCAACUACUCCUCCCUUUUCCCAUUCAACAAAGCUCCCACUCAUAUAUAAUUCUUCUAAUUUAGACAAACCUGAUAAGACAUUCGGUGGGAUGAUUUUGAGUUCUCUACACCAGCUCAAAUCUAGCAACCUUAAUUGAGACAAUUGUGCCAUCUCCUUAGGUAGUUCUUUGAUACCUGACCCAGAAAGGUCGAGUACUUCUAAACUCUUGAGCUCUCCAAGGAUGGUUAUGUCAUCAACUGCACAUUGUUUUAGACGCAACAUGCGAAGGUCUGCAAGGUGAAUAAUUGAUUCAGGGAGGGAUGAAAACUGCAUUCCGACCAAAUCUAAGGCUUUGAGGCCUUUGGUUUGUUUGAAGAAAUUGAGAGGAAUUUUAACCGCGCCAUCAUAGGCCAUAUGGAGAAAGGAAAGUCCUGAACACUCCAUCUCCUUAGGAAGGUUAGCUAUAAUCUGAGGACAACGUAAGCUGAUCACAUUCCACGUCUUCAUUUUCUCCUUAUCGGACCACUCCUUCGGAGCAUGAUCUCUCAAAACAAGCAUACGGUAGUCCUUCAAUGCGAUAGCUAUAGCAGCAUCCCAAACAACAUCAUGGAUAUCAAAGAGCUGAUCAUUAUAACUAUCAAGCAACAAGGCAGACGCUUUGAGAUUAGCCACAACCGUCAAUACUUUAUUUCUAGCUUCUUCCACAGUGUAGACACCAUCAAAUAAACCCAAACCUAGAGUAUAUCUUACCAAGUCCUCAACGAGACCAUUAUGGCCUAUUACACUGCAAAGCAAGAAAGUCAGCUUAACUUCCUCGCUUUCUAAAUAAUUAAAACUCCACUCUAUAGCUGAAUAUGCAGCAUUUAUCCCCGUGAAGUUGCUUGACGAAGGCCUCUCCAGUUCUCGUAAAGCAUUCUUCCAUUCAAACAAUCUUUUGUUUCUCAAAGCCCCUGCAACUGUCGCAAUGGCUAUUGGCAAUCCUGCACAUUUUUUGGCUACCUCCAUAGCUAUAGGCUUCAAAUCGCAACUUUCAACACAGUCGCCAGCCAUCUUCUUGAACAGGUCCCAGGCUUCCUUUUCAUUUAAAACCCCGAUGGGAAAAUUUUUCUGAGCAUCCAUCCCAUUUAAUAAAACAUUGAGUUCUCUAGAAGUUAACAGCAACUUGCAUCCCUUGUGUCCAUCUCCCAAAGGAAUCCCAACUUCCUCAAUAUCUAACUUUUCCCAAAUAUCAUCCAACACAACCAGAAUCCUCUUCCCCAUCAAUCUUUCUCGUAGUCGAAAUGCCUUUCCAACCAUACUCUGUUCCUCAAAUUUCAAGCCCAAGAAGUCUGCAAUUUGGUUCUGAAUCUUCUCAAUAUCGAUGGCUUGAGUUACGGUUGCUAUUACAACCGAAUCAAACAACUUGCCCUUGACCUUUCUAGCGAUUUCUUUGACCACCGUUGUUUUUCCAAUCCCGCCCAUACCAUGCACCCCAACAACGCUGACGCUAUCAUCUUUUAGUGCCUCCAUUAUUCCGUUCAAAAUCGACAUUCUUGACUCGAAUUCCUCAUAACCUUUAACUGGUGCAACCACGAUACCUUGCGAAGCUGCACGAUAGGAAACCCUUUCAAACUUGCCAUGUUCAAGUAGCUCGGCAACAGCCUUUGCCUCCUCUUCAGCUUUCAGGCUAAGCUUGUAACGGGUCCUGAAAUUAGGACACAAACCAAUGAAACACUUUUUCUUUGCUUUUUCUUCAUCUUGCAUCACUUUCUCUACUUGUUCAGGGAUCUUCCUGUCCACUGCCGACAUCCAGUUGUUAACAUCACGUUCGAUCUCUUCGCCGUUUCGUUGAGCUGCAUCAACAGAAUGCUGCACUCUGUCCCUUGCAUCUUUCAGCUUCUCAGCUUGGUCCUUGAGGGUCUCAACAUAUUGCUGAUGAUUGGAAAGGUAUUUGACAUGGUUUUCGAUAGGAGAGAUCGUAUACUCUACAGCUUUAGCUACAAUAGAGCCAACGAUGGCACCAACAAUCUCCAUCGAGAGAGCAAACUGAAUAACCACAGCGACAACAAAGACCAAAACUUGAAUUAUCUUAUAUAUAUAGUUUUUAAAAAGAACUCAUUUUCAUAAUCUUAAAUAUAUAAGUAUGAGAUUAAUGUUUUACUUUAUGACAAUUAAAGUAAAGUAAUUUUGUUAAUAGAUAAUCUUUUAUUAAUAUAGACAUAUAUCUAACUUUAUUUUUUUAAUAAUUAUCUUUUUUUGAAGGAGUAGGUUUUUUUUUUGGCUAAGCAUUGAAGGAAUAAUUUGUCUUUUACACUUUGAAUAAAUUUUACAACACAUCUUUUAAAAAAUAGUUUUCUAAUUAUUAUUUAAAUUAUUUUCAACUAAUUCAAAAUUAUACCUAUUUCUUAUAUUUUGAUUAAACAGGAGAUUGUUUGGUGUAAUGUUAUUUAUUGUACAAGCAGUAUUAAGAUAUUUAAUUUUUUAAAAUAUUUUACUAUACUUCUAAAAGACAUUUUAUCAACCUCAUGACUUUACUUAUGGAAUUUAAAAACUUCAAUAAUAAAUUAUGAUAAAUCAUUUAAUACACUGCCAAUAGAAUUUUUAGACUCUACUAGCAGGACCAAGGGAUUGAUAAGUAUUUUAUAAGGGUAUAAUAAAAUAUUUAAAGGAAAGAGAGACAUGUCAAUUUUUUAAGGUUACUUGUGGAAUAAAAAAAGUAUUAAAUCCUCACCCUGUUUAUAUUAAUAUUUUUAAUUUAGUUUUUAAUCUUAAUUCAUAUUUUAAAUAUUAUGUUAUAACAAAAUGAAAAUUUAUUAAUAGUAAGGGGAAUGAUCUACUUACGCAAUGUAAAAAAUUAAAGUAAUUUUACACACUUCCGUAAUUAUUUAUAUUAUUAAUAUUUUAAUGAUACAAUCAUUAUAUUAUAUGGUAUAUUCAUGUAGAUCAUAAAUUUCAAUUUUGAUUUAAAUUUAAAACUUCUAACUAUUUAAUUUGUUGCACAUUUUUUAAUUUAGUUAAUUUUUUAAAAAAUAGAAAAUAAUAAAGUAUAUUAAAUGUUUCAAUUUAAAAAAAUAUAUUUACUCCUUAAAUAGUAAUAAUAUCUUCAAAUUUUAAACUACUUGUGCAACUUGCACUAAAUCAUAUUCAAAAAGUAUUUUGGUAAUUUUUUUAUUAAAAUUAAAUAUAUUAACCGCUACCAACAGUGACUAAUUCUCUCGUUACAGGAAUUUUCUGAAAACUAUCAAAGUAUUUUGUUAAUUUAGUUCAAACCAAUUAUAUAUAAAAUAUAUAUUUAAUGUUUGAAUAUUUAAUUUGUUUUUUAAAUGAUUUUUCAUUUAAUUUUAGUACCCUAUCAAACCAUCUUUCCAACCAUAUAUAGCGUUCAUUAUAAAGUAGACUUUGUUCAUGAGUCGAAUUACAAAGUCCAUUCAAAACAUAAAGAGUUUAGGUCAUAAUAUAAACCCAAAAAAUAAGCUUCAAAAAAAAUAAGAUUCGCGUUUUAAAUGGGCCGAGCCUCAGACAAGAUUUUUUUUUAGUUUGGACCUAACCCGAAUUUAAUUAUUUUUUUGCUGCUGUUUACUGCUUUUAUGUUGUUGUUUUUUGUUGUUAUGUUGUUAUUUUGCUACUGUUUCACUAUUAUAUUACUAAUAUUUUGCUACUAUUAUUUAGAUAUUGUAUAACUCUUAUUUUAUUUUUAAUUUUACUAUUAUUUUAGAAACGUUUGUUUGCUAAGUUAUAACUAUGUUAGUGUUAUUUAAAUAUAAAGAAUUUUUUAAAUAUAUUUUCAAUUUAUUGAGAAAUAUUUAUUUUAAUGUGUUUAAAGUAUUUGAUGUAUUAUAUUUUUUAAAUUUAUUUUUAUAUAAAAAAUAUAAAAAAUUUAAUACGGGUUCAGAUUUAGUAUUUUUUAUCUGAGCUGAACUUAAAUAAAAAUUUUAGGCCCAUUUGUUUAGUUGAGCCGAGUCCGGACCCGAAAAACAAAUUUAAAAUUUUUACAUUGACCCAACCUAUAAUCAGUUCUAGUACAAAUCCUUCUUCUACGAGAUAAAGCAGUACUCAACCUCUUAAUAACGAUAUUGCAGUAUGUGGAAGCCACAAGUUGUUGAUAGAUCACAAACAAAAGUGCUUACGCAGCAUUCCUAAUAGUCACCCCUUCUUAUCCCUUUUUUCUACCAACUUUAAAGAGUGUUUUCCACAAUUUUUUUAAUGGAUUUUUACUGAAAAUAUGUUUUCUUUUUAAUUCUGAAUUUUUAUGUAAUUUUAAAAAGUAAAGAUCAAAUCAAGGCUAAGAAAUUUAUUUGAUCUUUUUAUAUUUGUCAGGUCAACAACACUAAGUGUAAAUUUGAAUGGAAAGAUGAAGAUUUUAAAAUCGAAAAAGUACAGGACUCAAAAUCUUAAAGCUAAAAAGAUUUAAAGCAUAAAAGAAGUCCAUUUUCAUGGCUUAAACUGCCUGCCUAAGCUUGUUUAUACCGACAAGUAUUUCAAAAGAGUAAGAGCAAAGCAGAUGGCGUACCUUUUGGCUAUGAUCAAUAACUGAUAAUUUUCCCCCUUCUUAACAGAGCAAAGGCAGAAAGUAAUGAUUUGAGAAAGAUGACUUCAUCUUACUUUAAAAGAAAGGAAGUCUGGUGGAAACAGCUGAGUAAUGAGUAGCCAACUACCAUAAAAUGUCGUAUACCAAAACAUAUUUUAAUGGGAAAAUAUUCGCUUUUACCAACUAAGCAAAGUGGUAUUUUCCUUUUUUAGUUUUGAGAUGGAAAGAAAAUGAGAUUUAAGUUUAAUUAUAGGAUUAGUAAAUGACAAUUACAUCAUUAUUAAUUUCAUGGUUUUCUUAACACCCCAAUUUAUAUAUAUUUUAUGGACAUAUAUAUAUUUAAUAUGUUUGCACUAACUCUGAUGAAUUGGUGCAAAUAUAUACUUUUUUUUGACAGAAAUGUUGGCAAUCAUAAAACAUAUAAUUGAUUUUUUACUCUAAUUAUCUCUAUUUACAACUCUAAACUAAAUAAAAUAAAUUUAAUCUAUUCAAUUGAUUGAUUAAAUAUAAUUUAUAUCUAUAUAAAAAAAAUUCUAUAUAAUUUAGAUGUAAAAUAUACUAAAAUAGAAAAUAAACUAGAAAAUAAAAAAGGAGUCGAUAAUAUUAGUAAUAUUAUAUUACUAUAUUAAUAUAGAAUAUUACAUAUGAAUCUCUACAUCGUUACAUUCCACUUAGGAUUAGGUUGGGCAUAAUUGGGCCUCCUUUUUACAUAUCUCUUAUUAUUUAAGACCUUAUUCACCUCUUUUCUUUUUUUUCUUUUAUUGAAUUGAGAAAUUGUUAGAGGAAUCAUUACUGCAAGGCAUAGAGGGGGGGUCAUAGGAGUUUAUACUGUAAAAUUGAUUUUCUACGAAAUGAAAAAGACAUGUUCGGUCCAUAAAAUAAGUUAUUAAAUAAAUGAAUUAUUAAGUAUCCAAGUAGUAAAUAAAGCUCUUGAAAGGUUGAGUGAAUGAGUUGAUCCAAUUGCAUGAGUAGUUUCAUGUAAGGUCAUUUUCCAAUUUUUUUGUUUUUUUGCUUUUUCUUUCUUCGACCAACUAUUCCUCAUAUAAUAUCUAUUCUUUUUGGAAAUUUUAUCUAAAAAGGAGUGACUAGAAUCAACGAAAAUUUUAUCUAAAAAGGAGUGGCUAGAAUCAACGAAAGCACACCACUGCCAAAGUAGAAAAAGACAUGCAAUAAUGAAGGAUGUUUUCAAGGCUUACAUAGUCAUAGAGGCUGACAGUAUCCGGUCCCUAAAAUAAAAAAAUGGGCAAUUUACUAAUAAAAGCUUAAUUUUUUUUAUAAAUUUACCGAAAUGGGCCCGGUAUUUUAUUAUUUAUCGGAAUGGGUCAUUUUCAUGCAAAUCGUGUCCACGUCAGCGCGAUGUCAAGGGACGUGCCAGCAAAGCGCGGCCACGUCAGUGCGCUUUGCUGACGUGACAACAAAUCUCGUCCACGAUGGGGCGAUUUGUUGCCACGUCAGCAAAGUGCUCUGACGUGGCCGUGACUUGCCCCUUGGUAAAAAAUUUGACCGUUGCUGCCCCCCCAACAGUCCAAAAAAAACUAUAAAUACCCCCACCCCUUUUUUUUUCACAAACUAAUCCUCUCUCAAAUUUCCUCUCAAUUUCCUUCCAAAUUUCUCUCAAAUCUAUAUUUAAUAUAAUAUAAAUUAUUUUAGAUGAAAUAAAUUAAAAUAUAUGCUACAUAAAUAUUAAUAUAAAUGUAAUUUUUAUUUUUAUUUUUAAGUCCAAGUGAAUUUGGGUGAAAAAUAUUAAAAAAAUAUGCUUCAUUUUUAUGUGUAAAGAUUGCACCCGAACUACAAAUUAUGUAUGUUAACAUUAUGUGAAUAUUUAUUGAGAUACAUUCAUUAUUUAAAACCAAAUGACGAUGAUAUAUCAUUUGAAAUUUUCAAGCAAAAGCGAAAGUUCAUUAUUUAAAAUAUUAUAUUAAAUUAUAACUAGAAAUUUUAUUACACUCGUAUGUACAGAAAUAAAUAUAUUUUUGGUUUUGUCAUCAAUCCUAAGUUGGUGUCGAGUUAAUUUGUGAUAUCAUCUCAAUCAACGACGUUAUUAAUAUAUACAAUUUAUGGAUGUAAGAAAGUGUGCAUGAUAAAAUAAAAAUGUAUAAAAAUAUUAAAAUAAAAUUUUGGUUAAGUGAUAAAUUUAAAGCUUUGCUAAUAUAUUUUUAUUGUUUUUGUAUUCAGCAUAAUCACUUGUGUGAACUCAAGAGCCUUUAUAUACAAACUCAUGCAACGGCUUCUACCAGCCAUGCAAUAGCAUGCACACGUAACAAACUUAACAACCGUAACCAUCUAACUGCUCAAAUGGAUUAAGCUUCUAACUACUCAAUACCAGAAUUGAGACUCUCUUGAAUACAUUGGAACAACAAACACCCAAAGACCAUUUCUGAGAGUAUCAAACUGCUUUGGCGUAACUGGUUUGGUAAACGGGCAAUUUACCAAUAAAAGCUUAAUUUUUUUAUAAAUUUAUCGAAAUGGGCCCAGUAUUUUAUUAUUUACCGGAAUAGGCCAUUUUCCGGCAAAUCGCAUCCACAUCAGCGCGAUGUCAGGGGACGUGCUAGGAAAUCGCGGCCACGUCAGCGCGCUUUGCUGACGUGGCAACAAAUCACGUUCACGAGGGGGUAAUUUGUUGCCACGUUAGCAAAGCGCGCUGAUGUGGCCGCAAUUUCCUGGCACGUCCCCUGACAUCGUGCUGACGUGGAUGCAAUUUGCCAGAAAAUGGCCCAUUCCGGUAAAUAAUAAAAUACCGGGCCCAUUUCGGUAAAUUUAUAAAAAAAUAAGUUUUUAUUGGUAAAUUGCCCGAAAAAAUGUUCAUGUAUAAUAUUUAUAAUUUAUAACAUUUUAAAUUAAUAAAAGUAAAAUUAUACUUUGUUCUUCUUUAAAAUGAUAAAAAAAUUUGAUUUAAUCCUUUAAAUAUUAUAAAACUAUUAAAUUAAUUAAAUUGUACAUUUUUACAUUAAUUUCGAUCUCUCAAAAACAUUUUCUGACUCUGCCACUGUCAAUAUCAUCUUUGAGAGACACGCUAUUAAUUAAUUUAUAUGUAUGUCAUUAAUAAUUAUAAAAAAUUGACAUAUAUAAAUAUCUUUAAUAAAUUUUAAAAUUAAUUUUUGUAAUUACAUCUUGAUCAUUUUUAAAAUUAAAUACUCAAACAUUAAUUAAUUUUAUUUUUAUUAAAUUAAAAAUAUCAAUUAUUCUUAUUGGUUGCAUUUUAAUUCAAGAAAAACUAAAAAAAAAAACCCUAUUUGGUUUUCAUUCCACGUUUUCGCAAGUCACAAUAAAGGAUUUUUUACGUUAAUAAUAUAAAAUAAAUAAAUAAAUAAAUACAGGAUAGGAUAAGAGAUUAAUAUUUAUGAGAAUAGUCAAAUGAAAUAGCAAAAUAUUGGCGCCGCCUAACCAAUUGACGGCAUCACUUUAUUUAAAAAAAUUUGGGCGCAGCUUGUGCACUCGGCCGCACCAGGCUAAAAUGUGAUGAUCUAAAAAUUACAGGGACUUUAUAUGUAAAUUUUCCAUUUUAAUUGACAGUCGAAAAAUUUUCAUGGGUGACAGCACCAAAUUUUAAAAGGGUAAAUUGCACCCUAAACCCCCUAUUUAUUAUUAAAUUUUAUUCUCUUUUAACACCAAAAAUAAAUUGGCCUCUUAUCAAUUAGUCUAAUUUUUUUUUUACCAAAAAGUAUUUUUUUCAAGUAAGUCGAUUCCAACUCGAAAUAAAUUUUAUUUAUUUUUCAAAAAAAAAUAACAUUAUGUUUGACAUUACAAUUAACUGUAUUUAUAGUAGUUUUCUUUUUCUCUCAUUAUAUUUGGAAACUAUAAAUUUAACUAAUAAUUAUAAUUUAUACAUAAUUAGAUUUUUCUAAAGCUUUUAUAAUUAUAAUUUUAUACUAUGUACGUAAACCAAAUAGAUAAUAAAAUUAUAAAUAUUUUUUAAAAAUAAAUAAAAUUUAUUUCCAAAUGGAAACGGUUUACUUACAAAAAUACUUUUUGGUAAAAAAAAAUUUUAGACUAAUUUAUAAAAGGCCAAUCUAUUUUUUGGUGUUAAAGGAAAAUAAUAAAUAAGGGAGACUUAGGGUGCAAUUUAUCCUUUUAGAUCAUCACAUUUUAGUCUGGUGUAACCGAUUGGUCAAGCUGCACCUGAACAAAAUUUUAAUAAAGCGGUGCCGCCGAUUGGUCAGACGACACUGAUAUUUCACUAUUUCAUUUACCUAUUCUUGUAAAUAUUAUUCCCUUUAUCCUAUUCAAGUAUUUAUUUUUUAUUUAUUUAUUUUAUAUUAUUAAUGUAAAAAAACCCCACAAUAAAGUGUUCAUAAUAAUUAGUUCUCAAUGUGUAAUAUUGAUUUUCAAAUAUAAUAUUUACUAUAUUUAAUAAAAAUUAAAAAAUAAAAUAAUGUAAUUGAUUGCAUGUUUGAUAUUAUUUCACUUUUAUAACUUUAAAUUUUGAAGAUAUUAUUUGCUAAUUUAUGGUUAAUAUUAAAAUUAUAUUCCUUCAAUUCUCUAUAAACACAAAUAAAAAUAUCUCUUAUAUAUUACCAAUUUAAUUUAUAACUUUAAACAAUUUCAAAUGUCAAAUUUACUAAAAAAUUUUAUUCCAUUUUUUUAAUUUCUCAAUGUAUCUAUUAGAGCAAGCCCAAUAACUAACCCUCCACAUUCUAUAGGCCCAUUAACGGGGUGGAUGCUGGUCACGAGUUUUAAAGUUACUCCAUACCCAGGACAAUGAUCGAACCAUUAACCACCAAUUAAAGUAGAAAAGGUUGUUGCCAUCUCAAGUGUAAAAUAGUUGACAAAGAUGUGAAAAAUUGGUAAGUUUUAGUUUUACGAAACCAAUCUUAUGUGUACACUUUAUAAUUUAUUCUUUUGCCAUUUUACAUUUAAUAGCUAAUCUAUAUUUUAUUUAACAUAUAUUCCCAACAAAAAUUGUUCGACCUAAUUAUUGUAUACUCAAUAUUUUUAGCUUUUCUAUUAAGAUAAUGAUAUCUAGGGCAAAGUUAGAAAAUUUUUUGGGACGGAAUUAAAUUAUAUAUUUUUACGAUAAUGAAAAUAUAAUUUUACCAUUUUAAUAGUUUAUAUCUUUAUAAUUUUUAAAAGGUUAAAUCAAUUUUUUAUUAAUUUUUGGGGAGGAAAGUGUAAUUUUACCAUUACUAAUUUAAAAUUUUAUAAGUUAUAAAAGACUUAAAUGGAAAAUAUUCUAUUUUAGAGGGAACGGGGCUCCGCCACUAAUCAUGUCUAUUUUUCAUUAAAUUAUUUACCUAAACUUUAAAUCAUUUCUAUAAAUUUUUGUACUUUUUACCUUGUAGGAGUCUUUCAUUAGAUUGUGUGCAAUAGAAACCACCUCUACUCAAUUUAAUCAAUCCAAUUGGUUUAAUUGAAUAAACUAUUAAAAAUUAAAAAUAAUAUAUUUUAAAAAAUCAACUCGGUCAUUUGUUCAACCGGUUCGUGGAUCAACUAGUCUAAAUACUUAUUUUAAAUUGAGACAAUCUAAACUUGAAAUUAUCCAAAUUCUAAAUACUCAAACUUAAACCGGUUCAAAUAAGUGGUAAUCCUAAUCCAAAGAGAGACCGAUAUGAACCCAUUUGUCACUAGUACAUAGACGAUCCUUUGCUUAGAGAAGGAUAUUAGGGAAUGGCAAAGUCUUUUCCCUUUCUGCAUGAAAUUUUGGUCCCAAUAUGUAAACGUUGUGUUUUAUUAGCAAAUAAAGGGUAAGAAAAAGCGAGGUAAGUAUUGAAGAAUAAUACAUCGACUCUCUUUACAAUAAUGUACAUUAUUUGUAAGGCAACUAAAUGAAUACAUAGGGAAAAUGUUACCCAAAACGAAAAAAGAAAAAAAUCUAUUAUUGAAAAAUAAUGUAUAACCUCAUAGGUCAGAAUUUGAUUCUUAUUAUAAUUAACAAUGUCAGUUUCCUUAAAAUGAAAAAAUUUUCAUUUAGGCUCCUUUAUAAUUUAUAAAAUUUUAAAUUAAUAAUUGUAAAAUUAUAUGUAGACUAUUAAAAUGGUAAAAUUACAUUUUCACUAACAUAAAAAUAAUCAAUUUAAUUUCAACCCUCAAAAUAUUUUUUUUGACUUCACUACUAAUAAUCAACUUAGAUACUACAUUAAGCUGAAUGAGAAUUAUAUAAAAAUUAAAAUUAUUUAUUAAAUGAGGAUGUAGGCAUGUUGUUAAAAAGAUUAGCCUCUCAUUGUUUUGCACUGGAUUGGUUAUUUAUUUGUAUUAUAUUAUAAAGUAAAAAAAUUAAAGAUUAAAAUAUUCUCGAAGUUCUUACACACUUCGUACAUUUGAAACUUAGUUUCUCUAUUUUUACUUUCAAAAUUAAAAUUUAUCAAUACAUAAUCAAAGUCAUUAAUCCCACAUCAGAAAGAAAAAGAAUCCUAAAUAAAUAAUUUUUUAGGAAGAAGGUAAUUAUCCAAAUACAUAUAUAGAUUUGUGAUGGGUCUUGGGCUAUAGCUAGAUCUAUAAUAGAAUAAUUCAAAAUUAGAAAUUUUCAGAUCAUUUCAUCCAAAUCAGUUUCAAAUUUAAGUUUGAAAUUAUUUGAAGUUUAAAUUUUCUAAUAAGAUUUAUAUUCAAGUUGAUAAGGUUUUCAAAUCCAAAAAUCACAGAUCUAAUUGCCUUUGAUUCACAAUUUUUGAAGAUAAAAAUGGGGAAAAAAAACUUAUAACAGUAUAAGUUGUUUAUAUUAAUUUAAAGGUUGAAUAACAUGGGGCUAUAUAUAUAUCUAUUAGUAUUUAACUUGGAAAAUAAUUUUAAAAUCUAAAAUGAUAUUAAAAAGUAUUCAAAACAAAGUUGUUGGGAAUGACAACCACAAAUCUCGAAAUGAUUAGUUUUCAUGAUAUGUAAAAAGCGAAUAUAAACAGUAAAAUGAUUAGUGAUUGACAGUAAAGGAUAGGUAAGCUUACCAUGAAAAUAGCCGGAUCGAGAUCACGGAAUUCGCUUUUGUUUACGCUUAUGAAUCUUCAGUUGCCCGAUUACGUACUGAAUGAUUUCUUUCGUGGUGGCUUUCCUUCCUUCCUUUCUGUUCCAAAUCUGAAAAGUAAAAGAAGAAUAAAAGAGGAUCACUAAUGGCUGUUCUUUACCCCCAUACAUGCCUAGCCUAGUUAUGUUGCUAUAGGUAUAGCUAGUAUGCAGAAGGAAAAGGGCCGAAAGGGGCACUACAAAUUCGAAAGCAGUGCUAUGUACGGAGGGGGACUGGAUUAGCACCUAAUCCAUUUGGUGCCAAACAUCAUCUGAGAGAGCAGCAUUUGAAUAGAAACACAAAAUUGUGCUCAAGUGGGUCCUUUAUACUAGUCACCUUAGGUGCCUGCUGCACCUUUCUUGCAUCCAAUUGCACAACCCGUAAAUUCAACCCCAAUAUAUCAACUCUCUCUCUACCCCUCUCUCUUCAUUGCUCACUUGUGCCUGUAUCUGCAGAUAUGUGGCUAUAUCCAUUAACACAUUUGUAUCCAAAUUCAUGAUGAAACUAAGGAUUAAUACGUUACAUAUGUUAAUAAGAACAUAUUUUGCAGUGCUCCUAGCAAAGUCUUGUUGUAAGAUAAGUACCAUGUUUCACUGCUAGGAAGUUUUAUGAAGUAAGUAUUAUCUUGGGUAAAUCUUCAUCAAAAGGAAUCGAACCAUAAAAAUUGUAAUAGGUGUUGGAUAAAAUACGUUAGCGAACAAAAUAAUUAAUUAUAAAUAAACACAUAUGAAAUAAAAUAUAAAUAGAAUGAUUUAUAAUUAAUUUAUCAAAUACAAAAAUCAAAUAAAAAGUUGAAAUAAAGUAGAAUCAAGAUUUCACGAAAAGUCGGGGCCUGUGAAACACAGUUUCCUUGAGGCAAAUUCGGUCGCUCCGACAGUACUUGGAGAAAUGUUGGUCGAAUGUUUCCCAGGAUACAACAGCAACAAUGAUCAGAGUAGUAGCACCUCUACAACGAUCGAACAAACAAACUUUUUCUUUUUCUAUCACUGGAAUAUUGUAAAAAUACGGAGAGGCAAAAGAAGAGUUUUGAAAUGAACAGAAUUUCAGUAUAGGAAAUUAUUUGAAUGUGUGUGCAAUCCUCUAGAAUACACAGCAUUUUAUAGGCAUUUAGGAUAGUAAAAAAAUUUGGAAAUAAACAUAAAUAUGCCAUUAAGGAAAAGUCAAAUUAGAUUUAAAAAUUAAGGAAAUAAACAUAAAAAUCAAUUUGAUUUAAAAAAUAAAUCAAAUUAGAUACUGUCUAUAGAUAAGCAGAUUAUGUCUGCUGAGGAAAAAUAAAUUCGUGUUGGGUUUGCUUAAAAUAUCCGUAAGCCCAAUUAAGCUUGACCGGUCCAAACAUUUCGCGUUGCCCACAUCGUGCGGGUGUGCCCCAACCCUUUUAGGUUUAGACCUAUACUUUCUACGCACAAGACAAAGUUACAAACUUAAUCAUUCAAUUAUCUUUUUAAGAGGGUUCACAUAUAUAAAUCCAUCUCACACUUUGGUAUUUAACCAAUAUGGAUCCAAUCAUUUAUUUUUAGCUUACUUUGAGCAUCAAUUUCUCAUUCAUUUCAACCAUUUUGAGCAUAUGAUAUAUUGUUGUAAACGUCUCAUGGAGUAGAAUAUGAAACCAUAAUUUAUGAUUCAACUCUCCACUUUUACCUAUAGAGAAUAUGCUUUAAAGUUCCCAUAAAAAUGCAAUUUUUCCAACAACAGGAGUGUCUGCAUUUGUACUUUCAUAAUGGUAAACAAUCAUCGGUAUUCAUGCAUUGCGAGGGGCCGGGGGGGUUAAAAAAGUUAAGGUAUGCAUUGUUUUUUGUACAGACUGUAAAAAUUUUAUUGGCCGCAACAAUUGGUUACUUAUAGUAAUGUUAGGGGGGUCUCUUGGAAAUUCUGUGACCACACAAGGGUACCAUACUGCAAAACAUUGCUACCAUUACCAGUACCAAAUGUGCAUCCCCCCACUUAAACAGCCCUACCUUCUUCUUCUUCUUUUUUUUUUUUUUUUUUUUUUUUUUUGCCUUUUGAUUUCUUUCUUGUGGUCCUCACAUUUGGCAAUUAUUGGUUCAAACAAGAUAAGCUCAUCACCAUCGUUCCUUAUUAAAAAACAAGUUUCAGUUUCAUCAGUUUUUAUUUUUUUCCCUUUACUGAUAUUUUCAAAACCUACACACAUUGCCUUGUUGCCAAUGACAAAUAUUUUGUUUGUUUAAUAAUGGUGGAUGGUGGCAUUAGAAUAUUACUGACUCGCAUGCUUGUUUUUCUGCACUGACCUUAACUUGGUUAAAGUCUUAAUCCACUAACAAUGUGGAUACUACAAAGUUUUUUAGGUGCUUUAAAGAACUAAACUUUUAGUUUAACUAGUGAUCUUCUCAAUAAUAUAUAUACAACAUUUAUUUGAGGAGAAGGGUUUUAUACAACAUUUAUUUGUUUAUUUAUAGCAUAACUCUGUCCUUAUAGCUUGCACCAAAGAGACUUUGUGGCCAUAAGCAUUGGCUUAAAGACAUCUACAUCUGAUGUAAUAUUAAACAGUUUAAAUUAUAAUGAUAUUGACACAAAAUUGAAGUUUGCAUACUUUUCUGAUAUAUAUACUUUGUGAUGAGCCCUGCAAUAUGGAGUAAACGAUCUUAAAGAUCAAUGUUCAAGCCUUGUUGCCUAAAUUCUUUGCCUAAAUUUUAUAAUUGAUUGAAUAAGUGUUGAUUCACUAUAAACUCAUCUGUUGAAGCAAAAAAAAAAAAAAAAGAUUAAAAAACUACAAAAAGACAUGUAUAUGUUGAAAUGACUAAGCCCAUUUUGCCAUCAAAGACAUAAAUCCAGCACCAAGUAAAACUGCAACAUAUGACCAAGCCUGGAGCUUCAUAUUUGUUUGAAGCUUAGGGCCCAGAAAAUCAGCUGCAAGGAGAUCAACCAGUGCCAUGUAAUUCAGCAACCCUGCUGAGCAAGCAUUAAGUAGUCCCACCACCAUAAGUGAAGUUGGACUCGUCUCACUGUAAACCUUGGACAAACCAAUUCCCAGAACUAUUCCAAGUGCCGUUGUGGCUGAAAAGAAGAAUACCAUGAUUGCUUUCAUUUUUAUCUCAUAUUCAGCCUGCACAUAUCAAACAUAAUGUUAAUCAAUAUUGUACACUAAAUGGAUGUUUGAAUGAGAAAAUAGUGCAAUGUUGGGGGUUACCUGCAGUAUGCAUCCACCAAGUCCCAUCCCCUCAAACAUUUGAUGGAAGCAAAGGGCAGCAAUGAGUGAUCGAAUGGUGCAUUGAUUGCCAGAGGCUCCCAUUGCAAGACCAAUCACCACUGAAUGAACUACAAUUCCCAACUCUAAUACCUACAUUUAGGAAAUAUAUAAUGUAAAGACUUGAAAAGCAAAACCAUCGAAUUUGAGGAUUCAAACAUGUAUAUAUACCUGAGCAAUAACUCGAUGCCUUAACAAUUGUGAUGAUACGUCGUCAUUCAUCUCAAGUGAAUGGCUAUGGCCGUGUUCAAAGUUAUCGAUUGGUACAACGUUCGUAUUUUCCAAUCCACCACCAUUGUUAGCAUCCGCCAUUAAAGCUUUACCGCAACGUUUCUUGUAUACACUCAUUGCAAAUGAAUCCACCAUAAGGGUCAACACAGCCGACAGCAUUGCGACGAAGGUUGUGAAAGGGAACUUCCUCCAUGGGUUUUCAGGCAAACACCCGGACAUAAGGUCGUUGAAAGAAUCCGCUAGCACGUGCAUGUACCCAGUCGCUAGAAUAACACCGGAGGAAAAUGCCUUGACAAUGGUGAACAAGUCUCUGCCGGGUUUAAGUGACGGAACCUGACCAGAAAACAAUGGUAGACACACGCCAAUCAUGCUGGAUAGUAAAAUUGCGACAAUGGCGAUGAUUUUUAGCUUCAUGGAUUCUCUGUAGUUAUGGCAUCCAUUAGUCUUGGUCUCUGCUUCACAUUGAGCCAAUACAAGUGGAGUAGAAGAUGAAAAGAUGAUGAAAAGAACAAGGAAGAUUGAAUUUGCAAGGGAUUUUAGAACUGAUUUCAUGGCUGCCAAGAAAGAUUUACUGUUACGUUGGAUUGUGAGGCUUAACCGACUGGUUUAGAGGGAAUGAAUAUAUACAUUUCAUGGCCAAAUAUUACUCGUAUUUUUUUUGCCUCAUUUGUAAUAUUUCAGAUUUGGUGAUAUUAUUGCGAUUAAAAUUUCUAAUAUGUCCUUACUUUCGUUGAUUAAGUGGUAAAUUUAACAAGAAAUGUGAUGGUAUUUUGGUAUUUUAGCCUCGAAAUAAGGAAACCUGUGCAUGGCGUGUGAUAUGUGUGACCCGCCUUAAACUUUCUCGACCUUUGACUUUUCUAAUAAUACUAAGCACACGUCAGGCGUAAGCCUUUCUGCUGAUGUGGAAAUUCUUUUUCCAUGCAACAAUAUUAUUAUAAUCAAUCAUUAAAUGUUGUCUUUAAAAUAUUUUUUUAAAAAAAAGUUGUCUUUAAAAGUUGAAACAUAAAAUGAUAUUAUGAAAUAGUACUAGAUUAACAAUAUUGCAUCUUUAUUUUAAAUUAUUCUCCCAACUUUAAAAUAUUUUAAACUAUUUAUCUCAUCCUUUUAUUAUUGACACUAUUAAUUUAAAAUGAUAUUUUUAAAGAAAAGUAAAAUGUUGUCGAUACAACUUUUAAAAAUAAAAAUUAAAAAUAAAGUAGAAGAGAAAAUGAAUGAUAAUUUUUGUAAUACCUUCGAUACCUUGAAAUCAAUAUUUUUACAAUAUUCAUUUUUCUUUAAGUUUUUUAUUUUAAAUUAUGUCUCAUAAGAUUUGACGUCUCAUUUAAUGAUUUUAGCAGCAAAAGAACAUUAUUGAUAUAAUAUUGAUAAUUUGGAAAUGUAAUUUAAAAUAUUUUGAGUUUGAGGACUAUUUUAGAAGAAGGGCCAUAGUUUAGAGAUAUUUGGAGCAAUUAACUCUAAUAAUAAUGACAUGACAAAGUUAAAAAAGGUUAAGUUAGAAUUUUGGAGAUAUAUUAUUGGAAGAAAAGUCAAAAUUCAUAGACUAUAAAUAUUUAAAAAAAAUGAUAAACUAGAUUGCAGGUCACUCAACUAGCUUAAAUGACUGCAUACCUUCCGCUCACAUUAUAUUCGUUCAUUUCCAUCAAUGCGGUGCUAACAGCCUCGUACACGACAUCACCGUAUUCAUUUCUCAACUCCUUCAGCUUCUCGUCGUCUUCGUCUACUAUUUCCUACACUACCGAGUAGCCAUCCCCUUAAUAUAUCUAAGUUUGAGUAAUAAACUGGCUCGAUUCUGACAUACAUGUUUAGCACGUUUAGUACAAAAUGGAUUUUCGAUAACCGGAUAACAGAAUAGUUGGUGUAUGCACCAUGCCUGCAAGUUGCCUCGGAUAUUGAUCAUCUUAAACGGGUGCCAUUUCGGAUCCUGCACGUUUUGUUGCCAUAAUGAACAUAAUUUAGCACAUGUUUCUUGCCAAUCUUUGUUCGGGAACUUCCCAGAGCUAGCAACUUCAAAAGCUUUUUGAUCGAUCUCUCCCAUUCUUUUUACUACAAGAGUUGUUCGGCUUGUCAAUACAUCAUUUAGACCCUGCAUAUCAAGAACCAGAGAAGUCUUCGGUUUAACACUUUCAUACCUGAUUCCGAAGAGGUAUUUCUUGCACCUAAAGAAAUAAAACAUCCAAGAAAACAAAGGAUUCUUUUCGAGCAUCUUGCAGUUCUCGAUUAAUUAAGAUUUGUUUCACCGUAAGACAACUGUAUCGGCUUUCCAUAUCUUUCAACGCCUCUGAUGUUUCCUCCAAUUGUUCCUUUAGAGCAGCAAUCUGAUCGCUCGUAGUUUUCUCGAGUUCAACAAGAUCUCGACAAGGCACAUUCUCUUUCGGCUGUAUCAGAUACAAUCCACAUUGUUAAAUGUCCACUCGGCAAAUCAUAACCAUAAAAUAAAUAGGUAACAAAAUGUAUACAAAAAAUGUUUAAUUUACAAAAAAAUUAACCUGGGAUGAAAAUGGCUUAACGUUGCCGUUUGUCUUCUUUUUCUUCUUCUUCUUGCUGUAAACUUAGGGGGGAAAACUGGCGGCGUUAGAGAAUCAUCAAGAUAUAUGAAGGAUAACACUUGUUUUCCCGAGAAAUUUUUUCCAUAUUUUGCUUUUAUUUCCCUUUGGUCGAUUUAGUUUCCAUAUUCAACUUCCCUUCAUUAAAUAAGAUCUCAAAAAGUUAGUAUUUUUAUUCAUUAUUGCCAUUUUAUCUUUAUCAAAUCUGAAAUUUUUGAAUAUAUAUAAACAAUAAUUAGUCAAAUUUGGCAUUAAUAUAUUACCAGUAAUGCUGGUAAAAUUUUAGAACAUUCGGCACCAAUAUAUUACCAAUCUGAGUAAUGCACCAUUUAACAGCGCUUACGUUCUUAACUUCAUAUAUAUAUAUAUUUGUAUGUAUGUAUGUAUGUAUGUAUGUAUGUAUGUAUGUAUGUAUGUAUGGUUGAAGCUGAUUAAUGGGAAUUCAGCUUGCAUCCCAAUAUAAUGUACACAAAAUUGCCUUACUUCAUAAUAUUGUUAGUACAUAGAUUAACAUAGCAAUGGAACUCAUAAUAUGACACCCAGAUUUUAUAGAUUAACACAUCAUAAAGCUAUUCAACUAACAGUGCAUGUAGUCUGUAAUGCGAAUCAUAUAAGCAUUAGCCUCGUAUGGCCAAAGUGUUCCCAUAUAUUAUGUUCUUAUCUGGUUCUGAACACAUUAAGCUUAUCCGAGCCUAAAUUGAUCCGGUUCCCGUAAUAAAAGCUAAGUUUGGGGUUCAAAUCCUGACAUUUAUAUAGAUCAAUCAAUGGGUACCAAACGAUUCAAUUAACACAUAGUAUUCUGCUCACUACAUACACAUAUAUAAUCUAAAGUACCUUCAGCAAACGCAAGGCGCAACGCAGCAUUCUUGCCCUUCAACUGUCUCACGGUUACAUUAUAUUGAAGCUCCCAACCCCACAGAUUACUGUCCUUGGAGUUAAUUUUUGCUAUGAGGCCAUUGAUGAGUCCUCGAAGAGUUGCGGUCAUCUCGUUAUAUUCACGUUCCAUUUGGGACAACUGUUCUUUUCUGCAAUUAAUAUCGUAUAUGAGACUGCAAACAAGCCUGCGAUCAUUCUUCAGCUCCUUGUCGUAGUUGGUGUUCUCCAUUUCAAUGGAAGAUUUAAGUGCCUGCAAAUAUCAUUAUCAAAUCACAUAAAUGGAUUAAGAUAGAGGUAUCCUAAAAAGUUGAACAAUAACACUAAGAAGCAAAGCCAAGUUCAUGUAGUGAGAUUAAAACCCCAAAUGUUGGAAUCAUAAUAUUAGUUACUAAAAUCAAAGAAAUCCAUUCACUAUAACUACAAAUAGGAUGAAGAACCAAAAUUAUUCUCUGUUUUUCCAUUUUCUACUUUUUCAUUAUUGGCAUUAUUGAAGAAUUUUUCAACAAUAAGCUUCACCACUUUGCUGGUGCCUUCGGAAAUGGAAAUUGGUUUCAUUUCCAUAUUGCCAAGCAUUUUCCCACAAAUUCCCGUACUAAAAAAGGAAACAUGAAAUUUGAUCACAAAAACUCAAUGAAUCACUUGCCAAGCAAAAAAAGGAUUCAAGGAUAUGAAGCACCCUUAGCAAAAUUCAGGAUAUCAUUUGAUUUACAUAAAACACAUUGCAAAUUUUAAAACCCUGUUUGAAUUUUUUUCAAAGAGAAACAUGUCUAAGUGUGCAGGUCAAUUUCUGGGCCUUCUUAUUUAAUUUUAUUGGAAGAAAUUGUUUAAUUGAAUUUCUUUUAAAUCUUAAGAUAGUAGUAGAAGGACCAAAAGCAAAGUUGGACCUUCAUCCUUCAAUUCUGGCCAAUAUAUCAGAAAAUUACCACUGUUGACCAGCAAAUAUAUAAGCAACAAUUUAUUCCCAGAAAACUUGAGGUAUUCACGGUUCAACAGAGUAGAACUGGCGAAAACCCAGUAAAAAGGAAAAAAAAAAAAACUCUAAUGCAAUCUUAAGUGCGCGGAACCCAUGAACAUGAAAACUAAACCCAGGGGGAAAAAAGCAACAAAGCUGAAAAAAUGGCAAAAAAAAAAAUCAAAUUCACAGUUCAAGAGAGUAAAACAGACCGAACCCACUAAAAGAAAGAAAGAAAACUCUAAUUGCAAUCUUAAGUGCACAAAAACCCAUGAAUAUGAACGCCACGCCCAGGAAAAAAAAAAGAAACAGAGCUGUAAAAAUGUGGGAAAAAAAAAGGGAAAAAAAUUUGGACCAUUUCUCGAUUUGUGCGUGUCAUCCUUGAGCAGGGGCCAUGCUAAUCUUCUCUGUAUCGUUCCAAUUUUAUCGGCUGUCCCCGAAGGGACAACCAUGCGGUUCUUCUUUCGGUUAUAUAAACGCUCCUGUGUUAUAGUUAUUUAGCGAUAUGGGAUAUUUUCUAACCAGGGCCCUGAAGUAUGCUACCACGUCCUGACCAUGCCAGCCUGAAUUGAGGCCUGAUGUCUUUGGAGUGGCACAUGAUAAAAACGUGGCUAACACACGUGGCAAGCUCAGUGUUUAUCACUUAUCCCAACUUGAUUAUUAGAAUUUAGAGAAAAAUAUAUAUAUAAACCAAUGUUACUUUCAUAUUUGACUUCACAUUACAAUCGAGUUACUAUUAAGUUUGAUUUGCCAUAGUUGUAGGUUAAAUUUUAAAAUAUUUGGGUUUGCCUUGGAAUCAAUGUAUAUUACCAAUCAAUAAUGUUGCUCUAUAAAACGUAAAUCCCAAUAUUGAUAUUAUAUUGGAACAUACUUCACGAAUAUGUUUGUAUGUAUCGAUGGGAAUAUUUCAACAGCAUUCCUUUAUAAUUCAUAGGACAUAUAAGCAAUUCAUGCAAUUCAUAGUGUUUUUUCAUUUUAGAAAAUGAACAUUUUAAAAAAGGUAUUGUAGAACGAAUGAAUAGAACGAUCAUGGAAAAGGUUCGAUGUAUGUUGUCAAAUGUCAACUUACCAAAGUUAUUUUGGGCCAAAGCAGUGUCAACUACAUGUUUUUGAUCAAUCGGUCUCUAUCCGUUAUCAUUGAGAAAAAGACUCCAUAAGAGGUAUGGUCUGGUAAUCCUACUGACGAUUCUGAUUUAAAGAUUUUUUGGCAUAUUGCGUAUGCUCAUGUUGAUAAUGAAAAAUUAGAAUUGUGUACCAUUAAAUGUGUUUUUAUUGGUUAUAAAGCUGGUGUAAAAGUGUAUAAGUUAUGGUAUCCUGAAAAUAGAAAGGUUGUGAUUAACAGAGAUGUUGUUUUUGAUGAAACUGUUAUGCUACCUAACAUAUCUCUUAAAGACUCUUCCAAUAAAGAAAAUCAAAAGCAGGUGGAGCAUCAAAGUAAUCUAGAAUCUACAACAGAGUCGACUCCUCAAGCUAGUACAAAAAUUCAAAAUAGAGUUGUUUUUUCACCACAAUAUUCUAUUGCCAAAAACAGAACUAGAAGAGAAAUUAAACUUCCAAAGAAGUAUGACGAGGCUGAUCUAGUUGCUUAUGCUUUAAAUGUGGCUGAAGAUAUAAAUGCAAACCAAGAGCCAUCUAAUUAUUCUGAUGCGGUUAAUUGUGAAGACUUAGAAAAGUAGACGUUUGCUAUGCAAGAGGAGAUGGAAUCACUCCACAAAAACAAAAUAUCGGAUCUUGUGAAACUUUCUAAACGUAAAAAGGUUGUUUGUUGUAAAUGGGUAGAGGUGUCCAUGGGCAGGUCUGGGUCGAGUUCGGGUCAGGCCCAAAAAAAUUUUCAGCCCGCUUCCUAGGCCCGAGCCCAGCCCGGCCAGGUCCAUUUUUUAAUUAAAAUUAAAAUUAUAUUUUUAUUAAAAUUAAAACUAAUUGUUAUUAAAAUUGUAUCAAAUUAUAUAUUUUUUUGUACCAGUCAACAUUUUGUAAAAUCUAACAUUUUAUUAGUAAAAUUAUUAAUUGUUAAUUGUAUUAAUUGUUACUAAAAUUAUCAAAUUAUAUUAAAUUAUUAAUUAUUAAUUGUUACUAACAUUUUUUUAGUAAAAUUAUUAAUUGUUAAUUGUAUUAAUUGUUAGUAAAAUUAUCAAAUUAUAUCAAAUUAUUAAUUGUUAAUUGUAUUAAUUGUUGUAACAAAAUCUAACAUUUUGUAACUUAAAACUUAAAAUAAAACUAAAACUAGUAUAUUUUAAAAAUAAAAAAUAUAUAUUUAAUAUAUUUUUGGGCCGGGCCGGGCCCAGGCCAAAAAAUUUUGCCCGAGGCCCGGCCCGUUUUCUAAACGGGCCUCGUUUUUACCCAAUCCCAUAUUUCGGGCCUACAUUUUUACCCAAACCCUCCCAUAUUUUUAAAAUAUUUUAAAAAUAUUAUUUCAAUCAAGAGAUUGAACCUAAACUCCCAUGCGUCAACACAAAUACUAAUGCCUCAAUAACUUUUAGUAAUUAAUUUGUAAUUCAAACUUAUAUAGAUAAAUAGAUGAAUGAUAUAUAUUAUUUUAUAAUUGUAAUUUUGAAUUGCUAAUUUUCUCUUGAAAUGUUCCGAGCUCAAAACUAUUUAAAUUUCCCAAAAUAUUCGAGUCUAAACUGACUUGAACUCAACAUAAUCUAAACUUGAAAUAAUUCAAAUUCAAAUCCAAAAAUUUUACUUAAAAUAAUAUAAGUAUAAUGAUAAAUUCAGCACUUAAUAUUUACAUCUUUUGUCAAUUUGAUCAUUAUUAUUUCUUAAUUUAAAUUUGACCAUUAACCUUUAAAAAAAAGUCAAAUUGUGUUUUUUUUAAAUGUUGACUAAAACAUUAAUUUUUAACAAAGUUGGCAUGACUAAAACAUUAAUAAAUUGUGAUAGUCCACAUGUACUUUAUGUUGACAUAGCAUUAUUUAUCUUAUAUGACAUGCCAAUAAAUUAAAAAUAUUAAAAAAAUUCCCACAAAAAGAGUUCAUAAAAAAUCAAAUAAAAACAAACAUGAACUACGAGUGGAGUGUUAUACAGAUUGCCAUGUCUUGAAAUUUAACAUUUUGGUUAAUAUUUUUAUUAAAAAAUAAUAAUUCAACUCUUUUUUAAACGUUGAUGAUCAAAUUCAAUUUUUUUUAAAAGAAUUUAAAAUUAAAUUAAACUAAAAAAUCCUAAAAGAUGUAAAUAUUUUAUGCCAGUAAUAUAUGUAUCUCUCUUUAUUUUCAUGCUCCUCUUUUGGUAGCUUCUACCCCUUGGUACUUUUGUGCCUUAAUAAUUUAACUUUCUUUGGAGGCACAAGGGCAUGGCAGAAAAAAAUGAUUUGAUUGUGUGAUGUUGUCAAUUUUCCUUCACAUCACAUGGCGGGGACCAAAAUGUUAACCCAAAUUGAAGAGCUAUACUAUUUUUCACAUAAAAGACUUUUUAACUUUGAAUGGGAAAAAUAAUAAUGUGAGAGUGACUUUAAAUAAUUAUAUAUAACUUGCUUUUUUUUUUAUUUCAAUGAUUUUAAAUUUCCUUACCUAUUAAAUUAAGAAAAGUAAAAUUAUCUUUAUGAUUUUUCUCAAUUUUGAUAUUAAGUAAAUCAGUCUUUUUAAAAAAUUAGAACAAUUUAAUUCUUGUCAAUUUUAAAAGUGAGUAACUACGGAUAAUUAAUUAUAGCGUUAAUGUUUUCUAUCAAUUAUACAUAAUUUUGAUUGGUAUAAUAAUAAAUUUAGCCAUUAAUGCUUAUAUAUUCUGCGUAACUGUUGACAAAAUGUGUAAACAUUGCGGACUAAAUUUGUUAAAUCAGGACCAACUUGAUGGAAUGUGAAAAUGUUAUGAGUUAUAUUUGUUAUAUUAAGGUCAAAUUGACAAAAUGUGUAAACUUUGAAGGUUAUAUUUUUUAUUAUACCAAGAAAAAAUUGUAGAACUGAUGAAAAACAUAAACAUUGUGGUUAAUUAUACUUAGUUGCUCAAUUUCAAAAUCAACAAUGAUCAAAUUUCUCCAAAUUUUUUUAGAAAGGGGCCAAUUUGCUCAACAUCAAAAUUAAGAGGGAUCAAAGAAAUGUUUUUACCAAAAAAGAAACAUUUAAUCUUUAAAUGAAGCCCAUCCUCUCUCUCACUUAAUUUUUCCUUUAUAUAUUUGGCUCUUUCUUCGAACCUCUAGCCUUUGUUUUUCUUGUUCUUCUCCUUUGAUCUCAAAUGACCUUUGUGAAGAUCUAAGCUUGGUCCCUUGUGUGUUUUCUUUUUUUGCAAUAAUGUGCAGCAUGGAGAAGAGUAUAUACUUAUAUAUAUAUAUAUAUAUAUAUAAAUAGAGAGAGAGAGAGAGAGAGAGAGAGAGUACUCCUCUUGUUCUUCUCUUUUCAUUUUGAGCAGCAUUUGCAGCACCCCUACCGGCAUCAACUUCGCUUGUAAUUUUCGUAAGCUUUUUCUUCAGUGGCCUUUGUUAGCCUAUAGCUCUAAUCUGAGUUGUAGACCACCAAUCCUUAAUGAGUUCACGAUCCAUGGUAUAUGGACACAUAAUGCUAAGAACAAACCAAUGCUCCCUUAUGAUUCAAACAAUCCCUGCACCUAUCCACCGGUGUAUGGAUUACAUGAAUCAUAACGAGACAUUGAUUUGUUAUUAGCAUUAUGAGCCCACAAUCCGUGGAUUGUGAAUUCGUUAUCAGUUGGUUUUCUACAAUUUAAAUUAGAGCGGCAAGUUGAUGAAGGUCAUUGAAGUGACAGUUUAUAGAAGUUUACAAGGGAAGUUGAUGCCAGAGAGGUACUGCAACACGGUUUAAUUAAUUGUAGGAAGCCAUCUGAUGUGAUAACUUUCUCAUUCUCGGCUCUUGUACACUAAAUCUAAAAUUGUGCACUUAAUAUUUGAUUGCUUGUUUAUCAUAUUCUAAAAUUUUAAUGGUGGAUCAUAUAAAAUAAGUUUGAUUGCUUAGACUUUCGAUUCCUUGUUUUAAGUUUCUUGCAUUAAUGUUUUUGAUCCUACAAAGAAUAUAUCGUUGGCUAAAAUGUUUUUUUUUUCUUAAAUUCUUUUUUCAAAUUUAAUAUUUUAGUAAAAAUAUCAAUUUAUGUACGAAUUUAAUAAAAAAAUACAUCUAUCUUAAGAAAAAAGAAAGGGUAAUUUAUAUUCUAGCAGAAACACCUCUCAUUCAAUCCGAUAACAAAUUUGAGUAAGAGAUACUACAUUUAACACUAAACUCAUCACUUCAAUUUAUUCUUAUUUCAUUGAGGUACUUUAUAACACGAAACAUUAUCUUUCGUACAUAAUUCACAUUAUUACUAAUAAGCUUAAGUGCAUGCCAAAUUAAGGUCCAGAAUUUAUAUAUCAAAGAACUUGAACUUGAAGCUUGCGGAGUGAAGUGGUCCAAAUUUAAGCAGAAAUCUUUCAACCUUUAUUGUUUUUUCUUUCAUAUAAUCAUACACUUCCUUGCAUUUUCACUUAAUUUAUGGCUUAUCAUACCAUAAAACUUUUCAUUUACAUAUCACAUGUUACUCAUAUCUUUUACAGAUCAUGAUCAUAAUUAGAAUAUCGAUAAUAGAACUCCUAGAGGCUUAGGCCAAAAUAGAACUCUCGACCUUUUAACAAAACUCUAAUAAUAGAUUUCCGAUAACCUACCUGUAGACAAUAUUUUGAAGAACAAAAUCAUCAACAUAUUGUAAACUGAACUCUUGUAUCGAUUGUAACCCCUGUUUCACCAAUCCUAAGAGUAAAUUUUUUUCUAUCUUAAACUCAUGUGAAAAAUUAAAAAUUAGAAAUUUCAGACAAAUUUUACAGAGCACACAAAGAAUAAAAGUUCAUAAUAAAAUGCAUAAAUCUAAAAAUUAAAAUUAAAUCAAAUAAGUCACUAACUUUUGUAUCUUGUCUUCUUUUUAAGAAAAUUUUAAUAUUCAAUAUCAAAUUUCUCAAUUUGCAACCCAUUCAUUUGAGUAACUAUUUUUUAUUUUUAAAUCUUAAUUAAAAAUGUGAGUAUUUGGUAUGCUGAUAAUAUAUUAUUUUUAUUUCACAAGUAAUUUUAAAAAAUUGACAUAUAUCUUUUUUUAAAAAUAUUUAUUUUUAAUAUUUUAUUUACCUCUGUAAGACACUUGUCAACCCAUUGAUUUUGUUGGUGGAGUUUAAAAACUCCACUAACAAUGUACCAAAUAAUUUUCUAAUAAUAUUCAAAAAUCAAAAUUUCAAAAAAAAAUCAUAAAAAUUAAAAAGAUAUUAAAACUUGAGGUAUUCUCGGUUCAACAGAGUAGAACUGGCCAAAACCCAGUAAAAAGGGAAAAAAAAAAAACUCUAAUGCAAUCUUAAGUGCGCGGAACCCAUGAACAUGAAAACUAAACCCAGGGGGAAAAAAGCAAAAAAGCUGAAAAAAUGGCAAAAAAAAAAAAAUCAAAUUCACAGUUCAAGAGAGUAAAACAGACCGAGCCCAGUAAAAGAAAGAAAGAAAACUCUAAUUGCAAUCUUAAGUGCACAAAAACCCACGAAUAUAAACACCAAACCCAGGAAAAAAAAAAAGAAACAGAGCUGUAAAAAUGUGGGAAAAAAAAAAGGGAAAAAAAUUUGGACCAUUUCUCGAUUUGUGCGUGUCAUCCUUGCCCAGGGGCCAUGCUAAUCUUCUCUGUAUCGUUCCAAUUUUAUCGGAUGUCCCCGAAGGGAAGCCAUCUGGUGCUUCUUUCGCUUAUAUAAACGCUCCUGUGUUAUAGUUCUUUAGCGAUAUGGGAUAUUUUCUAACCAGGGCCCUGAAGUUUGCUGCCACGUCCUGACCAUGCCAGCCUGAAUAGAGGCCUGAUGUCUUUGGAGUGGUACAUGAUAAAAACGUGGUUAACACACGUGGCAAGCUCAGUGUUUAUCACUUAUCCCAACUUGAUUAUUAGAACUUAGAGAAAAAAAAUAUAUAUAAACCAAUGUUACUUUCAUAUUUGACUUCAUAUUAUAAUCGGAUUACUAUUAAGUUUUAUUUGCCAUAGUUGUAGGUUAAAUUUUAAAAUAUUUGGGUUUGCCUUGGAAUCAAUGUAUAUUACCAAUCAAUAAUGUUGCUCUAUAAAACGUAAAUCCCAAUAUUGAUAUUAUAUUAGAACAUACUUCACGAAUAUGUAUGUAUGUAUCGAUAGGAAUAUUUCAACAGCAUUCCUUUAUAAUUCAUAGGACAUUUAAUUCAUGCAAUUCAUAGUGUUUUUCAUUUUAGAAAAUGAACAUUUUAAAAAAUGUAUUGUAGAACGAAUGAACGAUCAUGGAGAAGGUUCGAUGUAUGUUGUCAAAUGUCAACUUUCCAAAGUUAUUUUAGGCCAAAGCAGUGUCAAAUGUCAAAUGUCAAUCGGUCUCUAUCCGUUGCCAUUGAGAAAAAGACUCCAUAAGAGGUAUGGUCUGGUAAUUCUGCUGACGAUUCUGAUUUAAAGAUUUUUGGGUGUAUUGCGUAUGCUCAUGUUGAUAAUGGAAAAUUAGAAUUGUAUACCAUUAAAUGUGUUUUUCUUGGUUAUAAAGCUGGUGUGAAAGUGUAUAAGCUAUGGUAUCCUGAAAAUAGAAAAGUUGUGAUUAACAGAGAUGUUGUUUUUGAUGAAACUGUUAUGCUACCUAACAUAUCUCUUAAAGACUCUUCCAAUAAAGAAAAUCAAAAGCAGGUGGAGCAUCAGAUUAAUCUAGAAUCUACAACAGAGUCGACUUCUCAAGCCAGUACAAAAAUUUAAAAUAGAGUUGUUUCUUCAUCACAAUAUUCUAUUGCCAAAAACAGAAUUAGAAGAGAAAUUAAACCUCCAAAGAAGUAUGACAAGGCUGAUCUAGUUGCUUAUGCUUUAAAUGUGGCUGAAGAUAUAGAUGCAAACCAAGAGCCAUCUAAUUAUUCUGAUGCGGUUAACUGUGAAGACUCAGAAAAGUAGAUGUUUGCUAUGCAAGAGGAGAUGGGAUCACUCCACAAAAACAAAAUAUCAGAUCUUGUGAAACUUUCUAAACGAAAAAAGGUUGUUCGUUGUACAUGGGUAGAGGUGUCCAUGGGCAGGUCCGGGCCGAGUUCGGGCCGGGUCCAAAAAAAUUUUCAGCCCGCUUCCUAGGCCUGAGCCCGGCCUGGCCCGGUCCGUUUUUUAAUUAAAAUUAAAACUAAUUGUUAUUAAAAUUAAUUGUUAUUAAAAUUGUAUCAAAUUAUAUAUAUUUUUGUACCAGUCAAUAUUUUGUAAAAUCUAACAUUUUGUUAGUAAAAUUAUUAAUUAUUAAUUGUUAAUUGUAUUAAUUGUGUUUAAAGUCUCUUUAUUUUCAUGCCCCUCUUUUUCUAGCUCCUACUCCUUAGUACUUUUGUGCCUUGAUAAUUCAACUUUCUUUGGUGGCAUAGGGGUACGGAGGGAAAAAUAAUAAUUGUGUGACAUUGUCAAUUUUCUUUCACUUCACAUGGAGCUGAUCAACAUGUUAAUCCAAAUUGCAGAGUUACACCAUUUGUACAUAAAAGACUUGCUAGCUUUGAAUGGGUAAAAAAUAAUGUGAGAGUAACUUUAAAUAAUUAUAUAAAACAUACUAUUUUUUUUAUUUCAAAGAUUUUCUUUUUUGAGAUUUUCUUACCUAUGAAAUUAAAAAAAAAUAAAAAAUAUCUUUUUGAUAUUGAACAAAUUGGUCACUCUAAAAGAAAUAGAGUAAUUUAAUCCUUACCAAUUUUGAAAAUAACCACGAACAAUUAAUCAAGCGCUAGUAGUUUCUGUUAAUUAUACAUAAUUUUGAUUAGUAUAAAAAUAAAUUUAAUCCUUGAUGAUUAUAUAUUUUGUGUAAAUGUUGAUAGAAUGUGUAAUUAUUACGGGUUAAAUAUGUUAAAUCAUGAUCAAAUUGACAAAAUGUGUAAAUAUUGUGGGUUAAAUUAGUUAAAUCAAUAACAAAUUGAUAGAAUGUGUCAACUUUGAGGGCUAAAUUUAUCAUUAUACCAAAAAAAUUAUGUAUAAUUGAUGAAAAACAUUAACGUUGUAAUUAAUUGUCCUUAAUUUAUCACUUUCAAAAAUAAAAAUGAUUGAAUAACUCUGAUAUUUUUAGAAAUACCAGUUUUUUCAAUAUCGAAAUUGAAACAGAUUACAGACACAUGUUUUAAUAUAUUUACCAAAAUCGGGGUAAUUCUGAAAUCAAUUGCCAUUCUUCAUUUUAAUAUAUUUCAUUAUUAGUUGCUUAUGUUCUUUUUUUUUUCUUUUUUAUGGUUUAUGCAUGCAUUGUGUUUGGUUCUUCUUUUUGCAACAAUGAGCAACAUAGACAACAAAUAAUGAAAUAUUAAGUGCAUAACACAAAUCCCAAAUAUGAAUUAUAAAACGGAUAUAAAAGAUACAAAUAAAAAUUAAUACUAGACUCAGCCACGAAUGCUUUAAGGGAAAGCUGUCGCAUGAGAUGGCUUGGGCUCUUGACCUUUUGUAACAAAUAUAAAUCUGCCAUUAUCGAAGUGCAUUAAUCCUUUUGUUUCAUUUGCUAGCGAUUUGGGGAGAGGCUCCUACAAGGCCAUAAACUCUUAUCGCAACAAAUUUUUACAAGCUUUAUUUUCAAUGGCCUUCAUUAGUUUAUAUGAUCAAUCCCCAUUAAAACGACAAUUUUUUAUGGAAAUAUUAAACCCUUUUGUUGAUCUAUGGAUGUGAUCUUGUACGUCUCUAUUUAAUUUGCUUUCUUUCAUUAAAGAUACAAAAAUCUUCAUAAACCCAAACAUAAAAUAUCAGAGUAAUCCUCUUUUUUUUUUCCUCAACGAAUAAAAUUCCUUAGAAAUUAAAGGGUGUUGCUCGGAGCAACCACUGUAACAUACAAAGCAUCAAAACACCUUAAGAACCAAUCCAUAACCAAAUGGACAGUUACACUAAUAAACCAUAAACUCCAUGGAUUGGAACACCUAGUUAAUUAUGGAUGAUAGCCGUCUUGGAAAUUCAUACUUGAGACCCGCCAACCUUGCAACAUAUAAGCAAGACAGUCAACCGUAAAAUCAAAGGAUCAACAACCAAAUGACAACAAUCAGUAAUGCCCACAACUGAAAAUUUAAAACUUGAUCAGAAUCCACGCAACAUUAGGCCCUGUUCUUCCAUCAGGCAAAUACCAACAACCCAUUGAUUCAAUUUCGGCCGUCUUUUCAGAAUCAGCCGUAUCAUUAGUAGAUAGCUGCCUACUUUUAUCCCUCGUUAAGGAAUAAUAUAUAUAUAUUAUAUUUGUAAAGAUGCUUGAUAGCUUUAAGCUGACAUUGAUAUGGUAACCAUCAAAAGUUGGCAAAUACUUAAAACAGGGGUCAACCUUACUAGUAAAAGUUUACAUGUUUGUAGCCCAAUGCCAUGCAUGAUGCACAUGAAGUUCAAUUUUGAGGGUAUAAUGUGAAAUGGAACAGUUCAAAUAGUAGUUUUACAAAAACUGAAAUAACCUUUCACAUUUUACCAAAAGUUGCAGCCUCGUACUUCAGUAGAGCAACUCAACCUACAAUGAAAAUGGCGUCUCUAUGGUCACUUUAUAAAGCAUUAGUUAAGCCAUGAUGAAAAUAGAAGAGUCAAUUACCAUCUGUUUUGAAUUCAAACGAAAUUGAGCUUUUCGCAUAAGCACCCAUACAUAUUUCCUUAUUCCAGCUUGGGCAACUGAUCAGUAACCUCCGUCACCUCAGAAUUUUGCACAUUCUGUGCAUGAUCAUAACAAACCAAGAAUUGUUUAAUUAACUAUGUAUGUAUGUAUGUAAAAACACAUGAAUUUAAAUCCCUUAAAUGAUUUGUACCAUUUCAUCGAACAUAUGUUUUAUGGUAGUGUUAAGGUCGCCUUCUGUUGAAGCCGUGGCCUGCAUUGCAACAGAGAACCAACAGCAGCAAGCAGAUUGAAGACCAGCAGCAGCAAAUUGUAUAAUUUGAGCUGCCACACUGUUUUGAAGUAAUGUAAUGAAGCUGGUUCUGAUGAAGGAUCACAUUUUAAAUGUUUUAUUCCUAUGUAACUUUGACCAAAUCUUUUGUAAUAUGAUGGCUAAGUUAGUAGGAUAGAUUGACUGAUUCAUUUUGAUGUAAUAGCUGUUAUAUCAGCUUUCUUUUGUAAGCAAACUUUAUUUUUAAUAUGGAUUAAGUAAGGGCAGUUAAGUUAGUAGGUAACUGUCAACAUUUUGUAACCCUCAUAUAUUCAAAUUUGAAUGAAAGAAAUUAUGUCAUUCGGUUACAAUUUUCUUGUGUUCAUCAUUUAGUUUUUCUUUUCUUUACUUCUAUUUUCUGCCUUGUCUCUGUUCUUUGCUUAAAAACACAACAAAUGGUAUCGAGAGCUUUCAGUCUUUGAGGGCCUUGGUUGUGCACUGUCACUAAGCAAAUUUUGUUUGAAACAAAAGAAGUAAAGGUUGUUUUUGCUUGCUGAAAAUGAGUUUUACACCACCUCCUCCACCGAUCUUUGCUGGAGAAAAUUACAACAUUUGGGCAGUGAAAAUGAGAACAUAUCUGCAGGCACAUGACCUGUGGAAUGUUGUUCUCAAUGACACUGAGCCACCACCACUAAGAGCCAACCCGACCAUAGCUCAAAUCAGGCAGCAUAGUGAAGACUGUGCUAAGAAGUAUAAGGCCAUGUCGUGUCUUCAAAGUGGAGUCUCUGAUGUUAUUUUCACAAGAAUAAUGGCUUGUGACACUCCAAAGCAAGCCUAGGACAAACUCAAGGAGGAGUUUCAAGGGUCUGACAAGACCAGGCAGCAGCAGCUGAUUAACAUGAGAAGAGAUUUUGAAAAUCUCAAGAUGAAGGACUCAGAAACCAUCAAGCAGUAUGCUGACAGAAUCAUGGCUACUGUCAACAAUAUAAGGCUACUUGGGGAAGAAUUCAGUGACCAAAGAGUGGUCGAGAAAGUCAUAACGACCUUGCCAAAGAAGUAUGAGUCAAAAAUUUCCUCUCUGGAAGAUUCAAGGGACUUAUCAACGAUCCCUUUGACUGAGCUUAUAAAUGCCCUUUAUGCUCAAGAGCAGAGAAGAGCAAAUAGGCAGGAGGACCACUAUGAAGGAGCUUUUCAGGCUAGAAGCAGAGAAAGCCCAAGUGCAAACUUAAAUGCCAAAGGCAAGAAGCCUUGGAUUGAGAAGAAGAAGAAAGAACCUGUCAAAAGGAAGUUUCCACCUUGUGUCCAUUGCAAGAAGACUACUCAUCUUGAGAAAUACUACUGGUACAGACCAGACAUUCAAUGCAGAGCCUGCAAACAAUUUGGCCACAUUGAAAAGGUCUGUAAGAGCAAGUCAAAACCACAACCACAACUUCAAAACCAAGCUCAAGCUGCAGAAGAGGUUGAAGCACCAGAAGAGCAUGUUUUUUCAGCAUCAUGCUUCACAAGCUCGAGCAAAGUCAGUAAAAUAUGGUUGAUUGACAGUGGAUGUACCCACCAUAUGGCUUCUGAGAAGAAUAUAUUCAAGGAACUUGACACCACCUUCAAGUCCAAAGUCAGAAUUAGCAAUGGUGAGCUACUAGAAGCAAAAGGGAAAGGCAAGGCCUUGAUAAGCACCAAGUCAGGUAUUAAAACCAUUUCAGAGGUUCUCUAUGUACCUGGCAUUGACCAAAAUUUGCUCAGUGUUGGCCAAUUAUUGGAGAAAGGCUACUCUCUGAUUUUUGAAGGCAAUAACUGUUUGAUUAAAAAUGCUGCUGGUGAAGUGUUAACUAUGGUGGCUAUGCAAGACAGGACUUUCAUUGUAGAUGUGAAUCAGCUUCAGGUUAAGGCAUAUGCAUCUCAGUCUGAUGAGACAGACUUGUGGCACAGGAGGAUGGGGCAUGUGAACUACAAUUCUUUGAGUAUGAUGUAUAAAAUGGAUUUGGCUAGUGACAUGUCCAAAAUCGAGCCAAAAGAUGUUGUAUGUGAGGUCUGUCAGCUAGGCAAACAGACCAGAUUACCCUUUCCAGUCAACAAGGCAUGGAGAGCACAAGGGAAGCUUCAGCUUGUUCAUACAGACAUUUGUGGACCAAUGAAGACUACCUCCUUAAAUGGCAGCAGGUACUUUGUACUCUUCAUUGAUGAUUAUUCAAGGUUUUGUUGGGUGAAUUUUUUGAAGCAUAAGUCAGAUGUUUAUGAUUAUUUUUGCAAAUUUAAAGCCUUGGUUGAAAACCAAGCAAAUUGCAAACUGAAAUGUUUGAGGUCUGACAAUGGUUCUGAGUAUGUAUCUCAGAAGUUUCAAAAAUUAUGUGAUGAUGCUGGAAUUCAACACCAAUUGACUACUGUGUACACACCACAGCAAAAUGGUGUCUGUGAAAGAAAAAACAGAACAGUCCUUGAUAUGGCUAGGUGUUUGUUAUUUGAGGCAAAAAUGCCUAAUGCUUUUUGGGCUAAAGCUGUGAAUACAGCUGUUUACUUGUUGAAUAGGCUGCCAACUAAUGCAGUCAAGGGUAAGACACCCUUUGAAGCUUGGUUUGGACAGAAACCAUCUGUCUCACAUUUGAAGGUAUUUGGAUGUCUAUGUUAUGUGUUGGUACCUGAAAAGAAAAGAACCAAGUUGGACAGGAAGUCUAUGCCAGGGGUGUUUGUUGGCUACAACAAUGUGAAAAAAGGAUACAGAGUCUUUGAUCCACUGACCAAGAAGGUUGUAGUGAGUAGAGAUGUGAAAUUCAGUGAAACAAGUAGCUGGAAAUGGGAUGGAAUUGAAGCAAAUUUGCCUGAGGGAGAACAGACUGAUGUUGAUUUGCAGCAAGCUGAAAAUGAAGAAGUAACUGAAAAUAGUUAUGAUGAUGAACCUGUUCGAGGCACCAGGACGUUAGCAAACAUCUAUGAGAGAUGUGCAGUAACCAUAGUAGAGCCUUCAUAUUUUGAAGAAGCUGCAAAAGAAAAGUGCUGGCAAGAUGCUAUGGAAGCUGAAUUUAGAAUGAUUCAAAAAAAUGAUACUUGGGAGCUUGUAAAUAGACCUGAAAACAGAAAAAUUAUAGGUGUAAAGUGGGUCUACAGAAUUAAGAACAAUGCAGAUGGCUCACUUAAUAGACAUAAAGCCAGACUGGUUGUUAAAGGUUACAAUCAGCAACAAGGGGUUGAUUUUUCUGAAACCUUUACACCUGUUACAAUGUUGGAUACUAUCAGAUUGCUGCUUGCUUUGGCAGCUCAAAAGCACUGGAAGGUGCAUCAUUUAGAUGUUAAGUCAGCCUUCCUAAAUGGCUUUCUUAAUGAAGAAAUAUUCAUUGAACAACCUGAGGGUUUUGAGAUCACUGGUGAAGAACAGAAGGUUUACAAAUUGAAAAAGUCCUUAUAUGGCCUAAAGCAGGCUCCAAGAGCCUGGUAUGAGAGGAUUGAUGGCUAUUUAGCAAGGCUCGGGUUCACAAAGAGUGUUAGUGAGCCUACACUCUAUGUUAAGAAGAAUCAGGAGGAAACCUUGUUAAUUGUUUCCUUGUAUGUUGAUGAUCUGCUGGUUAUUGGCUGCAAAGAUGAACUUAUUGAAUAUUUCAAAAGGCAGAUGCAACAUGUCUUUGAGAUGACUGACCUUGGUCUAAUGACCUAUUUUCUUGGUAUGGAAAUCAGACAAAGAAGUGAUGGUAUUUUCAUAAGUCAGCAAACAUUUGCUUCCAAGGUGCUUGAAAAAUUUUGCAUGUUGAAAUGUAAAUCAGUAACUACACCUGCUGCAUUGGGGGAGAAGUUGUCGAGUAUCAGUGAACAUGAUCGAGUAGAUGAGAAAGCUUACAGAAGCUUAAUUGGUUGUUUGCUUUAUUUAACAGCAACUAGACCAGACAUUGUCUAUGCUGUUAGUCUACUCUCUAGAUUUAUGCACUGCUGCAAUGAGGCACAUUUGAAAGCAGCAAAAAGAGUGUUAAGGUAUGUCAAAGGAACCAUCGAUGCUGGAGUGAAGUUUUGGAGGGCAAAUGAGCUUAAACUUGUAGGCUAUUCUGAUAGCGAUUGGGCAGGGUCAGUUGACGACAUGAGGAGCACUUCAGGUUAUUUUUUUACCUUAGGCUCAAGUGUUUUCAGCUGGAGUUCAAAGAAGUAACAAACUGUUGCACAAUCUACAGCAGAAGCUGAGUAUAUCUCAGCUGCAGCAGCAGUGAAUCAAGCCAUUUGGCUUAGGAAGAUUUUGGAUGAUUUUAAUGAAAAUCAAGCUCAGCCUACUGAGAUUAGGGUGGAUAAUCAAUCAGCUGUUGCCAUAGCCAAGAAUCCAGUCUUCCAUGGUAAGACUAAACACUUCAAAAUCAAAUUUCAUUUUAUUAGAGAAGCUGAGCAAUCGAGGGAGGUUAGCUUAGUUCAUUGCAGCUCAGAAAUUCAGUUAGCUGACAUUUUAACUAAACCAUUGGGAGCCAGUCGUUUUAAUGCUUUGAAGGAAAGAAUUGGUGUUUGUUGCAUACAGUCCAAGGAGGAGUGUUGAAGCCGUGGCCUGCAUUGCAACAGAGAACCAACAGCAGCAAGCAGAUUGAAGACCAGUAGCAGCAAAUUGUAUAAUUUGAGCUGCCACACUGUUUUGAAGUAAUGUAAUGAAGCUGGUUCUGAUGAAGGAUCACAUUUUAAAUGUUUUAUUCCUAUGUAACUUUGACCAAAUCUUUUGUAAUAUGAUGGCUAAGUUAGUAGGAUAGAUUGACUGAUUCAUUUUGAUGUAAUAGCUGUUAUAUCAGCUUUCUUUUGUAAGCAAACUUUAUUUUUAAUAUGGAUUAAGUAAGGGCAGUUAAGUUAGUAGGUAACUGUCAACAUUUUGUAACCCUCAUAUAUUCAAAUUUGAAUGAAAGAAAUUAUGUCAUUCGGUUACAAUUUUUUUGUGUUCAUCAUUUAGUUUUUCUUUUCUUUACUUCUAUUUUCUGCCUUGUCUCUAUUCUUUGCUUAAAAACACAACACCUUCCCACUGCAGUUCACAUUCCUCAUCUCUUGUUAAGUGCAUUUGUUCCAGCCUUGGUGUGCUUAAAUCUCCUUGGCAGAAAUUCCUCAUUUGGGGGCACUUUGUCACCAUCACCAUUAGCAAGACUGGGCAUUCCAACGAGUGAUGGGCCAAGGAAAAGCUUGCAAGACAUGGCAGACAACUUAGUUGCAAAUACUUCAGUUUGGGAAAUACAAUGUCGCCUUGUAUUUCUUCAGCCUCACACGCUAUGAUUUCCCCUAUCAUCUCACAAUCAUCUAUGCUCAAUCUUUCCAAUAGCGUCAGGCACUUAGCUGUUGAGCAUGCGAUUAAAUUGAUGAACCCAUGGCAUCUUGAAACUUCCAGUGUUGUUAGAUUUUUGAAAGACAGCAAAGAUGGUUCAAAAGCCUUUAACGUCAACUCUGGAAGUUGAGACAAACUUAAUUCCUUUAGCUGAUAGAAUGCUGAUGUAUGCCUUUCCUGGUCGCUGAGUCCUCAGAUUGUACUAUUUGACAAAUGGAAGCAUUGUCUAUAACAAGCUUAUGAAGUAUUGGUAGUGACCGAAUGAAGGAAUACGGAAGAGUAGUAGAUGUCUCAGGAAAGAAUUGGAGGUUAAGAUGCUUAAGGUUUUGGAAACACUGCAAUGAGAGUUGUCCAUCACAUAUCCCCUUCCCCAUAUCAUUCGUCUUCAGUGUUAGUUAUUCUAAUACAGGGAAAGUGUCCUGGAUGGCAACGAAUAUAUUAAACAUUGAUCAAAGAGUUUUCAAUUAGUAAGAACUAGACUUCAAAAUGAAUAUAAUUUCCAUUUUCUUUCUCAUAAAUUUAAAAGGAAGGUGAGAAUAUUAGUUAUUUCAGAAGGCAUUUUAUAGGUAAUCUCAAGAAAUGAACAUGGAGUAUGAAACUGUUAGUGAGCUCACCUCAUUGACGCAGAACAAGGGUUGUUGGUUUGAGAUUCCAACCUGACACUCAGGACAUUGAAGAGUAAAUAUCUGAACUUUGGGGCAUUCAAUAAUGUCCAUUUGUUUCAAUGAAGGCCACUUGGUGGUAUGCAUCCUAGAGUAGAAACUUUUCAAUCUCGGUACCUUAACCAAUCCGAGGUUUAUUAGUUUGGGAAAUACAAACUUGGUCGUCUCUGUUUCAGCCAUAAAUGAUUGAGCAGCUGAUGUUGACUGUGACUCAUCAGCAAUGAGUCAUUGCAGCUCAAUAAUUUGUUCUAAUGAAUCACAAUUGUGAAUCCGCAACUUCUCCAAACUAGGGAAAACAACCUGCUAAAUCAUUUCAUUAGGUUAAUAACUGAAAUAUGCAUGGAAAAGAAGAACUUCAAAUGAAUAAGAUCAAUCGAAGUAACAUAAAUUAAAAGGAGAACCGGUAAAGAAAUGACCUUUUCAUUGAGGAGAGAUGAGUUAUUAACCUCCAAGUUACUUGCUUGUACAUGUUGGCCAAUUUCAGGUUCAUCUUCGGAUACACAUUUAGUGAUGAAUGUUUUUAGCAAUGGAAAAUUUGCUAGUUGUAAAUCUGUCAAACGUUGGAAUUCAAAGUAUUUUCAAAGCAAAAACUUGUGAGUUUGGGAAGGUGUUUUAGCCACAGCAAUUCUAGUUUAGAGAAAAACACCUGAUUCCUCCCUUGAUGUUCUUCAACCAAUCUAUCCGUGAAUAUUACUUGUUCCAUCAUAUUACAGUCCCAAAUUUUAAGGCGUCAGAGUUUCACAAGAUCUUUUACCAUGAAAGAAGUAUUGGGAGCAUCAUCUUUUACGACACAAUCUUGAUGUUAUGCACAUUGAGAAAAAUGUCUGCGAGAACAUUGUGGGUACAAUUUUAAAAGUCGACGGAAAAUCAAAAGACAAUCUUCAGAGUCGACUUGAUUUAGUCCAAAUGGGAAUUCGGCCUGAUCUUCAUCCCAAUCCACUUCCGAAUGGGAAAUAUCGGUUGCCGCCUUCUAUUUUCUCAAUGUCCAAGAUGGAGAAAAAACUGUUUUGCAUGGUGUUGAAGAAUAUAAAGGUUCCGGAUGCGUAUGCAUCAAAUAUAUCUCGAUGUGUUAGUGUUAAAGAGCGAAGAUUAUAUUCGCUAAAAUCACAUGACUAUCACAUCUUGAUGCAAGAUUUAAUGCCAGUUGCUCUACGAUGUUGUAUGUCCAAGAAGGUGACGUCUUGUAUGAUUGAACUAUCCAACAUAAUGAAAGCCAUCUGUGGCAAAGUUUUGGAUGUUCAAGAACUUCAGAAGGUACAGGAUCGAGCCGCUUUAACUUUAUGCAACAUGGAGAUAAUCUUCCCACCUUCCUUCUUCACCAUUAUGGUUCACUUGAUAAUUCAUCUCCCGCACGAAGCAAUUCUUGGCAGACCUGUUUUCUAUCGAUGGAUGUAUCCCAUAGAAAGGUGUUAAAGAAGUAUUUUUUUCAAUUUUUCUUCAUUCACCUCUAUGCCUUUAGUUACAACUUUUGAUAAUGUUGUAUAUUGUGUUUAGGUUCCUAUCCAAAUUAAAAUCUUACUGCCGCAACAAGCGAUAUCCAGAAUGAUCGAUUGCUGAAGGCUACUUGGCAGAGGAAUGUAAGACCUUCUGCUCAAGAUAUUUGGAAGAUGUCGAAACAAGGUUGAACAGACCAAAUAGGAAUGCUGGACUCACGGACUAUAACUUAGCCGAUACUUAUUUGUUCCAAAGUUUUGGAGAACCAAUCGGCAAAGUUGAAAUUGUAGAAUUAGAUCAUUUAUCGUGGGUACAAGUACAUCGAUAUGUUCUGUUUCACCACGAAUCAUUGGAACCUUUACGGAAGUAAGUUAUACAAAUUUUAAAAAUAUUUAUCGAACUAAAAAUUGUUUAUCUUCUAACAAAGAUCACAUUUUAUUUAACAUAGUGAGUACAAACAAAUAUUGAGAUCUCGUUCGCGCUCCCGAAGAACACAACAUCGAGAUAUCAAUAAGUUGUUUAGAGAAUCUUUUUAUGAAUGGUUGUGCCAAACGAUAUGCAGUUCGAGCUUUCGCUUACAAAUUAUAAUGAUUUCUCAUAACAUUUUUAAUUAGUCAGUUUACUUUCCAUUCAAUAGGUUUGGAGUGGGAAGAGCGUAAACGACGAAGUUAAAUGGCUCUCCCAAGGUCCAAAUCGAGUGGUUAAAAGAUAUAGUGUGUUCCUCAUCAACGGAUUCAGAUUUCAUACAAAAUAUCGGGAGAGGUUGAGGAGAACGCAAAAUUGUGGAAUAGUUGUUAAUUCUGCAAUUACAAGUUAUGCUAGCGCUAGGGACAAUAAUCCUGUCGAGGGAAAUGUGGAAUAUUUCGGACAGCUUACUGACAUUAUUGAGUUGGAUUACUACGGCAAAUGGAAAGUUGUCUUAUUUCGAGGUGAUUGGGCCGAUGUUAAUACAGCUCGUGGAAUCAAGCAAGAUCAAUUUGGUUUUACAAUGGUGAACUUUGACCGAUUGAUUCACACAGGACAACAACUGAUAGAUGAGCCGUAUGUAUUCUCAAGUCAAGUCAAACAAGUUUUUUACUCAAAAGAUCCAACUGAUGAGGGUUGGUACGUUGUACUCCGUAACAUCCCUAGAGACUUGUUUGACAUGGGCAGUGGAAGUAGAGAUAACAUCGACGAUAGAUCAGAAACUUUGUCAUUUCCAGAACAAAACUUAAAUGAUAAUAUCCCUAGUACUAGUGCACAAUUUCAAUGGGUUCGUCAGGAUACGGAUGAAGAUAUUUACGAAUAAUGAUGUAGUAAGAUUUUACGAAUGUUUAAUUAUAUGUAAUAUCAUCAUUUAUAUCUUGGUCUCAUUAUAUCAUAUCAACUGUUUUAUAUGUGCUGUUAUUGUUGUAAUUAGUUAUUAAGUUUUCAACUAUUUUAUGUGUAUUGCAGAUAAAAUGCCCAGAAGAAAAAUUCUAAGGGGAAGCAUUGUUCAAAAUGAUCCAAACUCGACAGAAACAAAUAGUACUGAACAACAGACAGCAAUUGGAUCUUCGAAUGUUCCGAUUACAGAUGAGGAUCCUACAGAAGUUCAAAGUAAUUUUACAUUUAAUUUACAAGCGUGUUAACUUAUAGUUGAUUUAUCUUUCAAAUUCUUAUAUUAUAAUAUACCAUUUGUAGCUGAAAAUGGAGGGACGCGCAGAGGUCGAGGACGUACGCUACUUAAAGAGUUAUACGAGUUAGAUCCAGUCGAGCGUGUCAAGGUAUGCAGAAACAGUUUUGGUCAGCCUGUUGGAUCAGAAGCUUGACUUUUAGUAGGAUACAUGGGCAUUUUAGCACGAAAUGUGAAUAUGUUGCCUAUCAACUACGAGUCAUGGCGUGAAAUGCCCGAUAGCAACAAAAAUCAAGCCCUCGAUAAUAUUAAGGUAACAAAAUGUUAAUGUCAUCUGUAAUGCUUGGGAAAUACUUUCUUUUAUAUUUACUUUAUUAACUUGUGUUUUUUGUAGGCGAGGUUUGCUUUAGAGGUCUCCGAUGCUUAUGUAAAGAUGGCAUUGGGAAAAAGAUGGAGAGACAAUAAAAGUACGUUGAAGAAAAAUUAUUAUAAGACAAAAACAACCCUCGAUGAGAAAUUGCAAAAUGUCCCGCCGGGUAUGUUGAGGUACCAAUGGGAAGAUGCGGUUAGAUUUUGGCAAUCGAAGAAAGGCGAGGUACGACGUACUUCCAAACUAUUGUAAUUAUUUUGGUUUAUACUAUUUACUAUUUACGUUCUAAAAAUUUUAUAACGUAGGAUUGUGAACGAGUUGGAAAAAGUAGCCGGCAGCAACAAAAAUUCACUCACACAGCCGGGUCAAGAAGUUUUGCAUGUGUAGCUGAGGCGGAGGUAUUUCUAAUUUUUUAAUAUUCUCAAAUAUGUAUAACUUUCUAUUAAAUAAUAUUGUUACUACUAUAUUGUAGGAACGGGCGUCUGGUCAAAAAGUUGGACGCCUUCAACUUUUUGAAAUUACACAUAAGAAGAAAGAUGGAUCUGCUAUGACUCUUGAAGCUGGUGAAAUUAUGGUACGUUUGCUUAAUACGAUUUGACUUGUUUUAGUUAUUUAUAGUGUUUCUUUACUAAUGGUUUAAUUUAUUGCUUUUAAUGCGACUAUUGUUAUAUUGCAUUUGUUUUUUUUUAAUAUAUAUUGUGUUCCUAACUAUGUGAUUUAUUUAUUAGGAAAAACUAAAGGAUAAAAAGAUGGAGUACGAAGCGAUUGCGUCUACUGAUAGUUCUAUUCAUCUUGAAGACAUUGACAACCGGAUUAUUACUGAAGUUUUGGGUCCAGAAAAGUAUGGUCGGGUUCGAUUUCAAGGAUCUUUUAUCAGCCCAACCCAAUAUUUUGGAACCAGCUCGCACCAAUACAUGGCUUCGGGGAGUCAAUCUCAAGCUGAAGUUCAGAGGUUAAAAGACCAGAUGGCUCAGAUGCAAGCGACCACAUUUGAGGUUCAAAAGAAAUAUGAAGAACUUCAGCAACAACUUAAAACAGAGGCGGCAGCGAGGGAAGCAGAGGCUGCAGCGAGAGAAGCAGAGGAUCAAAAGAAAUAUGAAGAACUACAACAACGACUUCAAGCAGAUGCGGCAUCGAGAGAAGCAGAGCAGAGCAGAAAGUAUGACGAACUUCAACAGCAACUUCAGAUGAUGAUGAAGAUGUUUCAGCAGUCGCAACUUCCGCCUCCAUAAUGUAUGUUUCAUAAAUAUUUUAAUCAUUUUAACAUUUAACGUUUUUGUAAAGAAAAGUAUGAAUUCAUUUUUAUAUAUUGAUAUUAAUAUUAUUUUAGUCAUUUAAUUUGAAAUAUUAUAUAAAUUUAUUGUUUUUGGUUAGUUUAGAUUUGGUUGCUUUUAUUUUGUUGUUGCAGGAGGGCAGAAAAAAACAAAAAAAAUUUAUUUUAAAAAAAUCCCAAAAUUAGUGGCGUUUUUAAAAAAAGCGCCGCUAAAAGUUAUAUCAUAUAGUGGCGUUUCUGAAAUAAGUGCCGCUAAAGCACACUACUUUUAGUGGCGUUUGUAGAUAAAGCGCCGCUAAAGAAUUUUACUUUUAGCGGCGUUUAUUCCCAAGUGCAGCUAAAGAUCAUGUAAUUUAGUGGCGUUUUCUAUAAGCGCCGCUAAAGAUCAUGGUCUUUAGCGGCGUUUGUUGCACAAGCGCCGCUAAAGAUCAUGAUCUUUAUUGGCUUUUUUUCUAAGCGCCGCUAAAGAACAUGAUCUUUAGUGGCAUUUUUUUCCUAAGCGCCGCUAAAGAACAUGAUAUUUAGUGGCGUUUUUUCUAAGCGCCGAUAAAGAACAUGACCUUUAGCGGCGUUUUUUCUGUAAGCGCCGCAAAAAGUUAGCGGCGAUAUCCUUAGCGGCAUUUUUUGUGGCGCAUCCACAAGCGCCGCAAAUUCCUUUAGUGGCGUUUAAAAGCGCCGCUAAAAACCUGUUCUGGUGUAGUGAAUGUGUAAUUAUUACGGGUUAAAUCAUGAUUAAAUUGACGAAAUGUGCAAAUAUUGUGGGUUAAAUUUUUUAAAUUAAUGACAAUUUGAUAGAAUGUUUAAACUUUGAAGGCUAAAUUUAUCAUUAUACCAAGAAAAUUAUGUAUAAUUGAUGAAAAAUAUUAACGUUGUGAUUAAUUGUCCUUAAUUUAUCACUUUCAAAAAUAGAAAUAAUUCAAUAACUCAGAUAUUUUUAAAAAUACCAACUUUUUCAAUAUCGAAAUUGAAAACAAUUAGAGCCACAUGUUUUAAUAUAUUUACCGAAAUUGGGGUAAUUCUGAAAUCAAUUGCCAUUCUUCAUUUUAAUAUAUUUCAUAAUUAGUUGCUUAUGUUUUUUUUUAUGGUUUAUGCACGCACUGUGUUUUUUUUUUUUUUUUGCAACAAUGAGUAACAUAGACAAUAAAUAAUGAAAUAUUAAGCGCAUAAUACAAAUCUCAAAUAUGAAUUAUAAAAUGGAUAUAAAAUAUACAAAUAAAAAUAUCAGAUUAAUCCUCAUAUUUUUUUCCCUCAACAAAUAAAAUUCAUUAGAAAUUAAAGGGUGUUGCUUGGAGCAAAGCAUCAAAACACCUUAAGAACCAAUCCAUAACCAAAUGGACAGUUACACUAAUAAACCAUAAACUCUAUGGAUUGGAACACUUGGUUAAUUAUGGAUGAAGGCCAGCUUGGAAAUUCAUACUUGAGACCUGCCAACCUUGCAACGUAUAAGCGAGACAGUCAACCGUAAAAUCAGAGGAUCAACAACCAAAUGGCAACAAUCAGUAAAGCCUACAACUGAAAUUUUAAAACUUGAUCAGAAUCCACUUAACAUUAGGCCCUGUUCUUCCAUCAGGCAAAUACCAACAACCCAUUGAUUCAAUUUCGGCCGUCUUUUCAGAAUCAGCCGUAUCAUUAGUAGAUAAUUGCCUACUUUUAUCCCUCAUUAAGGAAUAAUAUAUAUAUUAUAUUUGUAAAGAUACUUGAUAGCUUUAUGCUGACAUUGAUAUGGUGGCAAAUCCUUAAAACAGGGGUCAACCUUACUAGUAAAAGUUUACAUGUUUGUAGCCCAAUGCCAUGCAUGAUGCACUUGAAAUUCAAUUUUGAGGGUAUAAUGUGAAAUGGAACAGUUCAAAUAGUAGUUUUACAAAAACUGAAAUAACCUUUCACAUUUUACCAAAAGUUGCAGCCUCGUACUUCAGUAGAGCAACUCAACCUACAAUGAAAAGGGCGUCUCUAUGGUCACUUUAUAAAGCAUUAGUUUAAGCCAUGAUGAAAAUAGAAGAGUCAAUUACCAUUUGUUUUGAAUUCAAACGAAAUUGAGCUUUUCGCAUACGCACCCAAACUUAUUUCCUUAUUCCAGCUUGGGCGACCGAUCAGUAACCUCCGUCACCUCAGAAUUUUGCACAUUCUGUGCAUGAUCAUAACAAACCAAGAAUUGUUCAAUUAACUAUGUAUGUAUGUAUGUAAAAACACAUGAAUUUAAAUCCUUUAAAUGAUUUGUACCAUUUCAUCGAACAUAUGUUUUAUGGUAGUGUUAAGGUCGCCUUUCCACUGCAGUUCACCUUCCUCAUCUCUUGUUAAGUGCAUUUGUUCCAGCCUUGGUGUGCUUAAAUCUCCUUGGCAGAAAUUCCUCAUUUGGGGGCACUUUGUCACCAUCACCAUUAGCAAGACUGGGAAUUCCAACGAGUGAUGGGCCAAGGAAAAGCUUGCUAGACAUGGCAGACAACUUAGCUGCAAAUACUUCAGUUUGGGAAAUACAAUGCCGCCUUGUAUUUCUUCAGGCUCACACGCUAUGAUUUCCUCUAUCAUCUCACAAUCAUCUAUGCUCAAUCUUUCCAGUAGCCUCAGGCACUUAGCUGUUGAGCAUGCGACUAAAUUGAUGAACCCAUGGCAUCUUGAAACUUCCAGUGUUGUUAGAUUUUUGAAAGACAGCAAAGAUGGUUCAAAAGUCUUUAACGUCAACUCUGGAAGUUGAGACAAACUUAAUUCCUUUAGCUGAUAGAUUGCUGAUGUAUGCCUUUCCUGGUCGCUGAGUCCUUCAGAUUGUACUAUUUGACAAAUGGAAGCAUUGUCUAUAACAAGCUUAUGAAGGAUUGGUAGAGACCGAAUGAAGGAAUACGGAAGAGUAGUGGAUGUCUUGGGAAAGAAUUGGAGGUUAAGAUGCUUAAGGUUUUGGAAACACUGUAAUGAGAGUUGUCCAUCACAUAUCCCCUUCACCAUAUCAUUCGUCUUCAGUGUUAGUUCUUCUAAUACAGGGAAAGUGUCCUGGAUGGCAACGAAUAUAUUAAACAUCGAUCAAAGAGUUUUCAAUUAGUAAGAACUAGACUACAGAAUGAAUAUAAUUUCCAUUUUCUUUCUCAUAAAUUUAAAAGGAAGGUGAGAAUAUUAGUUAUUUCAAAAGGCAUUUUAUAGGGUAAUCUCAAGUAAUGAACAUGGAGUAUGAAACUGUUAGUGAGCUCACCUCGUUGACGCAAAACAAGGGUUGUUGGUUUGAGAUUCCAACCUGACUCUCAGGACAUUUUGGAGUAAAUAUCUGUACUUUGGGACAUUCAAUAAUGUCCAUUUGUUUCAGUGAAGGCCACUGGGUGGUAUGCAUCCUAGAGUAGAAACUUUUCAAUCUCGGCACCUUAUCCAAUCCGAGGUUUAUUAGUUUGGGAAAUACAAACUUGGUCGUCUCUGUUUCAGCCAUAAUAGAUUGAGCAGCUGAUGUUGAAUGUGACUCAUCAGCAAUGACUCCUUGCAGCUCAAUAAUUUGUUCUAACGAAUCACAAUUCUGAAUCCGCAACUUCUCCAAACUAGGGAAAACAACCUGCUAAAUCAUUUCAUUAGGUUAAUAACUGAAAUAUGCAUGGAAAAGAAAGAACUUCAAACGAGUAAGAUCAAUCGAAGCAACAUAAAUUAAAAGGAGAACCCGUAAAGAAAUGACCUUUUCAUUGAGGAGAGAUGGGUUAUGAACCUCCAAGUUACUCGCUUGUACAUGUUGGCCAAUUUCAGGUUCAUCUUCAGAUACACAUUUAGUGAUGAAUGUUUUUAGCAAUAGACAAUUUGUUAGUUCUAAAUCUGUCAAACAUUGGAAUUCAAAGUAAUUUUCAAAGCAGAAACUUGUGAGUUUGGGAAGGUCUUUUAGCCACAGCAAUUCUAGUUCAGAGAAAGACAUCUGAUUCCUCCCUUGAUGUUCUUCAACCAAUCCAUCCGUGAGUAUUACUUGUUCCAUCAUAUUACAGUCCAAAAUUUCAAGGCGUCGGAGUUGCACAAGAUCUUUUACCAAGAAAGACGGGAACAGGUAUUUCAAAUUGUGACACCUGUUCACUUGCAAGGUUUUUAGGCAUCCGACAGAUGGGGAGGAUGGGUGGUGCCAUAUCUUUUGACUGUUAAUGGAGGACAAUUCCAGAUUCUCCAAACGAGGAAUGACAACCUGUUGACAUAAAUUUCAUUAGAAGAUAAUAUCACUCUUCCUUCUUUACUUGUAAAUAUAAUCAAAACAAGUAGAUGAGUAUAAAGAUUUAUAAACUGAUAAGUUAAGGUUAAUAUUCAAAUAUCAACUCACUCUACAGUUAAAGUGAUAAAUACAGCUAGGAGACGUGAACCCUUUUUAUUAGAUGAAAUGUUCAGCAGCAUAAAUCUAACCUAAAGCAAAAUUUGUUUUUUUUUUUAAACCUCGAGCUUUCAUAUUUGCUAUAAUGAUUGUUGAAUGAUUAUUAUUAAAGCAAUUCGACAGGGGAAUAUGCUUGUUUUUAAUAAAGUUGGACUCACAUAUUUAUGUAGUUUCCAUUAAUGAUUUACAUUAAUUACUUAAAAUAAUUUAAAAAAUGUUAAGCAUAAUUACUUAUUUAAUUAUUUAAUUGUUAUGUCACAAAAAUGAAAAUUCAAUGCCUGAAAGAGAUGAAAAUUUAAAUGGAGUUUUUUUUUUUUUUGUAAAGUUGAAGAGUUAUCAUUCUAAAAGGUUAUUGGAGGAGGGAUGAGCAUUGAAGGUCAUUGUUUGCUAUGUCAAGGGAACCAAGAAACAAGAGAUCAUCUUUUUGCAGACUGUAUGUUUGCCAAAACUGUACGCUUUAAAAAUACUUUAAAAAAUACUUCUCAUUUUUUAUUUUUUUUUGAAAAAAUACUUUAAAAAUUAUAUAAAAUUCUUAUUCAAAUUAUCCAAAUAUAUUCCUCAAAAAAUUUCCUCAACUUUAUCUGAAUUGAAAACAUUUGAUUUUAGAUAAGCUUGAGGAAAUUUUGUGAGGGCUAUAUUUGGGUAAUUUAGAUAAGAAUUUUAUAUAAUUUUUUAAGUUUAUUUUUUUUUUAAAUGAGAAUGGUUUGUUUUUAUUCUUAUAUUUCUUAAGGGUUGUUUAAAUUUAAUUUCAAAAAAAGAUAAACUUAAUAUACAAAUAGACCAAAAUAUGAAAAGCAUUUAAUUUGGUGCCGCCAUUCUGACCGGCAAAACCCUUUUUUCCACUAAUUAAAAAAGGAUAAUUACUUCGUCAAGUCCAUGAACUUUUUAUAUAAUCACACUUCAGUUUGAUAUCACCAAUUUUUCAGACGAAACUACUAAAAUUUUAUUAUUUUUUAAAUAAAAUACAAUCAUUGGUCGAUGAUAGCGGGUCGGUGCCGUCAUUGUAUCUGGCAGCAUCGACAAACACGGUAGAAAUCAAGUCAUUUAUGUGCAUAAUUUUUAAAUUUAGUCAUAUUCAUAACUAAUUAAAAAAAAUGAGAUACUUUUAUAAAAACCCGACAAGUAACUUUAACUAAUUAUAUUGAAUUUUUUUCCUUUCAAUCAUUUUUUUUCUAUGUAUGAAAUUUUCUUAUCUAUCAAAUUAAAAAAAUCAUUAAAUCUUUCAAUAAAACCCAUCCACUCUUUCCCACUUCAAUUCUUCUCUAUAUAUUUGGUUCGUUUCUUCAAACUCACCUUUUGUUUUCUUGCUUCUUCUCCUUUGAUCUCAAAUGACCUUUGUGAAGGUUUUCCACAAUUAUUUCCUUCUUUUUUCUAUUAUUAUUUUAUUAUUUAUUGUCUAUUAGUAUUUAAUUUAAAACUUCUCUUAAAUUCUUAUUAUUUAUUAGUAUUUCACUUUAAGUUUUCCUUUCAAUUCUUAUUUUAUAUAUUUAUUUAUACUUUAAACUCCAGUUUUUUUUUAAAUAUUAUCUUAUUUAUUAAUAUUUUUAUGGAUUUUAUUAUAUUCAAUUUUGACAAGGUGUAGCACUAGUAUGUAUAUUUAGACCAGACACACUCAUGUUGAUCAAAUCAAAAGAAAAUGUGAAAUAAGUUGUGCAGAUAUAUAUUGAAUACCAAACUUACCUUAUUGCUGAAAAAAGUUGCAGUGUUAUCAUAGAUGCCCCCUUCACCAACCACGCUUUCAGUUGCAUCACCACUCUCUCUUGAAACUGAGGAAGAAAAUGCAGUCAUUUUUGGACAUUCAGCUAUCGUGAUAUACCUCAGCUUUGGAAAUUCAAGAGCUUGACUUCCCCAAUGGAAAUUUGUCAAGUUGGAACACGACUUAAUUGUUAUGGAGAAUAGCCAAAGAAAUGAAAAUUUAUGUGUCAUUGCUUCCUCCUCCUCCCUAACUACUUCUUCCAUUGAACUGCAUUCUUUCACUUUUAUCCUUCGUAGUAGAUUGAGGCCCAAAAGCAUAGACGGAGUAAAUAUGUACUUCAAGCUGCUACAUUUAUAAAACUGCAGGUGUCUAAGGUUUUCGAUGCCCAAAAUUUCUUGAGGGUUUCUAGUCCAUAUUUCUAUCGACUCCGGAAAUGUGUCAGAGAUGUUGAAAUCAAAGAGUCCAUCCUAAAAAUUAAUCUAAUAUUAUUCCACUAGAUAGCAAUCAUAAAUAGAAAAUGCAGACAAUAACAAAAUAACGAUUAACACUCUUCAAUGGUUAUGGAAGUAGUAAUAAAAUUAAUUGUAUUAGGACAAGAGGAAUCUAGCAAGCAUUAUGAACUUAUUAACUUUGUACCUUUCCUGUGUAGAGCUGUUGUAUGGUGGUAUUAAGGUCACUUGUCCAACUCCAUUUCUCACUGAAACGCGACUGUUUUAUUCUCUGUAAUUGUGGGGUGCUUAAAACUCCCUCAGAAAAGAUCUUUAAACUUGGACAACGUUCCACAACUAAUUCUUCCAAACAAGGAAACUCGAAGUUGUAAUACCAUGGACAAAAACUUGUGAGGCUCUUCAAAUUCAAUAGUUGUAAACAUUUCAAUUUACUAACAACUAUUGUCUGAUGACAGUCUCUCUCGUCUCCCACUAUUUCUGUCAUUUCAGUGCAGUCUGCUACCUUUAUUGUCGUUAAUUGCACAAGAUUCUUAAGUACUGAGGGUGUAAAUAAGUUUGUCAUCAUUCGACAAAGUGACACAUUCAAAUUUGUGAGAUUUUGUAAAGAUGAUGAGAAGCCUCUGAUAUUGACCCAAUCAUCACAAUUAUGAACUGUGAGUGUUUGAAGAUUAGAAAGAAUAUGGUCAAGCUCCGAAUCUUUCCUCCAAAUAUGCUUAAGAUUUCUGGCAGAAACCAAUUUCAGAUUUCUAAUUGGUGGGAGAGUCCCGGAACCUCCUUUACAAGGGACUACAUGUUUGAAAUCAAAAUAAGAAACCUCAAGUCUUUCCAGAUUGUAGAAUCUUCGGACGAAAGAAAAUAAAGAAAAUGGAGAGCCACCACUCACUACAAAAACUUUAAUAUGUUGAAACAAGUCUGGUGGAAAUUGGUCCAUAUCACCAAAAUUUCGUAACUCAAAUUACAUAUCACCAAGAUUUGGUAACUUAAGUUCCAUAUCAUCAAGAUUUCGAAACUCAAGUUCCUCUAAUUUGGGAAUGACCUUGGAAACCAAUUAAAUAUAAACAAGUUAGGCUCAAUGUUGAUGUAUAUGCUUUAAACAAACAAACAAAAAAAAAGAUAUACAAUUUUAGUGUUUGAUUUUGAUGAUUAAAUCCCAACAAAAUCAAUAUUAAAUCAAACGAAUUCAGAAUAGAUGAAUUUUUUGUUUUAAGAAAAACACAAUACCUUGAGAAUAAAAACUGAUAAAAAUUACACAACAUGAAAGCCGAAAGAAGAGUAGCAAAUCUAGAUUAAAAUAGAUAAACAACCAUUGUUAUAUAUUUUUUUUCUAUGAUAAAAAAUAUAAGCAGAACAGUGUAGAUAAAACACCAAGGUUUUAAAAUAUUAUACUGAUUUAAUUUGAUGGUUAAAUUAACGAAUUUAAUAAUAGAAAGACCUAGUUGACUAAUUUAAUAACAAAUUUAAUUUAAUAGUUUAAGAAUGUAAUUAAAAUAUUUUAAAUUUUGGGACUAAUUUAAAAUGAAGAUCAUAGUUUAAGACGUGUAGUAUAAUUAACUUUUAAAAUUUUGACUUUUUAUUGAGUGGCGAUUUUUUUUAGCAAAUUAAACGUUCUAUUUAGUUUCGACCCACUACUUAAAUGCAGGGUAAAUUACAUAUAUAGUCACUUAAGUGUUAAAAUAUUUUCAUUUUGGUCAAUUAGAAACAAGUAAAAUUUCAAUUUAAGUGUUAGAGAAAUUGAAUAUCUUAAUUGCUAUGCCGCAAAGCCUCUAACGGGAUGCUAACGUAGCUUUUUUUUUUUUUUUUGCAUAAUAAUAAAUUUAAUCCUCAACAUUUAUACAUUUUAUCAAAUUGAACUACAUUCUAAAAAGUCAAGAUUAACACUCAAUAUUUACCUAUUAUGUUUAUUCAGUCUUUUUUUAAAAAUUGAAAAAAUAAUUAUAAUUGUAACAAAAAAUUUAAAAUAUAUAUAUUAAAAAUUCAAAAAUACGAAAAAAAAAAUUCAAAUCAAACAAAAUAUAAUAAUUAGAAAUGCAUUAUCGUGGCAUAUUUCUAACUUGAGAUGCUUGUGGCAGUGGUUUAAAUCAUAAAAGGAAAUAUAGUUGUAAUGAUAUACAUACCUCUUCACCCAACAAUACUGGCUGCUCAUUUCCUUGGAUUAAUCUAAGAUGUUCCGAUGCCACUAUCUUUAGCAAAGCAGAAGUACUAUCUGUUCUCAAUUUUUUCAACAUCGGCCAGACUAUAGUAUGUUGCCCUUCAUAAAAACAUUUGAGCUUUUCUACCCCUGUAACCCUAAGGUAAGACACUUGCGGAAACUCAAACCUCACAGGCUGCUCCUCCACUCCAUCCCCUUUCGAUACAAUCUCCUCAACUCCACAAUCAGCGAUGUGUAAAUGUUCAAGUUGUGGAAGAUCUUUGGCUAUUGAUACUGGAAAUAGAUUUUUCAAACUCCCACAUCCCCAAACACUUAUUUUUCGUAGAUUUUUAAAGGAACCUGGUGCUAGGGUCAUUAUAAAAUAUCAUCCUCACAUUACUCAAGCCGAGAUAUUCAUGUCUUCCAAGCUAGGAACUGCAACCUAUUCAUAUAUAUAUAUAAUCCAUGCCCAUAAUAAGGUUAGCUCAAUAAUGAAGGCAGAAAAAAAAACAAGGACAAAUCAACAGAUUUAUGCAGGAGUUGUAAGACUAAUCGAAAUAAAUCACCUUCUCACUAGCUCUUUCAACAAAAAACAAGGACAAAUCAACAGAUUUAUGCAGGAGUGUAAGACUAAUGAAAUAAAUCACCUUCUCACUGAAGAGAGCGUGCAUGCCGGACUGAUUACUAUUCUGACUAAUGAAUUCUAUUAACUUGGGGCAAUGCUCAAUCUUUAGCUCUUUCAACAAUGGGAACUCAAUAUUGUGGUUUCCUGACUUGAAGAAGAUGAGGUUUGGAAGACGAUUUAUAUGCAGGGAAUUUAAUCGAGGGAAACAAAUCACAUCUUUCCUUUCUUCUUCAAUUUCCUCUGUAAGUAUUAUGUCCCUUAAGCACUUGCAAUCCUCCACUCCAUCCCCUUUCGAUACAAUCUCCUCAACUCCACAAUAAGCGAUGCGUAAAUGUUCAAGUUGUGGAAGAUCUUUGGCUAUUGAUACUGGAAAUAGAUUUUUCAAACUCCCACAUCCCCAAACACUUAUUUUUCGUAGAUUUUUAAAGGAACCUGGUGCUAGGUCAUUAUAAAAUAUCAUCCUCACAUUACUCAAGUCCGAGAUAUUCAUGUCUUCCAAGCUAGGAACUGCAACCUAUUCAUAUAUAUAUAUAAUCCAUGCCCAUAAUAAGGUUAGCUCAAAUAAUGAAGGCAGAAAAAAAAAACAAGGACAAAUCAACAGAUUUAUGCAGGAGUGUAAGACUAAUGAAAUAAAUCACCUUCUCACUGAAGAGAGCGUGCAUGCCGGACUGAUUACUAUUCUGACUAAUGAAUUCUAUUAACUUGGGGCAAUGCUCAAUCUUUAGCUCUUUCAACAAUGGGAACUCAAUAUUGUGGUUUCCUGACUUGAAGAAGAUGAGGUUUGGAAGACGACUUAUACGCAGGGAGUUUAAUCGAUGGAAACAAAUCACAUCUUUCCUUUCUUCUUCAAUUUCCUCUGCAAGUAUUAUGUCCCUUAAGCAAUUGCAACCCACUAUCUCAAAGCAUUGGAGCUGCACCAGACUUCUAGCGAGAGAGGGUGAUAACAGAUGCUCCAACUUGCCGCAUCCUUUAAUGAUCAAGCUCCUCAAAUUCGUAACCCAAUGACAUGUCUAGUUGUGCCAUAUUAUUUUGGUGUUAAUGGAACACAAUUACAAGCUUUCCAAGUAAGGGAAAAUAAAUUGCACAUAUUUUCACACAAUUCUUUUUCGAUAGGGAAAGAUAGUAUGUAACAUAAUUUGAAAAUAUGAUUUUCGAUUUUAAAGAUAAUUUUAGUUCGAUUUGUGGGCUCAAAUUUCAUUUUCAAAAUUUAAAAAAAAAAUGGUUGGGUUUAAAUUUAGAUUAUUGAAUUGACUUUGUACUUUUAAUCGGUUUGAAUUAAAAAUUAAAUUUUCAUUUGUUUUGGAUUUAAAAUUUAUUUUUGAGCUCCGGAAAAACCAUUACACAAUAUUAUUUAUUUCUAUUAUUAGAAGUAUUAAUGGGCAUAUAAAUAAAAGUUGUAUAAGAAAAUAUAAGUAAAGCUAAACAAAUACCUGUUUAUUGAAAAGUAGUAAGGGCUUAGUGAAACACCUUUCGUCUGGAGAGCAAAAGCUAACUAGUUGCGGUAGAUUUUCAAGUUCGAUGAAGCAUAAUUCAGAAAAUCCAAUUUUGUUCGUUUUAAUAUAUUGGACAUGCCUACCAUUUCUGACAUGAAGUCUCUUUAAAUUUGGAAGAUCUUUCCCAUUAUUUAACUCCAUAAGUACAUUCUUGACGCCUUCAAGUCUCUCUAGGCACAAAUCUUCUGUCUUUAUCAACAACAUUUUCGUCCCAUUGUCCAAAUCAAUGUUCGUAUAUAACUUGAGCUUCAAUGCUUUUGGAGAUUCAUAAUUAAGGCAACAAUCCAAUAUUUCAUAAUUACCCACGAAAAUCCUGAAUCUGUCCAAUGUUUCAACAAAUCGGUGUUUUGGUAUCAUUUGGACAUCAAGAAUAUGAACAUAUAAAGUAGUUAGACAAGGCAAAUUGUUUAAUUCAUCAAGGCUUGCAUUUUUCCUCUCAUUUUCAACUACUCCUCCUUUUUCCCAUUCAACAAAGCUCCUACUCAUAUAUAAUUCUUCCAAUUUAGACAAACCUGAUAAGACAUUCGGUGGGAUGAUUUUGAGUUCUCUACACCCACGCAAAUCUAACAACCUUAAUUGAGUCAAUUGUGCCAUCUCCUUAGGUAGUUCUUUGAUACCUGACUGAGAAAGGUUGAGUACUUGUAAACUCUUGAGCUCUCCAAGGUUGGUUAUGUCAUCAACUGCACAUUUUUUCAGACACAACAUGCGAAGGUCUGCAAGGUGAAUAAUUGAUUCAGGGAGGGAUGGAAACUGCAUUCCGACCAAAUCUAAGGCUUUCAGGCCUUCGGUUUGUUUGAAGAAAUUGAGAGGAAUUUUAACCUCGCCAUCAUAGGCCAUAUGGAAAAAGGAAAGUCCUGAACACUCCAUCUCCUUAGGAAGGUUAGCUAUAAUCUGAGGACAACGUAAGCUGAUCACACUCCACGUCUUCAUUUUCUCCUUAUCGGACCACUCCUUUGGAGCAUGAUCUCUCAAAACAAUCAUACGGUAGUCCUUCAAUGCAAUAGCUAUAGCAGCAUCCCAAACAACAUCAUGGAUACCAAAGCGCUCAUCAUUAUAACUCUCAAGCAACAAGGCAGACGCUUUGAGAUUAGCCACAACCGUCAAUACUUUAUUUCUAGCUUCUUCCAUAGUGUGGACACCAUCAAAUAAACCCAAACCUAGAGUAUAUCUUACCAAGUCCUCAACGAGACCAUUAUGGCCUAUUACACUGCAAAGCAAGAAAGUCAGCUUGACUUCCUCGCUUUCUAAAUAUUUAAAACUCAACUCUAUAGCUGAAUAUGCCGCAGUUAUCCCCUUGAAGUUGCUUGACGAAGGCCUCUCCAGUUCUCGUAAAGCAUUCUUCCAUUCAAACAACCUUUUGUUUCUCAAAGCCCCUGCAACUGUCGCAAUGGCUAUCGGCAGUCCUGCACAUUUUUUGGCUACCUUCAUAGCUAUAGGCUUCAAAUCGCAACUUUCAUCACAGUUGCCAGCCAUCUUCUUGAACAGGUCCCAGGCUUCCUUUUCCUUUAAAAACCCAAUGGGAAAAUUUUCCUGAGCAUCCAUCUCAUUUGAUAAAACAUUGAGCUCUCUAGAAGUUAAUAGUAAUUUGCAGCCCUUGUGUUCAUCUCCCAAAGGAAUCCCUACUUCCUCAAUAUCAACUUUUCCCCAAAUGUCAUCCAAGACAACCAGAACCCUCUCCUCUUUCUUCAAUCUUUGUCUUAGUCGAAUUGCCUUUCCAACCAUACUCUGUUCCUCAAAUUUCAAGCCCAAGAAGUCUGCAAUUUCGUUCUGAAUCCUCUUAAUAUCGAUGGCUUGAGUUACAGUUACUAUGACAACCGAAUCAAACAACUUGCCCUUGACCUUUCUAGCGAUUUCUUUGACCAGCGUUGUUUUUCCAAUCCCACCCGUACCAUGCACCCCAACAAUGCUAAUGCUAUCAUCUUUUAGUGCCCCCAUUAUUCGGUUCAAAAUCGACGUUCUUGACUCGAAUUCCUCAUAACCUUUAACUUGUGCAACCACGAUACCUUGCAGAGUUGCACGAUAGGAAACCCUUUCAAACUCGCCAUGUUCAAGUAGCUCGGCAACAGCCUUUGCCUCCUCUUCAGCUUUGAGGCUAAGCUUGUAACGAGUCCUGAAAUUAGGACACAAACCAAUGAAACACUUUUUCUUUGCUCUUUCUUCAUCUUGCAUCACUUUCUCUACUUGUUCAAGGAUCAUUUUGUCGACUGCAGACAGCCAUUCGCCAACAUCACCUUCGAUCUCUUCACCGUUUCGUUUAGCUGCAUCAACAGAGUACUGCACUCUGUCCCUUGCACCUUUCAGCCUCUCAGCUCGGUCCUUGAGGGUCUCAACAUAUUGCUGAUGAUUGGAAAGGUAUUUGACAUGGUUUUUGAUAGGAGAGAUCGUAUACUCUACAGCUUUAGCGACAAUAGAGCCAACGAUGGCAAUAACAAUCUCCAUUGAGAGAGCAAACUGAAUAACCACAGCGACAGCAAAGACCAAAACUUGAAUUAUCUUAUAUAGUUUUUAAAAAGAACUCAUUUGCAUAAUCUUAAAAAUAUAAAUAUGAGAUUAAUGUUUUACUUUAUGACAAUUAAAGUAAAGUAAUUUUGUUAAUAGAUAAUCUUUUAUUAAUAUAGACAUAUAUCUAACUUUAUUUUUUUAAUAAUUAUCUUUUUUUGAAGGAAAUUUUUUUUUAUUUUUUUUGCUAAGCAUUGAAGGAAUAAUUUGUCUUUUACACUUUGAAUAAAUUUUACAACACAUCUUUUAAAAAAUAGUUUUCUAAUUAUUAUUUAAAUUAUUUUCAACUAAUUCAUAAUUCUACCAAUUUCUUAUAUUUUGAUUUAACAAGUGAUUGUUUGGUGUAAUGUUUUAUUUAUUUAUUUAUUCUACAAGCAAUAUUAAAAUAUUUAAUUUUUUAAAAUAUUUUACUAUACUUCUAAAAAGACAUUUAUCAACCUCUUGACUUUACUUGUGGAAUUUAAAAACUUCAAUAAUAAAUUAUGAGAAAUCAUUUAGUACACUGCUAAUGGAGUUUUUAGACUCCACUAGCAGGACCAAGGGGGAUUGACAAGUAUUUUAUAAGGGUAUAAUAAAAUAUUUAAAUGAUUGAGAGACAUGUUAAUUUUUUAAGGUUACUUGUAGAAUAAAAAAAAGUAUUAAAUCCUCACCCUAUUUAUAUUCAUAUUUUUAAUUUAAUUUUUAAUCUUAAUUCAUAUUUUAAAUAUUAUGUUAUAACAAAAUGAAAAUUUAUUAAUAUUAAGGGGAAUGAUCUACUUACACAAUGUAAAAAUUAAAGUAAUUUUACACACUUCCGUAACUAUUUAUAUGAUUAAUAUUUUAAUGAUACAAUCAUUAUAUUUUAGGUAAUAAUAUAAACCCAAAAAAUUAGCUUCGAAAAAAAUAAAAUUCACGUUUUAAACGGGCUGAGCUUCAGACAAGAUUUUUUUAGUUUGGACCUAACCUGAAUUUAACUUUUUUUUUGCUGCUGUUUACUGCUUUUACGUUGUUGUUUUUUGCUGUUAUGUUGUUAUUUUGCUACUAUUAUUUAGAUAUUGUAUAACUCUUAUUUUAUUUUUAUUUUUGCUAUUAUUUUAGAAACAUUUGUUUGCUAAGCUGCAACUAUGUUAGUUUUAUUUAAGUAUAAAGAAUUUUUUUAAAUAUAUUUUCAAUUUGUUGAGAAACAUUUAUUUUAAUAUUUUUAGAGUAUUUGAUAUAUUAUAUUUUUUAAAUUUAUUUUUAUAUAAAAAAUAAUCUAAAAAAUUUAAUACAGACGGGUUCAGAUUUAGUGUUUUUUAUCUGGGUUGAACUUAAAUAAAAUUUUAGCGCAUUUUUUAGUUGAGCCGAGUCCGGACCCGAAAAACAAAUCUAAAAACCCAACCUAUGAUUAGAUCUACUACAAAUCCUCCUUCUACAAGAUAAAGCAGUACUCAACCUCUUAAUAACCAUAUUGCAGUAUGUGGAAGCCACAAUUUGUUGAUAGAUCACAAACAAAAGGGCUUAUGCAGCUUUCCUAAUAGUCACCCCUUCUUAUCCCUUUUUUCCACGAACUUUAAAGAGUGUUUUCCACAAUUUUUUUAAUGGAUUUUAGUGGAAAUAUGUUUUCUUUUUAAUUCUGAAUUUUUAUGUAAUUUUAUAAAGUAAAGAUCAAAUUAAGGCUAAAAAAUUUUCUUUGGUCUUUUUAUAUAUGUCAGGUCAACAACACUAAGGGUAAAUUUGAAUGGAAAGAUGAAGAUUUUAAAUCGAAAAAGUACAGGACUCAAAAUCCUAAAGCUAAAAUAGAAGGGCUAAAUAGAUUUAAAGCAUAAAAGAAGUCCAUUUUCAUGGUUAAAACUGCCUGCCUAAGCUUAUUUAUACCGACAAGUAUUUCAGAAGAGUAAGAGCAAAGCAGGGAAAAGAAAAGCAGAUGGUGUACCUUUUGGCUAUGAUCAAUAACUUAUAAUUUUGUCUUUUUUUCUUUUUCUUAACAGAGCAAACCCAGAAAGUAGUGAUUUGAGAAAGAUGACUUCAUCUUACUUUAAAUGAAAGGAAGUCUCGUGGAAACAGCUCAGAAAUGACUAGCCAACAGCCCUAAAAUGUCUUAUACCAAAACAUAUUUUAAUGGGAAAAUAUUCUAUAUACUCUCACUCUAAAUUCCAAAUCUGAUUAUUCAAUACUCACAACUUUGGCUUUUACCAACUAAACAUAUAGUCCUUGAGGGUCUUAACAUAUUGCUGAUGAUUGGAAAGGUAUUUGACAUGGUUUUUGAUAGGAGAGAUCGUAUACUUUACAGCUUUAGUGACAAUAGAGCCAACUAGGGUAGUAACAAACUCCAUUGAGAGAUCAGACAAGAAGUAAACUGAAUAACCACAGCGACAACAAAGACCAAAACAAAAUCAGAAGAAAAAGUUACAAAUAAAAUGAGCAAAAAGUAAAGCUUCUGUAAACCAAGAAGUAAGACCAAAUCAACCAAAAUGAAAGCAGAUGGCGUACCUUUCCAACGUAUAAGAGAAGGAUUCAGCGAUUAGUUGUCGCAGUUACGAACGAGCGAAAAGAUAAUAUUCUUAACAGAGUAAUGCGAGAAGUAAUUUGACAAAGGGCAACUCAAUCUAAACAAAAUUUGAAAUGUAAACAAUAGAAUCCUAAAGAAACACAAAUACUUGAGAGUUUAGCUUUAUGGAUUCUUAUCAUUUGGUGGCUACAGCUGAAAAGUUGACAAAAGAAAGCAACACUCUAUCGCCAAUUAUUUUCCCUUUUGGUAAAGGUCACAAAAGAAAGGAACACACUAUCGCCAAUUAUUGUGUUUGAUGUCAGCUUUUCAUGGUGUUGGAAAAAUAUUAACCAUUUGAUAAAAAGCAAUUAAUCUAAAUCAUUCAGAAAAAAAAAUACAAUUUACUAAACUAAAAUUACUUAAUUUGUCUGUCUAGAUUUUAUCUUUUAUAAAAUGGUAGUUAUAGGGAAGUAAUCGUAAAUUUUCAUCAAAUAAAAAAAAAGUGAGAAUGUUAAAAGAGUUAUAAUAUUACUUAAAGAUUUAAACAAUACGAUGUUAAAGAGAAAUAGUUUAAUAAAGAAUGUAGAUUAUAAGUAUGGAUAUUGUUAUUAUAAGUGAAAAGUUGUUAUAAAUGAUUAAAAUAAAAUAUUAAUAUCGAUUUUAGUAAAAAUUUAAUAAUUACAACGAAAUGGUGUCAUAGUGGGUGAUUAUUAUAAAAGACUGUAUUCCCAUAUCUAUAUUUUAAUAUGUAUUUAAUAAUUAAUAUUUCAAGGAAAAUUAAUCAUCUUUAUAUCAAACGUAGUGUAUUUAUCCUUUGCUUCUCAUGAUAGUUAAAGGCUUGUCGGGAACUGCAUCGACAGAAGCAAGAAAAGUAGCAAAAGUGAUAAAGGAUGAGGAGGAUGAACGCGAAAGCGGAUCGUAAAGUUUGUCAAAAUUACGGAUUUGACUUAGGGUUGUAAACGUUCGGAAAGAAAUUGGAUUUUGACACAAUCUGAAACGAAAUUGAAUCCAAGUCAGAUGAAACAAUUAAAAUAAAUAACUAAAAUAAAAUAAUAAAUUAAAGAUUAAGGAAGUAAAUAAAGAAGAUAAAUGAAAAGAUAGAACGUGGCGUGUAGAAAUCCUAAUAAGCCUUGGAAACACGAAGAAUUCACAACCCCUUUCAAGCGGCUCUAAUUUUCCGUUUGAAGAUGAUCCCCACAAUCUAAAAUAAUUGUUAAAACUCUUCUAAAAGAAACUCAAGAGAAAUUCUUGAAAAAAAAAACCCAAAGAAAAUUUAUUAAUGCAAAAGAGAAAUAGAAUAAUAAUGAAUUUAAUGAAUUGUGUACAAUGCAAAGGCCUACAUACAGGCUAGCUAAAUAAAUCUAAGUAAAACUUUUAAAUAUACUAGAACUCUAAUUUAAUCUAAAUAAGAAGCAGUUUUAAAUUGAAUUUUCUUGUUAAUAUAAAACUCUUAAAUAACUUAAAAUACUUAAUAAUAAUUAAGUCUAAAACCUGAACCCAAUAUGCUUUAAACAUGAAUUAAAAGCCCAAAAUUUGUAAUUCUCGUCAUAAUCCCGUUUAGAAAUUCUACUUGCGCAGUCUUCACUAAAACGGUCAUAACUUGAGCUCCCGAACUCAAAAUCGAGUGAUUCAAAAUGUGUUUCGAAGCUAAGAGAUAGAUCUUCAAAUGCCAUGAGACAUCUCAACCCAAAAAUGUCAGGAUUCCAUUCAAAAAGUUAUUGCAAAUCUGCUAAUUUCCCAAGCCUAAAAACUGGCAGUUUUGAUGAUUGGAAUCUAAUAAAUUUCACUCCAUUCAUGCAUGUAUCAAAAAGACAUUGAUAUUGGGAGAAAUUUAUUACUUUAAUCUUUUAAUUUUUAUAUUUUAAUAUUUUUUUGAAACAAAAAAAAUUGAAUUUUUGAAACUAAAAGAAUUUCUUUAUCAAUUAACUUUUUAUUCAAAAUAACAUAAUUUAAUUGAAUUUUGAAAAUUACGGACCGAAUCCAAGAGCUGACAGGAGCCCGGCCCUCUUAAAAUAAAAAAAUUGUUACUUGAACUCAUUAAUAAAAAAAUUACACUUUAACUCAUCUAAAUUAUGAAAAUUUAAUUCUAUCCGUUUAAAGAUUUAAAUUCUUUUAAAGCAAUAAUGAUGCACAUUCCUACCACUUCCUACGGUUCGCAUUAAUUUCCUUUUAGAUAUAGUGAGACCUAAAGUAAAGGAUGCACUUUGCCAUCACUUUCUAAAAAGCCUUCAAUUGAUUGGGUGUUUCUUUUUAGAAAGAAAGAACUUUUUAAUAAUAUUUUAAGAAUUAAAAAAUGUAAACUUAAAAUUAAUAGUACAAGUGAUACAUUAUAUUUGCAAGCUAUUCGAAUUGGAUUCAAAAAAUCUUAAAAUUUUAUCAAAAAUUAUUGUGUAGAGCUUGAGGUAUUGAUCAAACUGAAUUUAAAUAUUGUAAUAGUUGAUUCAAGUAGCCCACAAACCUAAUUAAACAUUCCAUUUAAAUAUAUUUUUAUUUAUGAAAUUACAUUUUUAUCCUUGAUAUAUAGAAAGAGCUUAAUUAUAAAUGAGUUUGAUUAUAAAAAUUGAUAAACGAGCUAAAUCAGCUCAAUUAUGUUUUGAAUCAAGAUUGAGCUUAAAAAGUGAUGUUCAAGUCAAGUUCAAGCUUGUCAUUAUUCGAGCUCUGCUUGACUCGAUUGUACCUUUAAAAUAGAUGUAUAAAAUGUUGAAAAAUUGUAAUUUUUGGAAACUUUGAAGCAUAUUCUCAAUUGAUAAAAGUGGAGAAUUGAAUCAUAAAAUUAUGAUUUUAUAUUCUACUCCAUGAUAUCUUUACAACAGUAUAUCGUAUGCUCAAAAUGGAUGGUUGAGUGAUGAGUGAGAAAUUAAUGCUCAAAGUAAGUUACUUGUGAAUAUUUGUUAAGGAAAAGAAAAGGUUAGAUCUCACAUUGAUUAAAUACCAAGUGUGAGAUGUGUUUAUAUAUGAGAACCCACUUGAAGGAUGAUUGAAUGACUAAGUUCGAAACUUUGUCUCACGCGCAGGGAGUGUAGAUCCAAACCCAUCGGGGUUGGAGCGCACUCGCACGACGUGGGCGAUGUGAAAUGUCUAGACCGGUUUGUUGGGCCUAUGGAUAUUUUAAGCCCAACACAAAAUUUAUUUUUCUCAGUAAAUAUAUAUAAAAUCUAAUUUAAAAAAAACAUAUAUUAUGAUUUAAUUGCUCAUUUAAUACAGAUUUUGUAUAUUUAAUUAUGGAUAUUUCCAAAAUUCUUCCAUCUUGAAUGCUUAAGAAUUCUUCAAAAUUUUUUACACUGAAAAACUCUCUAAAACCAAGUUUAUUUUGCUCUAAAAAAUUAUUCUCUUUUUCUCUCUAUAUUUUCCAAUGUUCCGAUGAUAGAAAAAGGCAAGAAUUGUUCAUUGGUCUCUGUAGAGGUGCUACUAUUUCGGUUAUCAUGUUGUUGUAUCAUGGGAGACAGUCGACUAACGUUUCUUCAAGUACUGUAAGAGCGGACAAAUCUGUCUUAAGGAAACUGUGUAAAACAAGCCUCAACAUCUAGUUAAAUUCCAUUCUUUAUUCGAUUUUUGGUUUUCUAAUAUUAUUUAUUAGUUUUGAAAAAGAACUGAAAUGUUUUUUUAAAAAAAAAUUAAAAUACUAACUAAAAUGUUAAAUUUUUAAACACGACAACUUAUAUAGCAAUUCACGUGUAUUCUAUGUUAAUUUUUUAAAUUUUUAUAUUCUUAAAAUAUUAAUUUUGAUGUAUCUUUAUUUCUAUAAUUUAGAAAACAAUCUUAUUAUUAUUUUUAAAUUUACUCCUCAAACAAUUAACUUGAGAAAAUUUUUAUUUUAACUGGAAAUGGAACAUUUAUCUCGAAUUAUCAUUAACCAGGAUGAAGAAAAUGAUGGAUGCCUUGAUUGUAAAUUACAAGCUUAACUUUUAAGCAAUAAUUGAUGCACGUUCCCACCACUUGCGGGAAAACAACAACCAAGAUAAAAUUUUUGGAUUCGCUCGUAAAGAGAAAAAGAAUAAAGUUGUUUCUGUCUAAGCCCUUAUCCUAUGAUCCUACUUUAUCCUGUUGAAAUUGGAUCAAUUAAUAAUUAUGUCUGUUUGUAAAGGCUUCCUUAGAAUCAAUGAAUUAAGUCAAUAAAUUAAAACAACUCCCUCGUUAAAGACCCUUUGGGUUUUCUCAUCGAUACUCGUAAGUUCUUCAAAUUUAAAUUAUGAUACAAAUGAGAUUAGAAGAAUAAUUCGAAUAUUUUAUCACCAUAGGUCAUGUUCAUUUUAGAAGACGACAUAGAAUUAAAUAUUAUUUCGAUUUUUACGAUCCUUUAUAAUAUCGUAUACUCUUUCCAAAUGUAUAUUUAGAUUUGAACAAUUAAUUUUAAAAAUAUUUGAGGGCAUAUGAAUAGUAAUAUAGUAUAGAUUAAUUAUAUAUGCUCCCUCUUGAGUCUUGAAUUCUCGACAAUGAUAUUUCCUGUUAUUAACAAUGUCAUUAAUCCUACUAAUUGUUUUCUCUCAUUUUCUUUUGGGCAUACAGAGAUUGAAUGGAACAACAACCAGGAUGCGAAGACUGACUUUGUUCAUUCGGAAAUUUCUUCUACUUGUAUAUGUAAAGUUUUCUUCAAUCUGUGUGAGCUUAUGUAAUGCUAGUGUUAAACAUAAUUGGAUAUGAUUUUUCUCUCCAUCUCAAUCGCUGUUAUCCAAAUUCAUGUGACAGUAAAUACAAAUGUAUGCUAUAAACAGGAAAACUUUGAAUACCAUGAAAUCCUAUACUAUAUCAACUUAGAUGUUUAAUCACACCAAUGGAUGAGAAAACGUUAAGCAGAGAUGCAUAUAUAUCAAACCAAAAGACAUUUGCAAAUUUGGUUCCUCGUGGUUAGCCCAUUUUUUUAGCCACGGUCUGAAGUUCUAUAGACCUCAAACUUGGACCUUGAUCUAAGUAGCAAACAUGAAUUUUUUUUUUUUCCUUUUCAGCUUGUAACCCACAUUGAUAUCAAACCAAGCAAUCAUUUCUUCACAAAAACAAUAAGAAAACAAAAUUAAAAACAAAAUUAGCUAUAUUUACAUAUUAUAUUUUCAUUUCAUUACCCUCUAAAUGCCCUGGUUGGGAAGUUUAUCAGAUGAACUUCAUCUUGCAUUGCAGCUGAGAUUUUAAACAAAAUGGCUUCCCUUGCAACAAAAACUCUCUUCAUACUGUUCUCCACCCUCUUUUCAGCUUUCUUCAUUUAAAUUAAUGAAGAGUUCUCGAGGCAAUCCAUUAUUACAUUAACAAAACGCAUGGGGAUAAUUAAUCACCCGACCGCAAUUCUACUUUCAUGACAUUGUAGAUCGAAAACACCCUACAGCCAUGCAAAUUAUCAGGCUACCAAACAGGACAGCUACGUCACUUGGUACCACUUACCUGGUAGAUGAUCCAUUGAUAGAGAAACCUGAGCCUACUUCAGAACUUGUGGGAAGAGCUCAAGGGAUCUACGCUUUCGCUUCUCAACGUGAAUAUGGGUUGCUUUGGCAAUGCCGAUUGUCGGAGGUGGCAAAAUUUUCCCAUUUUCUCGUAGUUAUGCUUUGGCAAAGACAGUUUGGUUUAAUAAGAAUGGAGAUGCCAUAGUUGAAUAUGACGUGACAGUUGUUCACUACAGAACAAUUGAUGCAUGCAUGCAUGCGAUAUAAUUCAAUUUAGGUACGGCAUUGGUUUGUUUUAUUCUAGCUUUGGAUUGUUUCUCCUAUUGACUAGAAGAGAAAUGGGAUUUUAUCAUUUAUAUUUUUGUCAGGAUGAAUAUGAGAAACUUGGGAAUGGAGUUAUUAGAUUCAACUUUUCAUCAAAAAGCUGAGAUUGCACAGAAAUAAGUACAGAAUAAUCUUUACAGAGAACAAGAAAGAUGAAACAAGCACAAACACAAUAUGUAUAGCAAUCUUAAUCACAUCGUCUAAACCCCAAGCUGACAUUGAUAAGGUAACCAUCAAAAGUUGGCAAAUCCAUCCACCUUUAAGAAGAAUUGGAAUAUUAAAACAGGGGUCAACCUUACUAGUAGAAGUUUACAUGUUUGUAGUUCCCAAUGCCAUGCAUGAUGCACUUGAAAUUCAAUAUUGAGGUUAUAAUGUGAAAUGGAACAGUCGCAGCCACGUGCUUCAGUAGAGCAACUCAACCUACAAUGAAAAGGACGUCUCUAUGGUCACUUUAUAAAGCAUUGGUUAAGCUAUGAUGAAAAUAGAGGAGUCAAUUACCAUUUGUUUUGAAUUGAAACGAAACUGACCUUGUCUCAUAAGCACCCAAACAUAUUUCCUUAUUCUAGCUUGGGCAACUGAUGAGAAACCUCCGUCACCUGAGAAGUUUGCACAUUCUGUGCAUGAUCAAAAGAAACCAAGAAUUGUUCAAUUAACUAUGUAUGCAAAUGCACCAAAUAAUAUUUUACAUAUUGUUACGUUAGUAAAAACACAAGAAUUUAAAUCCUUUGAAUGAUUAGUACCAUUUCAUCGAACAUAUGUUUUAUAGUAGUGUUAAGGCCGCCUUCCCACUGCAGUUCACCUUUCUCAUCUCUUGUUAAGUGCAUUUGUUCCAGCCUUGGUGUGCUUAAAUCUCCUUGGCAGAAAUUCCUCAUUUUGGGACACUUUGUCACCUUCACCAUUUGUAAGACUGGGAAUUCCAACGAGUGAUGAGCCAAGGAAAAGCUUGCUAGACAUGGCAGACAACUUAGUUGCAAAUACUUCAGUUCGGGAAAUACAAUGCCGGCUUGUAUUUCUUCAGCCUCACACGCUAUGAUUUCCUCUAUCAUCUCACAAUCAUCUAUGCUCAAUCUUUCCAGUAGCGUCAGGCACUUAGCUGUUGAGCAUGCGAUUAAAUUGAUGAACCCAUGGCAUCUCGAAACUUCCAGUGUUGUUAGAUUUUUGAAAGACAGCAAAGAUAGUUUAAAAGUCUUUAACGACAACUCUGGAAGUUGAGACAACCUUAAGUCCUUUAACUGAUAGAAUACCGAUGUGUGCCUUUCCUCUUCGAUAAGUCCUUCAGACCGGACUAUUUCAGAAAUGGAAGCAUUGUUUAUAACAAGCUUCUGAAGCUUUGGUAGCGACCGAAUGAAGCAAUAUGGAAGUGUAGUUGACCUCUUACGAAAGCAAUGAAGGUUAAGAGCAUUAAGAUUUUUGAAACACUGCAAUGAGAGCUGUCCAUCACAUAUCCUCUUCACCAUAUCAUUCGUCUUCAGUGUUAGUUCUUCUAAUACAGGGAAAGUGUCCUGGAUGGCAAUGAAUAUAUUGGACAUCGAUGAAAGAGUUUUAAAUUGGUAAGAACUAGACUCUCAUAAAAUUAAAAGAGGAGAGAAUAUUAGCUUUUUCAAAAAGCAUUUUAUAGGUAAUCUCAAGUAGUGAUCAUGGAAUAUGAAACUGUUCGUGAGCUCACCUCAUUGACGCAAAACAAGGGUUGUUGGUUUGAGAUUCCAACCUGACUCACAGGACAUUGUGGAGUAAAUAUCUGUACUUUGAGGCAUUCAAUAAUGUCCAUUUGUUUCAAUGAAGGCCACUGGGUGGUAUGCAUCCUAGAGUAGAAACUUUUCAAUCGUGGCACCUUACACAAUCUAAGGUAUAUUAGUUCGGGAAAUACAAACUUGGUCGUCACUGUUUCAGCCACAAUAGAUUGAGCAGCUGAUGUUGACUGUGACUCAUCAGCAAUGAGUCCUUGCAGCUCAAUAAUUUCUUCUAACAAAUCACAAUUUUGAAUCUGCAGCCUCUUCAAACUAGGGAAAACAACCUAAUAAAUCAUUUCAUUAGGUUAAUAACUGAAAUAUGUAUGAAAAAGAAAGAACUUCAAAUGAAUAAUAAGGUCAAUCGAAGUAACAUAAAUUAAAGGAGAAUCCGUGAAGAAAUGACCUUCUCAUUGAGGAGAGAUGAGUUAUGAAGCUCCAAGUUACUUGCUUGUUCAUGUUGGCCAAUUUCAGGCUCAUCUUCGGAUACACAUUUAGUGGUGAAUGUUUUUAGCAAUGGACAAUUUGUUAGUACUAAAUAUUCCAAACAGUGAAAUUCAAAGUAAUUUUCAAAAGACAAACUAGCGAGUUUGGGAAGGUGUUUUAGCCACAGCAAUUCUAGUUUAGAGAAAAACAUCUGAUUCCUCCCUUGAUGUUCCUCAACCAAUCCAUCCGUGAAUAUUACUUGUUCCAUCAUAUUACAGUCCAAAAUUCGAAGGAAUCGGAGUUGCACAAGAUCUUUUGCUAAGAAAGACGGGAGCAGGUAUUUCAAAUUGUGACACCUCUUCACCUUCAAGAAAUUUAGGUAUCCCAUAGAUGGGGAGGAUGAGUGGUGCCAUAUCUUAUGAAUGUUGAUGGAGGACAAAUCCAGACGCUCCAGACUAGGAAUGACAACCUGUUGACAUAAAUAUCAUUAUAAGAUAGUAUCACUCUUCCUUCUGUACUUUGAAAGACAAUCAAAAUGAGUAGAUGAGUAUGAAGAUUUAUAAACUGAUCCAAAGGUUAAUAUUCACACAUCAACUAGACAGUUAAAAGUAACCAAAAUUUUUUGGUUAAUUAUGAAAAUGAUCUAACUUAAAAAUCAUAUAGUAAAUGACCUGAUUUCUACAGUGCUUACUACACCGGCCCCCAUCAAUGAUUGCUUUUUAAAAAAAUUAUAGUGGUGCUGCUUAAUAAAUUGACGGCACCAGACUGAAUGUGACUAUAUAAAACGUGCUGGGAUCCUUUGAAGCGGUUAACAUUUUUAGAUUGGUUAAAAAAGGGGUGUCGUUCAUAUCUGAACCAAAUUAAAUGUUUUUCAACUUUUGACCUAUCUUCAUGUUACAUCUGUCCUCUUUUAAAAUUAGAUUUAAAUAGCACUUCUUAUUCAAAUUACCCAAAUAUAUUCCUCAAAAAAUUUCCUUAAGUUUAUCUAAAUUUAAAUAUAUUAGGGAAUGAGUUGAAAAUGCUUGAAUUUAGAUAAACUUGAGGAAAUUGUGUGAGGGGUAUAUUUGGGUAACUUAAAUAAGAAUUUUAUAAAAAAAUAAAAAAAAAUGAGAAUGGUUUAUUUUUGUUAUUCUUAUAUUACUUAAGUGUUAUUUAAAUUUAAUUUUAAAAGGGGAUAGACCUAAUAUGCAAAUAGACCAAAAGAUGAAGAGCAUUUAAUUUGGUGCCCCAUAUUCACAUGAAGACCCCUUUUUCCGCUAAUUAAAAAAGGGUAAUUACUUCGUCAAGCCUAUGAAAUUUUUUAAAUAAAAUACAAUCAUUAGUCAAUGAUGGUAGGUCGGUGCAGCCAUUGUGUCUGGCGGCACCGACAAACACUAUAGAAAUCGAAUAAUUUAUGUACAUAAUUUUUAAAUUGAGUCAUUUUCAUAAUUAAUCAAAAAUUUGAGUUACUUUUAUAAAAACCCGACAAGUAAAUUUAAAUAAUUAUAUUGAUCUUUUUUUUCUUUCAAUGAUUUUUUCUAUAUAUGAAAUUUUUUAAAAAAAAAGCAUUAAAUCUUUAAAUAAAACCCAUCCACUCUCUCACUUCAAUUCUUCUCCAUAUAUUUGGUUCUUUCUUCUUCAAACUCCUCACCUUUUGUUUUCUUGCUUCUUCUCCUUUGAUCUCAAAUGACCUUUGUGAAGGUCUUCCACAAUUAUCUCCUUCUUAAUUCUUAUACACCCACAAAUUAAAAUAAAGGAAAAUUAGUUAUCUUUCUAUUAUUAUUUUAUUAUUUAUUGUCUAUUAGUAUUUAAUUUAAAACUUCUAUUAAAUUCUUAUUGUUUAUUAGUAUUUAAUUUUAAGUUUUCCUUUCAAUUCUUAUUUUAUAUAUUUACGUUGAAGCUAGCCAACAUGCUGACAUGAAGCAAUAGAAACUGCCCGAGCCAUGCAUGUUGCAGCUGAAGAUGGUGCUGCUGUUUUAGCUUAGUUUUGUUACUUUGAUCAACAUUUUGCAACUUAGUUUGAUUUGAACCAAGUUGUCAUUGUACUUGAUGAAUUUUUGUCAAUGUUUGAGCUGGUAAAACAACUUUACUAUGUGUGCAAGUUAUGUUUUAUUAGUUCCAAGGUUACUUAGUGGUAGUAGGUGAUGUUUAGGUAAUCAAAUUAUUUUCCUUGACCAGCUCAUGUCUGGUAUCUGUAUUGGCAUUAUGUCAUUGUUUCAGUUAAUGAAAAUUCCUCUAAGAAUUUUUCAUUCAAUACUCUCUCAAUCUUAGUUUCAUUUGGUUCUUAAAUGUUUAAUUCAGUUAUUGUUUGUUCUGCAAGUCUCGAGCCUUAAAGCUCAAGAAAUUGUUUUGUUUCCUUUAACUUUGUUCAUUGUUCCAACAAUUGGUAUCUAGAGCCUAUUUCUUAGUGGACCUAUCAUUCUUCAAGUCCAAGAACCAUGUCUUCAUCUAGAUUCUCACCAGCUCUACCACCAGUGUUCAAUGGUGAAAGCUACCACAUUUAGGUAGUGAAACGAAUACCUCCCUGCAGGCAUUUGACUUGUGGGAAGUUGUUAACUCAGAUUUUGAACCAGCACCUCUGAAAGCCAAUCCUAUAAUGGCUCAGAUCAGGCAGCAUGCAAAUGAAUGAACUAAGAGACACAAGGCUAUGUCUUGCAUUCAAAACAGUGUGUCUAAUGUGAUUUUCACAAGAAUCAUAGUUUGUGAGUCACCAAAGUAGGCCUGGGAUAAGCUAAAGGAAGAGUUUCAAGGGACUGAAAGAAUAAGACAGCAACAACUACUAAAUUUGAGAAAGGACUUUGAAAAUUUGAAGAUGAAGGAGGAAGAAAUAGUGAAGCAGUAUUCAGACAAAAUCAUGGCUAUAGUGAACAACAUUAGAUUGCUUGAGGACCAGUUUAGUGAAGCAAGAAUUGUAGAGAAGGUUAUCUCAAUUUUACACGAGAGAUAUGAAGCCAAGGUCUCACCCCUUGAAGAUUCAAGAGAUCUGAUAAGUAUCUCUUUGACUGAGCUGAUCAAUGCUCUUUAUGCAUAAGAGCAAAGAAGGGUUAGAAGACAGGAGGAGCAUCAAGAAGGUACCUUUCAAGCCAAGAGCAAACCACUGUCUCAAGCUUCUCUGGCAAUAAAUGGACAAAAGUCUGGCUCGACAAGCCUAGAAGAGAUAGAGUAGGAAUGAGAUAUCCACUUUGCCCAUACUACAAAAGACUCAGUCAUCCAGCUGAAAAUUGUUGGUUUAGGCCUGAUGUGCAGUGCAAAGUCUGCAAAAAGAUGGGUCACUCUAAGAAAGUUUGUAGAAACAAAGGCAAGCUGAGACAAAGUCAACCUCAAUAGCCAAAAGCUGAAGCUUAAGUGGCAAAACAAGGCCGUGACCAGGAAAAGCAAGUCUUUGUAGUGUCUUGCUCAGCUGCCAAAGGAAAAGUCAUAAAAGCGUGGCUGAUAGACAGUGGUUGCACAAACCAUAUGACUUCUAAUGCUACAAUCUUCAAGAGCAUCGACAGAAGCUUCAAAACAAGGGUGAAGGUUGGAAAUAGACACUUCAUCAAGGCAGAAGGCAAAGGAGAUGUGCUGAUUAACACUCCAACAGGUAACAAACUUGCCUCAAAUGUCUUGUUUGUACCUAAAAUUGACAGAAACUUGCUAAGUAUAGCUCAGUUGUUAGAAAAGGGCUAUUCAAUUGUGUUCAAAGGCAAAUAAUGCCUGAUCAGUGAUCCAAGUGGAUCUAAGCUUAUGUUAGUAACUAUGGCUAAUAGAAGUUUUGUAGUAGACUGGAAUAAGAGCUCAGACAGUGCCUACAUAGUAGUACUAGAUGAAUCCAAGCUGUGGCACAAGAAGUUAGGCCAUGUCAACUACAACUCACUGGCUAAACUAACCAAAGAAGAUUUGGUUGAAAAUUUUACCAAUUCUGUUGAGAAGGAGGAUGUUUGUGAGGUAUGUCAAUUAGAAAAGCAGGUCAGACUGCCAUUUCCCUUGAACAAAGCCUAGAGAGCCUCACAAAAACUGCAGUUGGUUCAUCCUGAUGUGUGUGGCCCUAUGAAAACACCAUCCUUGAAUGGUAGCAAGUAUUUCAUUCUUUAUAUUGAUGAUUACUCGAGGUAUUGUUGGAUUUACUUCUUAAAACAAAAAUCAGAAGUGGCCUCAGUAUUUUAGAAGUUCAAGUUUGCAGCAGAAACAGAAACAGGUUGCAAGCUGAAGACAUUGAGGUCAGACAAUGGGAUAGAGUAUACCUCAGUAAUGUUUCAGAGUUUCUGUGAUGAAAAAGACAUCAAGCAUCAACUUACCAACACCUAUACACCACAACAGAAUGAUGUUAGUGAAAGAAAAAAUAGAAACCUGAUGGAUAUGGUUAGAUGUCUAUUGUUUAAGAAGAAUUUGCCAAAAACCUUAUGGGCUGAGGCAGUUAACACUAUUGUAUAUCUUCAAAAUAGACUGCCAACAGAAGCAUUGGCUCAUAAAACUCCAUUUGAAGCCUGGUUUCGGUUCAAACCAUUACUAGCUGAUCUGAGGGUCUUUGGCUUCAUAUGCUAUGCACAUGUCUUAGCUGUUAAGAGGGAUAAAUUAGCCAAGAAAGCACAACCAGGUAUCCUGGUAGGCUAUAGCAGUAUGAAGAAAGGCUACAGAAUCCUAAAUCCUUUAACUAAUGAAGUCUUUGUAAGUAGAGAUGUGCUUGAUGAGAAGAUAGGGUGGAAUUGGGAUAAAAAUGAUCUAGAAGCUGCUGCUGAAGAUCUGUUAACUGAUUAGACUGAAGCUGAUCAAAAUGGUCCUAAAAUGGAUAUUGACCACGAACCAAUCAGGCAAACCAGACCUUUGAGUGAAAUUUAUGAAAGAGCUGAAGUGGCUGCAGUUGAACCAAGUUGUUUUGAAGAAGCUGAAGCUCAACAAGGAUGGAAACAGGCUAUGCUCGAUGAAAUGAACAUGAUUCACAAGAACCAGACCUAGGAGCUAGUUAAUAGACUAGUCAAUAGGAAAAUUAUUGGAGUGAAAUUGGUGUUUUGAGUGAAGCACAAUGCUGAUUGAACUCUGAACAAGCUAAAAGCAAGACUGGUAGUGAAGGGAUUCAGUCAAAAGUAUGGUAUUGACUACUUUGAAACAUUUGCACGAGUAGCCAGACUUGACACAAUCAGGCUGCUGGUUGCUUUGGCUACACAAAAGCAAUGGAAAAUACAUCAGCUCGAUGUAAAGUUAGCUUUUCUCAAUAGUUUCCUUGAAGAAGAGAUUUAUAUCGAGCAACCUGAAGGUUUCAAAGUUGUUGGUGAAGAGGACAAAGUGUACAAACUGAAGAAAGCCUUGUAUGGCUUAAAACAUGCACCAAGAGCCUAGUAUGAUAGAAUCGAUAGCUACCUGGCUAGCUUGGGGUUCGAGGGAAGCAUCAGUGAGCCAACCUUGUAUGUGAAGAAGAAAGGUAUUGAAACACAGCUUGUAGUGUCCCUGUAUGUCGAUGACCUACUUGUAAUAGGUCAAAGUCAUGAAUUGCUGGUUGAUUUGAAAGGCAAAAUAGAGAAAAAGUUUAAGAUGUCUAAUUUAGGAUAAAUGUGCUACUUCUUUAGCAUUGAAGUGUCUCAAACUCAAUCAGGGAUCUUCCUAAGUCAGAAGGCAUUUGCCUUGAAGAUUCUGAACAAAUUCUCCAUGCUAAACUGUAAGGCAACAAGCACUCCAGUUGUUGUUGGAGAGAAGCUGUCAAGCCAAGAUAAUUUCGAAAAGGUUUGUAAAUCAACCUACAGAAGCUUGAUUAGAUGCCUGCUCUAUUUGACUGCCACCAGACCAGACAUUAUGUUUGAUGUAAGUCUGAUAUCUAGAUUCAUGCAUUGCUGUAAUGUGAAGCACUUCCAAGCUGCCAAAAGAGUUCUCAGGUACAUUAAAGGUACACUGAGCUUUGGAAUGAUGUUCACCAAGGCUGAAAGGAUGAAGCUGCUUAGAUAUGCAGAUAGUGAUUGGGCUGGAUCGAUAGAUGACAUGAAAAGCACCUCAGGGUAUCUGUUUACCCUUGGUUCAGUUAUUUUUUGUUGGAGUUUAAAGAAGCAAACAGUAGUUGCUUAGUCAAUAGCUGAGGCAGAGUAUGUAGUAGCUAGUAAUGUUGUUAACCAAGCCAUUUGGCUAAGAAAGAUCAUGACUGACUUGAAUCUACACCAAAGGAAAGCAACAGAGAUCAACUGUGACAACCAGUCUACUGUUGUAAUUCCAAAGAAUCCAGUGUUCCAUGGAAGAACAAAGCACUUCAAGGUUAAGUUUCAUUUUAUUAGGGAAAUAGAAUAAGCUAAUAAGGUGAAACUGAUUCAUUGCAGUUCUCAGGAUCAACUUGCUGACAUUCUGACAAAGCCCCUUAGUAUAUCAAGGUUCGAGCAAUUGAGAAUGAGAUUGGGAGUUUGCAGCAUGCAAGCCAAGGAGGAGUGUUGAAGCUGGCCAGCAUGCUAACAUGUAGCAACAGAAAGUACCCGAGCCAUGCAUGUUGCAGCUGAAGAUGGUGCUGCUGUUUUAGCUUAGUUUUGUUACUUUGAUCAACAUUUUGUAACUUAGUUUGAUUUGAACAAAGUUGUCAUUGCACUUGAUGAAUUUUUUGUCAAUGUUUGAGCUGAAAAAAUAGCUUUACUAAGUGUGCAAGUUAUGUUUUAUUAGUUCUAAGGUUACUUAGUGAUAGUAGGUGAUGUUUAGGUAAUCAAAUUGUUUUCCUUGACCAGCUCAUGUCUGGUAUAUGUAUUGGCAUUAUGCCAUUGUUUCAGUUAAUGAAAAUUCCUCUAAGAAUUGUUCAUUCAAUACUCUCUCAAUCUUAGUUUCAUUUGGUUCUUAAAUGCUUAAUUCUGUUAUUGUUUGUUCUGCAAGUCUCGAGCCUUAAAGCUCAAGAAACUGUUUUGUUUCCUUUAUCUAUGUUCAUUGUUCCAACAAUUUAUUUAUACUUUAAACUUCAACUUUGUUUUUAAAUAUAUCUUACUUAUUACUAUAUGGAUUUUAUUAUAUUCAAUUUUGACAAGGUGUAGCACUAGUAUGUAUAUAUAGACCAGACACACUCAUGUUGAUCAAAUCAAAAGAAAAUGUGAAAUAAGUUGUGCAGAUAUAUAUUGAAUACCAAACUUACCUUAUUGCUGAAAAAAGUUGCAGUGUUAUCAUAGAUGCCCCCUUUGCCAACCACGUUUUCACUUGCAUCACCACUCUCUCUUGAAACUGAGGAAGAAAAUGCAGUCAUUUUUGGACACUCAGCUAUUGUGAUAUUCCUCAGCAGUGGAAAUUCAAGAGCUUGACUUCCCAAAUGGAAAUUUGUCAAGUUGGAACACGACUUAAUUGUUACGGAGAGUAGCGAAAGAAAAGUAAAUUUAUGUGUCAUGGCUUCCUCCUCCUCCCUAACUACUUGUUCCAUUGAACUGCAUUCUUCCACUUCUAUCCUUCGUAGUAGAUUGAGGCUCAAAAGCAUAGACGGAGUAAAUAUGUACUUCAAGCUGCUACAUUUAUAAAACUGCAGGUUGCUAAGGUUUUUGAUGCCCAAAAUUUCUUGAGGGUUUCUUGUCCAUAUUUCUAUCGACUCCGGAAAUGUGUCAGAGAUGUUGAAAUCAUAGAGUCCAUCCUAAAAACUAAUCUGAUAUUAUUCCACUAGAUAGCAAUCAUAAAUAGAAAAUGCAGACAAUAACAAAAUAACGAUUAACAAUCUUCAAUGGUUAUUGAAGUAGUAAUAAAAUGAAUUGUAUUAGGACACGAGGAAUCUAGCUAGCAUUAUGAACUUAUUAACUUUGUACCUUUUCUGUGUUGAGCUGUUGUAUGGUGGUAUUAAUGUCACUUGUCCAACUCCAUUUCUCACCGUAAUGCGACUGUUUUAUUCUCUGUAAUUGUGGGGUGCUUAAAACUCCCUCAGAAAAGAUCUUUAACCAAGGACAAUGUUCCACAACUAAUUCUUCCAAACAAGGAAACUCGAAGUUGUAAUACCAUGGACAAAAGCUUGUGAGGCUCUUCAAAUUGCAUAGUUGUAAACAUUUCAAUUUACUAACAACUAUUGUCUGAUGACAGUCUCCCUCGUUUCCCACUAUUUCUGUCAUUUUAGUGCAGUAUUCUACCUUUAUUGUCGUUAAUUGCACAAGAUUCUUAAGUACUGAGGGUGUAACUAAGUUUGUCAUCAUUUUACAAAGUGACACAUUCAAAAUUGUGAGAUUUUGUAAAGAUGAUGAGAAGACUCUAAUGUUUAUCCAAUCAUCACAAUUGUGAAUUGUGAGUGUUUGAAGAUCAGAAAGAAUAUGGUCAAGCUCCAAAUCUUUCCUCCAAAUACGCUUAAGAUUUCUGGCAGAAACCAAUUUCAGAUUUCUAAUUGAUGGGAGAGUCCCGACGUCUCCUUUACAAGGGACUACAUGUUUGAAAUCAAAAUUAGAAACCUCAAGUCUUUUCAGAUUGUAGAAUCUUCGGACGAAAGGAAAUAAAGAAAAUGGAGAGCCACCACUCACUGCAAAAACUUUAAUAUGUUGAAACAAGUCUGGUGGAAAUUGGUCCAUAUCACCAAAAUUUCGUAACUCAAGUUCCUCUAAUUUGGGAAUGACCUUGGAAACCAAUUAAAUAUAUACAAGUUAGGCUCAAUGUUGAUGUAUAUGCUUUAAAAAAACAAACAAACAAAAAAAAAAGAUUUACAAUUUUAGUGUUUGAUUUUGAUGAUUAAAUCCCAACAAAAUCAAUAUUAAAUCAAAUGAAUCCAGAGUAGAUGAAUUUUUUGUUUUAAGAAAACACAAUACCUUGAGAAUAAAAACUGAUAAAAAUUACACAACAUGAAAGCUGAAAGAAGAGUAGCAAAUCUAGAUUAAAACAGAUAAACAACCAUUGUUAUAUAUAUAUAUAUAUUUCUAUAAUAAAAAAAUAUAAGCAGAACAGUGUAGAUAAAAACACCAAAGUUUUAAAAUAUUACACUGACUUAAUUUGAUGGUUAAAUUAAUGAAUUUAAUAAAAAAAUACCUAAUUGAUAUAACCUCAAUAGUUUAAGGAUGUAAUUAGAAUGUUUUAAAUUUUGGGACUAAUUUAAAAUGAAGGUCAUAGUUUGAGAUGUCUAGGGUAAUUAACUUUUAAAAUUUUGACUUUUUAUUGAGUGGCCAUUUUUUUUAGCAAACUAAACGUUCUAUUUAGUUUUGACCCACAUAUAUAGUCACUUAAGUGUUAAAAUAUUUUCAUUUUGGUCACUUAAAAACAACUAAAAUUUCAAUUUAAUCACUGUUGCUAGAGAAAUUAAAUAUCUUAAUUGCUAGGCUGCAAAGUCCCUAACAGGAUGCUAAUGUAGCAUUUUUUUUUUUGCAUAAUAAUAAAUUUAAACCUCAAUAUUUAUACAUUUUAUCAAAUUGAACUACAUUCUAAAAAAUCAAGAUUAACACUCAAUAUUUACCUCUUAUAUUUAUUAAGUCUUGUUUUUAAAAAUUGAAAAAAUAAUUAUAAAUGUAACAAAAAAAUUAAAAUAUACAUAUUAAAAAUUCAAAAAUAUGAAAAAAAAAACUUCAAAUCAAACAAAAUAUAAUAAUUAGAAAUGCAUUAUCGUGGCAUAUUUCGACUUGAGAUGCUUGUCGCAGUGGUUUAAAUCAUAAAAAGAAAUAUAGUUGUAAUGAUAUACAUACCUCUUCAACCAACAAAACUGGCUGCUCAUUUCGUUGGAUUAAUCUAAGAUGUUCCGAUGCCACUAUCUUUAGCAAAGCAGAACUAUCUGUUGUCAAUUUUUUCAACAUCGGCCAGACUAUUGUAUGUUGCCCUUCAUAGAAACAUUUGAGCUUAUCUACCCCACUAACCUCAAGGUAAGACACUUGCGGAAACUCAAACCUCACAGGCUGCUCCUCCACUCCAUCCCCUUUCGAUACAAUCUCCUCAACUCCACAAUCAAUGAUGCGUAACUGUUCAAGUUGUGGAAGAUCUUUGGCUAUUGAUACUGGAAAUAGAUUUUUCAAACUCCCACAUCCCCAAACACUUAUUUUUUGUAGAUUUUUAAAGGAAUCUGGUGCUAGGUCAUUAUAAAAUAUCAUCUUCACAUUACUCAAGUUAGAGAUAUUCAUGUCUUCCAAGCUUGGAACUGCAAUCUAUUCAUAUAUAUAUAUAUAUAAUCCAUGCCCAUAAUAAGGUUAGCUCAAAUAAUGAAGGCAGAAAAAAAAAAAGGACAAAUCAACAGAUUUAUGCACGAGUGUAAGACUAAAGAAAUAAAUCACCUUCUCACUGAAGAGAGCGUGCAUGCCGGACUGAUUACUAUUCUGACUAAUGAAUUCUAUUAACUUGGGGCAACGCUGAAUCUUUAGCACUUUCAACAAUGGGAACUCAAUAUUGUGGUUUCCUGAGUUGAAGAAGAUGAGGUUUGGAAGACCCACUAUAUGCAGGGAGUUUAAUCGAGGGAAACAAAUCACAUCUUUCCUUUCUUCUUCAAUUUCCUCUGUAAGUAUUAUGUCCCUUAAGCACUUGCAAUCCUCUAUCUGAAAGUAUUGGAGCUGCACCAGACUUCUAGCGAGAGAGGGUGAUAACAGAUGCUCCAACUUGCCGCAUCCUUUGAUGAUCAACCUCCUCAAAUUCGUAAUCCAAUGACAUGUCUGGUUUUCGAUUGAGGGAAAAUAAAUUACACAUAUUUACACACAAUUCUUUUAAAAUAAAGGUAGUAUGUAACAUAAUUUGAAAAUAUGAUUUUCAAUUUUAAAGAUAAUUUUAGUUCGAUUUGUGGGCUCAAAUUUCAUUUUAAGAAUUAAAAAAAAUUGUGAGGUUUAAAUUUAGAUUAUUGAAUUGAUUUUGUACUUUCAAUCGAUGUGGAUUAAAAAUUAAAUUUUCAUUUGUUUUGGAUUUGAAAUUUAUUUUUGAGCUCCGAAAAAACCAUUACACAAUAUUAUUUAUUUCUAUUAUUAGAAGUAUUAAUGGGCAUAUAAAUAAAAGUUGUAUAAGAAAAUAUAAAUAGAGCCAAACAAAUACCUGUUUAUUGAAAAGUAGUAAGGGCUUAAUGGAACACCUUUCGUCUGGAGAGCAAAAGCUAACGAGUUGCGGUAGAUUUUCAAGUUUGAUGAAGCAUAAUUCAGAAAAUCCAAUUUUGUUUGUUUUGAUAUAUUGGACAUGCCUACCAUUUUUGACAUGAAGUCUCUUUAAAUUUGGAAGAUCUUUCCCAUUAUUUAACUCCACAAGUACAUUCUUGACGCCUUCAAGUCCCUCUAGGCUCAAAUCUUCUGUUUUUAUCAACAACAUUUUCAUCCCAUUGUCCAAAUCAAUGUUUGUAUAUAACAUGAGCUUCAAUGUUUUCGGGGAUUCAUAAUUAUGGAAACAAUUAUAUGCUCCAUAAUUACCUACGAAAAUCUUGAAUCUGUCCAAUGUUUCAACAAACCGGUGUUUUGGUAUCAUUUGGACAUCAAGAAUAUGAACAUAUAAAGUAAUUAGACAAGGCAAAUUGUUUAAUUCAUCAAGGCUUGCAUUUUUCCUCUCAUUUUCAACUAUUCCUCCCUUCUCCCAUUCAACAAAGCUCCCCCUCAUAUAUAAUUCUUCUAAUUUAGACAAACCUGAUAAGAUAUUCGGUGGGAUGAUUUUGAGUUCUCUACACCAACGCAAAUCUAACAACCUUAAUUGAGUCAAUUGUGCCAUCUCCUUAGGUAGUCCUUUGAUACCUGACUUAGAAAGGUCGAGGAUUUCUAAAUUCUUGAGCUCUCCAAGGAUAGUGAUGUCAUCAACUGCACAUUCUUUUAGACACAACAUGCGAAGGUCCGUGAGGUGAAUAAUUGAUUCAGGUAGGGAUGGAAACUCCAUUCCGAACAAAUCUAAGACUUUGAGGCCUUCGGUUUGUUUGAAAAAAUUGGGAGGAAUUUUAACCGCGCCAUCAUAGGCCUUACGGAAAAAGGAAAGUCCUGAACACUCCAUCUCCUUAGGAAGGUUAGCUAUAAUCUGAGGACAACGUAAGCUGAUCACAUUCCACGUCUUCAUUUUCUCCUUAUCGGACCACUCCUUUGGAGCAUGAUCUCUCAAAACAAGCAUACGGUAGUCCUUCAAUGCGAUAGCUAUAGCAGCAUCCCAAACAACAUCAUGGAUAUCAAAGCGCUUAUCAUUAUAACUAUCAAGCAACAAGGCAGACGCUUUGAGAUUAGCCACAACCGUCAAUACUUUAUUUCUAGCUUCUUCCAUAGUGUGGACACCAUCAAAUAAACCCAAACCUAGAGUAUAUCUUACCAAGUCCUCAACGAGACCAUUAUGGCCUAUUACACUGCAAAGCAAGAAAGUCAGCUUAACUUCCUCGCUUUCUAAAUAAUUAAAACUCCACUCUAUAGCUGAAUAUGCCGCAGCUAUCCCCAUGAAGUUGCUUGACGAAGGCCUCUCCAGUUCUCGUAAAGCAUUCUUCCAUUCAAACAAUCUUUUGUUUCUCAAAGCCCCUGCAACUGUCGCAAUGGCUAUCGGCAGUCCUGCACAUUUGUUGGCUACCUCCAUAGCUAUAGACUUCAAAUCGCAACUUUCAUCACAGUCGCCAGCCUUCUUCUUGAACAGGUCCCAGGCUUCCUUUUCAUUUAAAAACCCAAUGGGAAAAUUUUUCUGAGCAUCCAUCCCAUUUGAUAAAACAUUGAGCUCUCUAGAAGUUAAUAGUAAUUUGCAGCCCUUGUGUUCAUCUCCCAAAGGAAUCCCUACUUCCUCAAUAUCAACCUUUCCCCAAAUGUCAUCCAAGACAACAAGAAUCCUCUCCUCUUCCUUCAAUCUUUCUCGUAGUCGAAAUGCCUUUCCAACCAUACUCUGUUCCUCAAAUUGCAAGCCCAAAAAGUCUGCAAUUUGGUUCUGAGUCUUCUCAAUAUCGAUGGCUUGAGUUACGGUUGCUAUGACAACCGAAUCAAACAACUUGCCCUUGACCUUUCUAGCGAUUUCUUUGACCAGCGUUGUUUUUCCAAUCCCACCCAUACCAUGCACCCCAACAACGCUGACGCUAUUAUCUUUUAGUGACUCCAUUAUUCCGUUCAAAAUCGACCUUCUUGACUCGAAUUCCUCAUAACCUUUAACUGGUGCAACCACGAUACCUUGCGGAGCUGCACGAUAGGAAACCCUUUCAAACUUGCCAUGUUCAAGUAGUUCGGCAACAGCCUUUGCCUCCUCUUCAGCUUUCAGGCUAAGCUUGUAACGAGUCCUGAAAUUGGGACACAAACCAAUGAAACACUUUUUCUUUGCUUUUUCUUCAUCUUGCAUCACUUUCUCUACUUGUUCAAGGAUCUUUUCGUCGACUGCAGACAGCCAUUUGUCAACAUCACCUGCGAUCUCCUCACCGUUUCGUUUAGCUGCAUCAACAGAAUUCUGUACUCCGUCCCUUGCAUCUUUCAGCCUAUUAGCUCGGUUCUUGAGGGUCUCAACAUUUUUCUGAUGAUUGGAAAGGAUUUGACAUGGUUUUUGAUAGGAGAGAUCGUAUUCUCUACAGCUUUAGCAACAAUAGAGCCAACGAUGGCAAUAACAAACUCCAUUGAGAGAGCAAACUGAAUAACCACAGCGACAACGAAGACCAAAACUUGAAUCAUCUUAUAUUUAAAAAAAAAAAAAAGAAAAAGAAAACUCAUUUGCAUAAUCUUAACUACCAUUGAAGAGUUAAAAUUUUAAAAUUAUAAAUAUGUGAUUAAUGUUACUUUUAUGACAAUUAAAGUGAUUUUGUUAAUAGAUAACUAUUUAUUAAUAUAGACAUAUAUCUAAUGAUAUUUUCUAAUAAUUAUCUUUUUUUAAGGAAUACUUUUUCCUAAGCAUUGAAGGAAUAAAUUGUCUUUUUACACUUUGAAUAUUUUUACAACACAUCUUUUAAAUUUUUUUAAUUAUUAUUUAAAAAUUAAAUCUUUCUAAUUAUUUUGAAAUAUAAUUUUUAUCAUUAAAUUAAAUUUCUUUUAAAUUAAUUUAAACUAAUUCAAAAUUAUACCUAUUUCUUAUAUUUUGAUUAAAGCAAUAAUUUAUGGGUGAUUAUUUGGUAUACUAGCAAUAUUUUUUUAUUCCACAAGCCAUUUUAAAAAGUUUAUGUGUCUCUUUUUUAAAAUUUUUAAUUUUUUUUAUAUUUUACUAUACUCUUAUAAAACACUUGUCAAUCUCUUGACCUUACUGAUGGAGUCUAAAAAUAUUGUUGGAAGAAUUACUUUUAUGGAAACUUUGAGGCAUAUUCUCAAUAGUUAAAAGUGGAGAGUUGAAUCAUAAUUUUAUGGUUUCAUAUUCUACUCCAUGAGACCUUUACAAUGGUAUAUCAUAUGCUCAAAAUGGUUGAGUGGUGAAUGAGAAAUUGAUGCUCAAAGUAAGCUACUUGAAAAUAUUGCUGAGAAAAAGUAAAGGGUCAGAUCCCACAUUGGUUAAAUACCAACGUGCUUAUGUAUGUGAACUCUCUUUAAAAAUAAUUGAAUAACGAAGCUUGUAACAUUGUCUCACGCGUAAGGGGGGUGUAGGUCCAAAUCUAAUGGGGUUGAGUGCACCUGCAUGACGUGGGCAACGCGAAAUGUUCGGGCCGGUCGGGCCCAUGCGGAUAUUUUAACCCCUGCGGAUAUUUUAUGCCCAACACGAAUUUAUUUUUCCUCAGAAGACAUAAUCUGCUUAUAUAUGGACAGUAUCUGAUUUGAUCUAAUUUUUAAAUCAAAUUGAUUUUUUGCUCAUUAUCCUAAAUGCCUAUAAAAGGUUGUGUAUUCUGGAGGAUUAAACACACAUUCAAAUAAUUUUUUAUGCCGAAAUUCUGUUCAUUUAAAAACUCUUCCUUUUCCUCUCUAUUUUCAAACAUUCUUCUGAUAGAAAAAGGCAAAAUUCGUUAGUUGAUUGUUGUAGAGGUGCUACUACUUUGAUCACUUUUGUUGUUGUAUCCUGGGAGACUUUCGACUAACAUUUCUCCAAGUACCGUAGGAGCGGCCGAAUCUAUCUUAAGGAAACUGUGUUUCACAGGCCUUAAUGUUUCGUAAAAUCUCAAUUCUUAUUUAUUUCAACUUUUCUUAUGUUUUUAUUUGAUUCAUAUUUAAUAAAUGAAUUAUAAAUCAUUCUAUUUAUAUUUUAUUUCAUAUGUGUUUAUUAAUAAUUAAUUUAUUUUGUUCGCUAAUGUGUUUUGUCCAAUAAAUAUUAAUAAUAAAUUGUGGAAAUUAUUUAGUAAGUGGAGGUUUUAGACUCUACAGAUAGAGUCAGGAGGUUGACAAGUGUCUUAUAAGGGUGUAGUAACAUAUUUAAAUAAUAUAGACAUAUGCCAAUUUUUUAAGCCUACUUGUGGAAUAAAAAAAGUACAUUGCCAUUGUACCAAAUACUCACUCUAUUUAUAUUUAUAUUUUUUAUUAUUUAUUUUUUAAUAUUAAUUCAUAUUUUAAAUAUUAUGUGAUAACAAAAUUAAAAUUUAUUAACAUUAAGAAGAAGGAUCCACUUAUAUAUGUAAAAGCUAAAGGAAUUUUACACACUUCCGUAACUAUUUAUAUAAUUAAUAUUUUAACAAUCCAACUGUUAUAUUUUAUGGUCUAUUCAUAUAGAUUAUACAUGUCAAAUUUGAUGUAAAUUUAAAAUUUCUAACUAUUUUAUUUUUGUAAAAAAAAUUUCAAUCGUUGAUUAUAUAUUAGUGUAUAGAGUAUUUUAGAUCGAUACGAUAGAGAUAUUGAAUCCGUUCAAAAAUUUACAUGCAUUACAAGUACAAUUAUAUAUAUUGAUAAAUUAAACUGUUAAAUCGUUAAAAUAUUAAUCAUAUAAAUAAUUACGGAAGUCUGUAAAACUAUUUUAGUUUUUACAUUAUAUAAGUGACAAUAUCAAUAAUAUCUUUUUGUUAUACUAAAAAUUUCUAACAAUAAUUUUACAAUAUAAGAAAAUUUUUUUUGUUUAUUAAUGUUCUUUUUUUUUUAAUUUCGCUGCACAUUUUUUAAAUUAGUUAAUUUUUUAAAUAUUGAAAUUUUAAAUUUCAAAAUAGUAUAAUAAUAAUUAUGUUAUAAAAGCAAUUUCUAAAUAAUAUAUAAAUAAACACUUUUAAAUAUAUAAAAAUAUGUAUUUAAAUUUUUUUUAAUGAUUUUUCAUAUAAUUUUAGUGGACCAUCAAACCAGCUUUCCAGCCAUAUAUAGUUUUGAAAGGAAAUAAAGCAUCGAAUAAAAAAAAAGGUGGUCGACUACAAGAUAAAUCACCCAACCUCUGAAUAAGCAUGAAGCAACAAGUUGUUGAUACAUCCCAAACACAAGUGCUUAUGCACCUUUCCUAAUACUCACCCCUUUUUUUCUACGAAUUUUAAACAGCUUUUUAGAGAUUUAAAGCAUAAAAGAAGUCUAUUCUCAUGGUUAAACCUGCCUGCCUAAGCUUAUUUCAAAAGAGUAAGAGCAAAGCAGGGAAAAGAAAAGCAGAUGGCCUACCUUUUGGCUAUGAUCAAUAACCGAUAGUUUUCCCCCUUCCGUUUUUUUCUUCUUAACAGAGCAAAGCCAGAAAGUAAUAAAUCGAGAAAGACGACUUCUUACUUGCUUUAAAAGUAGAAAUGACAACCCAAGAUGUCUUAUACCAACGUAUAAAUGAAUUAUUAGGUAUCCAUGUAUUACAUAAACAAGGUUUCUCUUUUUCUCCUCUUAAAGGUGGAGUGAAUGAGUUAUCCAAUUGUAUGAGUGUUUUCAUAUAAGGUCAUUUUCCUAAUUAAUUUCCUUUUUGCUUUCUCUUUCUUCAACCACCUAUUCCUCCUAUUAAUAUAUGUUUUUGGAUGACUUAUUUAAUGGAGUGGUUAGAAUCAAACAAAGCACAUCACAAUCAAAGUAGAAAAAGACAAGAAAUAAGGAAGAAUGUUUCCAAGGUUUAGAUAUCAUCUUUGACAGACAAUGCUAUGCUAUUGAUUAAUUUAUGUAUCAAUUGCAUUUCAUGGAAACAACUCAGAAAUGACAUGCCAACAGUCCCAAAAUGUCUUAUACUAAAAUAUAUUUUAUUUAUUUUUGACAAAAUGGUAGCUAACAAAAACACGCUUUUGACUUUGACUAAUGAACUUAUCACCUUUAGAAUGUUGAUUAUGAACAACACAUAAGCAACCAAACACACAAAGAUCAUCAAUUAAAGGAAGUCUACCAAACAACAAUUUUUUUUUUCUUAAACACCAAGCUUAGAUACCAUGAUAAGAAUAGGGUAAUAAUUCCUUUCAAUCUUAUUGAUAAGCUUCAAGAAUAUACAUAAUAUUUAUACAACAGUAGUCAUGUAGGAAUAGAAAAGAUAUAUAAUAUAUUCCUAAAUAUAUGCUUAAAAGAUAUAUAAUAAUAUACAAUACAUUUAGAUAUUCCUAAAAGAUAAUUUCUCAUAAUAAUAUUCCAACAGUGUACCAAAUACUAGCUAUAUUUUAAAUUAUAUUUGUUUGUUACAAGUAUCAAACUAUUACAGCACGAAUUAUAUAAGGAAUUACAAAAUAGAAUCAAAUCAUUAGAGCACAACGAGAAUAAAAGUCGGUACAAUCAAGACUAAAGCCAACAACUUAAAUUAACUGGAUUAAAACUCACAUAUGACCAUCGCAUAUUAUGAGAAUAUGGACUAAGCAAAGUUAAUAAUAUCAAUAUCAACUACACUAAAACUCGAUUAGCAUCUAUUUAAUAUUUUUAAUUAUCUUCAUUUUGACUAAACGUACAAAAAAAUGCUAGUGGGGCAUAAGAUUUUUUUCCUUUGUUUGUUGCUAUCUACUAUUUGUUUUUGUUUUCUUUUUUUCUAAUCAACAUUGAUUUCAUUCAUAAAAGAAAGAAGUACAAAGGUGCAAUAAACUACAGCAAAGCCACAUAGAGGGCAGGCCUGUUAAUGCAACCUACUAUUGAACAUACAAAGUAUUUAGCUAAUUUCAUUAUUCAUUUCUACUAUUUGGUCAUAUAAUUUUUUCCUUGUCAUUUACAUACCACAUAUCCAUCAUUAACAUUCUCUUCCAUAAUUCAUGUAUUUCACUUUUCAAUUUUACAGCUCAUUAAACUAAAUUAAUUAUUUUUGUCUUUCAUAUAAUCAUACACUUUCUUACAUUUUCACUUAAUUUAUGGCUUAUCAUACCAUAAAACUUUUCAUUUACAUAUCACAUGUUACUCAUAUAUUUUACAAAUCAUAAUCAUAAUUAGAAUAUCAAUAACAGAACUCCUAGAGUCCUAGGCCAAAAUAGAACUCUCGACCUUUUAACGAAACCCUGAUAAUAGAACUUCGAUAUCCUACCUGUAAACAAUAUUUCGAAGAACAAAAACAUCAACAUAUCAUAAACUGAACUCUUGUAUCGAUUGUAACCCCUAUUUCACCAAUCCUAAGAGUAAUUUUUUUUAUAUCUCAAACUCAUAUGAGAAAUUGGAAAUUGGAAAUUUCAGACAAAUUUUACAAAGUACACAAAGAAUAAAAAUUCAUAAUAAAAUUCAUAAAUUUAAAAAUUAAAAUUAAAUCAAAUAAGUCACUAACUUUCGUAUCUUGCUAUGUCUUCUUUUAAGGAAAUUUUAAUAUUCAAUAUCAAAUUUCUCAAUUUGCAAUCCAUUCAUUUUACUAACUAUUUUUUAUUUUUGAAUCUUAAUUAAAAAGGAGAGUAUUUGGUACACGGAUAAUAUAUUAUUUUUAUUCCACAAGCAACUUUAAAAAAUUUAUAUAUAUAUUUAUUUUUAAAUAUUUAUUUUUUAAUAUUUUAUUAUACUCCUGUAAGACACUUGUUAACCCAUUGAUUUUGUUGGAGUUUAAAAACUCCACUAACAAUGUACCAAAUAAUUUUCUAAUAAUAUUCAAAAAUCAAAAUUUUGAAAAAAAAAUCAUAAAAAUUAAAAAUAUAUAUGAAAUAUGCGUGAAUUAUUAUAUGUAUUUCAAAAUUUAACGUUUCCGUUAAAUAAUAAUUUAACUCUUUUUAAAAAGUUGAUGAUUAAAUUCAACUCUUUUUAAAGGGUUUAAAGCCAAAUUGUGUGACAUUGUAAAUUUUCUUUGGUGGCAUAGGGGUAUGGAAGGAAAAAUAAUAAUUGUGUGACAUUGUAAAUUUUCUUUCACUUCACAUGGAGGUUACCAAAAUGUUAAUCCAAACUGCAGAGCUAUGCCAUUUUGUACGUAAAAGACUUGCUAGCUUUGAAUGGGUAAAAAUAAUGUGAGAGUAACUUUAAAUAAUUAUAUAAAACAUACUAUUUUUUUUAUUUUAAAGAUUUUUCUUUUUUGAGAUUUUCUUACCUAUGAAAUUAAAAAAAAUAAAAAAUAUCUUUUUGAUAUUGAACAAAUUGGUCACUCUAAAAGAAAUAGAGUAGUUUAAUCCUUAUUAAUUUUGAAAGUAACCACGAACAAUUAAUCAAGCGCUAAUAGUUUAUGUUAAUUAUACAUAUUUUUUAUUAGUAUAAAAAUAAAUUUAAUCCUUGAUGAUUAUAUAUUUUACGUAAAUGUUGAUAGAAUCACUACACCAGAAUAGGCCUUUAGCGGCACUUUUAGCGGCGUUUGGAACAAAAGCGCCACAAAAAAUCGAGCAUUAGCGGCGAUUUAGUCAAAGCGCCGCUAAAGGUAGACCAUCAGCAGCGAUUUCCAAGAAGCGCCGCCAAAAAUAGGAAUUAGCGGCGUUUUAUAUAAAGCGCCACAAAAAACCUAAGACCAACGACGUCGUUUUUGCGAUUUUUAAACCUUUAGUGGCGUUUUUAUUUUAGCGCCGCUAAUUCUCCGAUCUUUAACGGCGUUUUUAUCUGAGCGCCACUAAUGUUCUGGCCUUUAGCGGCGUUUUUGUCUAAGCGCCGCUAAUGCUCGUAUCAUUAGUGGCGUUAUUGUCUGAGCGCCACUAAUUCUCUGUUCUUUAGCGGCGUUUUUUCUAAGCGCCGCUAAAGUUCGUGUUUUUAGUGGCGUUUUUAUUUGAGCGCCACUAAUACUCUAGCCUUUAGCGGCGUUUUAUAUGUAAGCGCCGCUAAUGCUACCUUUAGCGGCGUUUUUGCUGAAGCGCCGCUAAUAGUAACAAAAAUCUUAUAAGUUGAAAUAAUUAAUAUUUUGUUCUAUUUAUUAUAUAGUCAUGGUACAAUUUACAUAUAAAUUAUAAUUAACAAAUAAUAUUGAUUAAUACAAAAAGUUUUUAUUAAAUAGAAGUCGUAUAUAUAUAUAUAACAGCUAACUAUUUAUUACUAAUUUUCAAUCACAGUUGAUUUAAACUACUUUACGAGAGAAAAUAUAUUAAAUUAUGAAUAAAAUAAAAUAUAAUAAAACUUAAAUUUUUUUAUUGCAAAGAAUAAAUUAAAAAUAGAAUUAACUUUUAUAAGAGUAAUAAAUUUUGGUAGUACUGUUCGACCAAAUAAAUGAAAGGAAUUAUAAAACACCAAUUUAUACAAAAUAUAUUUUAACAAUUAAUUAUUGUUUAAUCGAUUUUGACUAUAUUUUAUGAUUAUAUAUAUUAAAUAUUUAUGGAAUUUUUUUUAUUGACGGUAUUUUAAGGAGGACUGGGUAUAGAUUUAAGGUUUGGGAUUUAAGGUUAAUUUAGGGUUGGAGGUUUAGGGGGUUUGAGAUUUAGGGUUUCAACGGUCAUGUUAGGUUUAAUUUAGAUUAGUAUUAGUUUUUGAUUAUUUUUUAUGGUAAAUAUAUAUGUUCUUAUAUAUUUGUAAAAUAUAGAUCUAGAAUAAAUUUAAUAUAUUGAAUAUUAAUAUAAUAGGUAGAUCAUCAUGAUGGAUUUAUGCAUGUCUAUUGAUUGGUUAAUUUGAGACUUGUUAAAUGAUACAAUUAAUUAUCUUGUAUAUUUAAAAACAUUUAACCCUAACCAUUUGAUUUUUUUGAUAUAUAUGGCUAUAGCAAUAGCAGAUGCAAAAAUAUCGAUACUUAAGUUCAAAAAUGGUAAAACUUAUAUUUAGAUCGAUCCAAACGAAAAUUAUUGUCAUAAAGAUAAUUUGCUACCAUAUUUCAAUGGUCAGGGGGUUUAGACGGUCAUGAUAGGGUUUCUUAAUAAGAGGUUAAUAUUAGAUUGAUUAAUUUUUACGGUAAAUAUAUAUAUGUUCUUAUAUAUUUGUAAAAUAAAUCCAGUUAGAUGAAAUUUAAUAUAUUGAAGUUUAGUAUAUAGUUUAUAUUAUAAUUAAUAUAUAUAUAUAAUAGCCUUUAGCGGCGUUUUAGUCAAAAAUGCCACAAAUAUUACAAUAUACGGCGUCGUUUCGUGAAUUAGGGAAUCAGAUUCUAUUGUGGCGUUUUAUAGGGAAGCACCGCUAAUAUUCUUGAAACUGUGUCAGAACAGCGUCGUUUCAGUUGAAUGAUGUACUCUAUUAGUGGCGUUUUAAGGGAAAACGCCGCAAAUAUGUCUACAAUUUUGUGAAAACGUCACCGUUUCUUUCUGUAAUUGAAAAUUUAGUGGCGUUUUUUCCCGUAGCACCGCAAAAGGCAUGCAAUAGCGGCGUUUUUACGCAAAACGCCGCAAAUGUAACCUAUAAUUAAUUUAAACGGCGCUGUUUCUUUAAAGGCCAUUUAACCCGUGUCCUCAUCCUUUACGAACUUAUUAUCGAAAAAAAUGCAUUUUCUAUACCAAAUUUUAUAAUAAAAAAUUGUUUUUUAUACAAAGAGACAAAACUUGUUGUACCAAGUUUAUUAUAACAAAUUUCAUCCAUUUGUUAAGAGGACAUUCGAAGCUUCAUACGAAAAUUUGUCAUAAAGAUAAUAUUGCAUCCUUAUUUCAACUUUAUACAAUAUUUUUAACUAUAUAUAUAAGUUAUUAUAUUUUAAUAGAUUUUCACUAUAUUUUUUUUAUUAAAGAAUAUUUAGGGAAUAUUUUGGUCGAUGCAUGGUAUUCUAAGGAGUACGGGCCGGUAUAUAUGAAUUUAAGGUUUGGUAUUUAUGGUUUAGGGUUUAAGGGCUAGGUUAUGCUUUAGGGGUUACAGACGUGAAUUUAAGGGUUAAGGAUAAGGUUAAUUAGGGUUUAGGGUUUAGUGAGGGUUACAGAUGUUUUAGGGGUUUGGCCAGGGUUUAGGGUUUCUUAAUAGGUUAAUAUUAGAUUGAUUAAUUUUGGAGGUAAAUAUAUAUGUUCUUAUAUAUUUGUAAAAUAUAUAUCCAGAAUAAAUUUAAUAUUAAGAUAAGUUUUGAGUAUAAUAGGUAGGUGAUCACUUUAUGCAUGUACGUAGCUACAUAAAUUGAAUGGUUAAUAUGAAGAUAACAAGGUUAAUUUAUAAUUUGAGACUUGUUAAAUGAUACAAUAUAACUAAUAAUAGUUAUAACUGGCAAAACAUUUAACCCAAAUUAAUGUCCAUUUGAUAUAUUUUUACUUAUAUAUGGAUAUAUAUGAAUAUAUAUGGAUAUAUAUAUAUAGUUAUUAAUUAUUUAAUUUGUAAAUAUAGGACCAAAAUAAAAUUGGUAUAAAUAAAUAAACAAAUAAAUAAGUUAGUAAUUAUUUAUUUGUUAAAUAAAUUGGUAAUUAAUUAUUUAAAAGUAAGACAAAAAGAAAAUGAGAGUUUUAGCGGCGUUUCUAUAUAAAAACGCCGCAAAAGGUAUCCUUUACCGGCGUUUUAGUCAAAAACGCCACAAUUAUUGCAAUAUACGGCGUCGUUUCGUGAAUUAGGGAAUCAGAUUCUAUUGUGGCGUUUUAUAGGGAAGCGCUGCAAAACUUACAUAACUUAACUUAAACGGCGCCGUUUCGUCAGCGGACAAAUUCACUUACAUCAACCCUUAACAAAAUUCACUUACAUCUCUGCCUCUGUCCUCCAGUUACAGCUACCCUUAACAAAAUUGCAGAGAUUAGGUUUCGAAAUUUUCUAAGUGUCGAAAUUACAGAAAGAAGUGUGUAAAAACUUAUCACGAAAAAUAGAAAGGGAAGAAAGGUGGUCGGAGUCGAUCUUGAAAGAUGGUGGGCACAGCUGCGAGAUUUGUCGAUUGAAUAGGUAAGCCAUUUCUGUUCUUUUUCGAUUAAAUUUUUGGGGUUUUAGGUUAGUCUAAGUUAUUUGGGGUUUUAGGGUUUCGAUUAAACAACAUAAUUUGUGGGGAAUCAUUAGAUGAUGGGGAAUAGGUAAGACGUCUCUCGUCUUGGAACUGUGUUUGAAUUUAAGGGGAAUUUUACUCAUGUCUUUGCCAUCCAUUCUUUUUCUUUUACAGAAGAAAAAAGUGGAAUUUGUUUGAACUGGAACAAGGCAAGAACAAGAACAAGGCAAGGCAAAGGUAAGGCAAUGGUGUCUGUACAAGCCCAAUUUUCAUGCCCGGGCCCAAUUAACCUCUAGCCCAAGCAAAAACAAAACACAAAACCUGUUAACAAUUGAACCAAAACCAAUUAACUUACCCAACUAGCCUAACCCGGAACCCAAUUACAAACAGACCCAAUUACCAUUAACCUAACCUACCCAAUCCAUUACAGAACAGGCCCAAACCCGAGGCCCAAUGUCUUAGCCCAGUAAGCUAACUGCCAAAACUAGGGUUUCAGAAAAUCUGAAACCCUAGCGCCGCACCUGCUCCUGGCCUCCUCACCUGCCCUCUGUUCACAGCCGUCACCACGCCCACUUGCCCCAGACCUACCGCCACUCCUCUGGUAGCCACCAACUCCACCGCCAUCGUCACAUCACCUGCAAAGAAGAUGGCAAACACGCAAGCAGAAACGAAGACAAACUCUAUUUCUUUCUUUCGGCUAUAAAAGGCCAGACCUAUUAUGUUUAAGGGGCUUGAAUCUUUCUUUGUAAAAAAAAACGCAUAUCAGAAUCAGAAAUCAAGGGAAAUAAAAGAGGUUCUUGUUUCUUAUUCUUUUUUUCGAUUCUAUUUUUUAUUUUAUUUUAUCGUUUUACAAAUCUUUUUAAAAAAAAAACUAUUAAUCAAAAAGAAUAAAGAGGGGCUUACCGAAUGCCUCGUGACCGCAUCGUCGGAGGGCCGUUCUCCGUCAUCAGGACCGAUUUCGGGAAGGGAUUGUGAGCCCCAGUCCCGGCGCUCGUGGGGGUUCAAGGACCCGACUCUCAAGUCGCCUGGAGGCAGGGCUUUUAAAAACCCUUUUGUUGUGCUUCUUUGGCCGCCGAUUUCGUGGCGGUACGGCGGACGGACGGUCAGCGGUGAGAGCCCAACCGUUGGAAGGCAUAGGGAAGCUUUGAGAGCUUUCUGCAGUUUUUUUUGUGUGGGAUGGGGAAAAAAUGAAAAAAAUAAAAGAAAUGGGUGCUUUUAUAGCAGUAAUAAAACGGCGCCGUUUUGGCCCUUAGGAUCCGCACGCGACCCGACCCAUUCCAGGGGAUCCGUGUGUUUCCGUUCAAUGGGCUAUUUGCAACCCAGGUCCUCCGCUUUUAUGCUUGUCUUCAAUUUAAUCCUUUCACCCUUUCGUUGGCAUUUAUUAAUUUGGCCCCGCAGUUUUUGCGUUUAUUUCAAUUCGGUCCUGAAUGAAAUGACGGGCUAGAAGUUGGGGAUAUUCUCCCAAUCGGUCCCUUGCUCUUGCAGCGCAUUUUAUUGUGGUCCAUGGGAGCCCUUUUCUAUUUAUUUGCACUUUAGACCCCAUGUUUUGUUUCUAAAUUCAGUUUAGUCGAUUUGUUUAUUUAUUUUAGUUAUUUUAUUAAUAAUGUUAAUAAAUUUGAUACUAUCAUGGUUAUUAUUAUGUGUAUUACUGUUGUUAUAUGUUAUUUAUAUUAACUUAUUUUAAUAUCAAAGAUAUUUGUUUUUAUAUUGAUAUUACUAUAUUUAUAUUAUAUUGAUAUUAUUUAUAUCUUUCUUAUUUUUCAAACUUUGUUACAUGUAUAUAAUGAAUAUAUCUAUAUACAUAGAUUUUUUUUUACUCGUGUAUAUACAUACAUACAUAUUUAUCUUUGGUUUUAUAUUUCUAAAAUACAUAUGUACAUAUUUACACUGUUUUAUUAUAUAUAUACUUUUAUAUUUUAUAAUUUUAAUCUUUUUGUUAUUUACUUAUUUAUUUAAGUUCUCAUGAUUAUUUUAAGAGAAUGUUUUAUUUUUAUUUGCUUAUACAUUUGUUAUUUUGUGAGUUGUUGGUUUGUUCUUUUAUUUAUUUUAUUUUGAUUGCUAUUGCUCGUAUUUUUUAUACUUUUUAUACUUUCAUAUUCAUUAUGGUUUUACCAUGCAUAAAAAAUGUAAUUUGCUUUCGUAUUUUUUGUUACGGUUUUCGUGUUUUUUUAUUAUACUCGAUUUAACAAAAUUGGUUUUGAAUAAAUAAUAUUUCGUGUUUAGAUUCGAGAAGGUCGUACCCUAACUUACUGGGUUUCGAUUUUCACGAUAAAUCUAAAUGUAUGAAUCUUUUUGAACUCAAAUUUUAAAUGAUCUCGAAAUUUAAGAAAAGGGGUCGCGUCCUAACUUACUGGUUAUGAUCUCAUUUUUAAAUUCGAGAUGGCCAAAAUUUCUUAAAUAAACUUUCUCAUCCGCGUAUCGAAAAUUCGAGACAUUGUGUCCUAACUCACUGGAUAUGAUUCUCCUUCUCGAAUAACGUGAAAUAUGCCCCUUUUUCCUGAAAAUUUUCAACGUUUUAAUACAAGGAUCGUAUUUUUAAAAUUCUUCAAGGUUCUCAAUUUUUGACAUUAAGACAUUAAGUAAUCAACUAGGUACCAAUUUUGGGCGUAUCGAGGGUGCUAAUCCUUCCUCGUGCGUAACCGACUCCCGAACUCGUUUUUUUCUGAAUUUCGUGGACCAAACUUGUUGUUUUAAUAAAAUCAAACCGUUUAUUAAAAACAACCAUUUUUCGAGGUAAUCCAAUCACACCUCAUAAAAAAGGAUUGGUGGCGACUCCCAUUCCCGUUUCUUUUUUCAAAACCCAAGUCGACCCCAUUUUCAUCCAAAAAAAAUGGUAUCAACAGUGUCGAUGGCUUGAAUUGAAUCUGUCCAUGUUGUAUUGAAAACAUUGUCGAAGACAUGAAUGAGACAUGCAUUCUUAAUAGCUAGAGAAAUGAGUAUAAAAGUGAAGGAGAAUAAUAGAGUGAUUAACAAGUUUUAGACUUUGAUUUACAAGGAUCUUCACAAUUCUUUCUGCCAAAACUCAAUUUGUGUUUUUGGUUUAUAAAAGGCUACAAACUGCCAAAUUAAUUAUUUCUCAUCACCCAAUUGCCUCCGUUUUCUUUUCCAGAUAUAAUUAGAAUGGUUUUAACCCACUAAUGAUUUCAGGUGAAGAAUAUGAUGGUUAGAUUUUGGUGUGAAUUUGACGUGUUUUAUUUCUUUGGUGUGAAUUUGACGUGUUUUAACCCACUAAUGAUUUCUCAUCACCCAAUUGCCAAAUAAUUUGCUGUUUGCUGUGACUUAUUUCUUUUUAAAGAUGGGGUGAUGUGAUUAUAAUGUAGUAUCAAUGUAGGAAUCAUUACUGAAGUUUUGGGAAAUUAUUAGACAAGUAGGUAGACUAUUGCUGUUAGUUUAAUUGAUUUAAUGGAUUGUUUUUCUGUCAUGUUAUUUUGGGAACAUAUAUAUAUGUUCAAUUUUGGGAACAUGUUAGUUUGGGUACAGUUAUAUAUGUUCAAUUUUAAACCUCUAAUAUCAUCUAAUUCACUGUCAUGUUUCAACAUAUAUUCAUAUAUAUUUUCAUAUAUAUGUUCAAUUUUAGUUUUUUUAGUUUAGCUAACUUUGUGAGUAUAAACUCCUGUUUUUUUAAGUUUUUUGGCUUUAAUUACUUAUGUUUUUUCGGUACGUACUAAUGUAUUUCUGUCUUUUUUUUCCAGGAUUUGCUUCGGAAUUGAGUGGAUUUAAGGUAUUUAUUCCUAUUUUUCUCUAUUUAGGUUUCUUAUAAAAAAAGUCAAAUUGUUAAAUUUUUAUAUGUUAUUAUAUUUUAGUUGUAUAGUUUAAUUAUUAUUUUUCAUUUUUAGAUGGGAGUUUUAAUUACCAUUUUAGCUAAAUUUGCAUUUUACUUUGCAUCUUAUUACAUUUUUUGAUGUCUAAAUUUUCUGCUCAAGAUAUUCGGCAAAGAUCACAUUGUUUUAAACUAUUAAAAUUCGGAAUACAACUCUUAAACAAAUUUAUAUAUUUCAGUAAUUGAAUAAAUUAUGGGCGAAUCGUUUUAUCGGUUUAGCGUUUAUAAAUCAUCGAUUUCCGAUAUUAUGUGUUGCAAUUAUAAAUUUUACUUCAAAUUAAUGAUUAAUUAUCGAUCUUAACUUACAUAAUGGGAAUUCGUUAAUGAUUAAGAAUCUUUUACAUACAAAUAAAUUUGUAUAUUUAUUUAUAUUUUUUAUUAAAAUAAAAAUAUACUUUUUCGAAAUAUAUUUAUUUUGUAAUGGAAAUUCAAAGUAUUAUUUCUUUAAUAAUAAAAAUUGUUUUCAUAAAUAUAAACAAAUUAAUUAUUUCUUGUAAUUCGAAGUCAAUGUUCUUGUAUGAUUGAACUAACAUCAUUUGUUGUUUGAAUUAAUAAAAGCUACAAAAUAUACAUCAUAUCGUAACGAUCUUUGAAUUAUCCGGAGAUUAAAGCUACAAUAUUAUAUUUUAAAUGAAAUGUAUUCAAAGUUAUAUUGAUAUAUUUAUAUACAGUUUUAAUAUAUUAAUUAAAAUUAUAUUGAUAUAUUUGAAAAAUUUAAAGCGUUUAUAAAUCAUAAUUUACAUACAUAACACAUAGCCUACAUGACUUAUAUAAUACACAACUUAAAUAAUUUAAAUAACUUACAUUCAUAACUUACUCAAACUUAUAUUGCAUUUCCUUACAUAAUACAUAACUUAUAUAAAAUUUUUAUAUAAACUUACAUAAUACAUUACUUACAUAUUAACUUACAUAAGUUAUCUACAAGCUUAUAUUUAAACUUUCAUAACUUACAUAAUAGCAUAACAACUUACAUUAUACAUAGCAUACAUAACUUACAUAACUUAAAUAUCUUACACACUACAUAAUACAUAACUUACAUAAUACAUAAUAACUUACAACAUACAUAACAUACAUUAGUUUGAUAACUUACGUAAGUUACAUAACUUACAUAAUACAUAAAAAUAUAUCAUAUCAGAAAUUUUUGAAAUUCAUCUAUGGUUAUAACUGGCGUUUUAACUUACCCGUGCAAAUUAUUGUGAACGUCAGAAUUCAAUAAUUAAGAAAUGGACCGGUCUUGGAUGAAUUUGUCAAGGGUUAGCAAUGGUUAUCGAAAUGGAGUACAGUGUUUUCUAAAUUUUGCAUUUCAACAUGCAAGCCAAGAGAACAUGAUUCUUUGCCCGUGUAAGAAGUGUGUCAACAAAAACUGGCAUUAUCGUGAGGUUGUAUAUGAGCAUCUAAUUGUUGAUGGGUUUGUUCGGGGUUAUAAACAAUGGUUAUUUCAUGGAGAAUGCCCGCGUAGUACUUCCUCUUCAACGAUGGAUGUAUCUUACUCUGGUACUGCUUACCAUCAGUCUGAUAGAGGGGAUGACAUGGAAGGUAUGUUGCGGGAUGCAUUUAAUAUGCAUAAUCAUGGUGUCCAGUCGUUCCCAGCGGACUUUGUGGCUUCUGAUGAAUGUAAUAUUGGGAGAAAUGCUUUUACCGAACCGGGAAGUAGUGUACCUCAUGAAGAGCCGAAUGAAGAAGCGGCGAAGUUCUAUACGCUACUUAAUGACAUGAACGAAGCACUGUAUGAGGGAUCAAAAUUUUCAAAAAUGUCUUUCUGUGUUCGUCUUUUUCAAUUAAAAUGUUUGGGAGGGUGGACCGGGAACUCUUUGACAAUGCUGUUAGAGUUCUUGAGAGAGAUGUUUCCCUUUGCAAAAAUCCCUCAGUCAUGCAAAGAUAUGAAGAAAAUGAUAAAAGAUUUAGGCCUUGGGUACAACAAAAUCCAUAGUUGCCCAAAUGACUGCAUGUUGUAUUGGGGCGAUCGGAGAAAUCAACAGUGCUGUCAUGUAUGCGGCCACUCCCAUUGGGUAAGUAAAAAUACAGAAGGUGGGAACGACGAUGAAAAUGUAACAGCCCGAUUUUGACUCUAAUUGGACAUAGUGGUUUCGGGACCACAAGUCCGAGUUAAAAAAAUAUUUUAAUAUUAUUUCAUGUGUUUAUUAUAUGUUAAUUUACAUGUGUGAAAAUCUCGUGAAUUAAUUUUAUUGUUUGUGUGCUUAAUUUAAUAAAAGGACUUAAUCGCAUAAAAUGUGAAAUUGACUAAUUAAUGUGUAAAGUGCUAACUUGCUAAUGUCUUUAUAAUGUGAAGUCCUUAAUAGGAAAUUAGGCCAUUAUUCAAGAUAGUGGAUCGCAUUAUGCUUAUAAAUUAUAGUUUUUAUAUUAUGUAUAAAGGUUAUAAUAAUAUAUUAUAUUAUAAUGUUAAUAUAUUAAAAGACAAACAAAUUAAAAGCCACAUUUUUCAUCUUAUUUUGACCGAAACUAGAGAAAAGAAAAAGAAAGAAACCUAAGCUAGGUUCGGCCAUCUUUUGAAGCUUAAUUCAAGGUUAGUUUUUGUUCGGUUUUUGAUGAUUUUUACGUUUUUGAGAUCGUUGCUUUGAAUACUUCAAAACCCAUGUCUUAAUUUUGUGAAUUGAUGAAUAUUUUGAAUUAUGCCAUUGAUGAAUAUUUGUGUUUUGGGAUGUUUGAUGAUGAAUAAUGGAAGAUAUGUCUUAGAUUAACAUGUUUUGUAUUGGUAUUUUUGAUGAAUUUGAGUAUUUAGGGCUAAAUUGUGAAAAUAAAUUUUUGAGGGACUAAAAUGUGAAAUAAAUGCAAUGUGUGGACUUGUAUGAGAACCAUGAAUAUUCGGCCCUUGUGUGUUAUGGGCAAAUUUUGUGUAUUUUGUGUUUUGUGCAAAAAGGACUAAAUUGCAAAAAGUGCAAAAUGUUAGGGGAAAAAUGGUAAUUUUCCCAUUUAUGUAUUGUUGGACUCAAAUGAAUGUUUUGAUGAAUAAAAAGGUUAAAUUUGACUAUGUUUAGAUCAAGGAACGAAGAAAACGAAUUUGGAUCGGGGGAAGUCGAAGAUAAUUGAAUAGUCGAUCGUGUUUGCUGAUAUCCGAGGUAAGUCUAUUAGCUAUUUAAUGUCAUAAAAUCAGUAUAUAAAUAAGUAUAUGAGCUGUUUUUGGAUGAAUUAUAAUUAAAAAUAUGAUAGUUGAAAUAAUUAAAAGUAUGAGUGAAUUAUAUAUAUUAUGCAAAUCUACAUCUAUAUGUUCUCGUAUUGAACUUAGGUAUGCCAUUUAUACAAGUUUAUAAGGGGUUCGACUAUGCAACUAUGCAUGUAUAUGUUCUUGUGAUAAAUUUAAGUAUGAAACUUAUAUAUGAAAAAGGGAGAUUCGAUUAGGUAUGUAUGUUCUUGUAAAGGUUCUUGAACGGGGUUGAAGAGAUGAAAUUAUUAGCUUGGAUUAUCUUAAUGUGUUCGAAAGUACGAUAUUAAUAGUAUGCUUCAAUGUGUUAAGUUAUAUAUAUAUAUAUAUAUUCGGAUGUAUAAUUUAGAUAUUGAGUUGAAUUUGAUGAUUGAACUUUUUAUACCGAUGUGGGUUAAGGAUAUAGUUUAUAAAUGAUUGAGCUGAAUUUUUAUGUGAAUUCUAUAUACCAUUAUGAUAUACAACUCCUAUGAAUUGAGAUUCUUUUGUUAAAGCUCAGUAUCAUUCGGUUUAUCGUUAGUGACAUAAUUCAGACUUUACGUCUAGCAGGCUUAACGUCGGUGAAAUUAUUCAGACUAUAAGUCUAGCAGGCUUAAUGCCGGUGACACAUUUCAGGCUAUAAGUCUAGCAGGCUUAAUGCCGGUGACACAUUUCAGACUAUAAGUCUAGCAGGCUUAAUGCCGGUGACACAUUUCGGACUAUAAGUCUAGCAGGCUAAGAGCCGGUGUAUUGAAUCAGGUUUUAAAACCUAGCAGGCUAAAUGCCGGUGAAUCCGUUUAAAGCAUGUGAUAAUAUACAAUUGAUACCUCUAUGAUUUUGAUUAUAUGAAAUCGAUGUAUACAUAAAUGUUCAAUCACAUGAUUUUAGUCAUAUUAACUUGAUGAGCAUAUAUAUAUAUACAUAUAUUUGGUCUAAGCAAUUGAUAGAUAUGUAUAUAUAUAUAUGUUGCAUUCGGCAUAGGUGAAUAUAUUUAUGUGUAUGCAUUCGGCAUAGGUGAAAAUAAGUGUAUGUAUCUAUGCAUUCGGCAUAGAUGGGUAUAGGUGCAUAUGUGCAUUCGGCAUUUAUGGAUGAUAAGCAUAAAAAUUUGGCUUUUGAUAUAUGUAGUUGAAUAGUUGUAUUUAAAUGGAUUCGAUGAAGUGCGAACAAUAAGUACUCUAGAAAUCAGUAUAUGCUGUUAAGGAUUAUGCUAGUAACUUGAUUAUAUGCAUAUAAUGUAUAUACAUUUGUCCGUUUAUGUGUAUUAGAUAAAUAUACAUCCUUUUAGACUUAAACAAAAUGACUCAAUAAAGUAGUGUUUGAUUAGUAAUCAUAUUUGAUGAUUGUAAUUUCAAUAAAUUUACUUAAAGAAUUAUAUGAUUCUUUUAUAUGUAUUAUAGAUAUGCUGUAGACUUACUAAGCUAUAAAAGCUUACUUUGUUUGCUUUCGUUCAUUCGUUUUUAUAGAUUUUUUUUUUGGAGACGCGUUACGAGCUCGGGGAUCAUCAGCACCGCCCAUCACACUAUCGACUUUUUUUUUGGUAUUUUGUUAAAUAUUUGAACUCGAUCUUAUGGCAUGUAUAGGCUUGAUAAUGUUUUGGAUAAUUUUGAAUCCUAUUGUGUAAAUAGCAAUGCGAAAAGAGUUUAACUUCCAUGCUUGAAUUUGAUUAUAUAUGUUCAUGAAUUGGACUUGCAUUUGGAAUUAGAUAUUAAAGUUAUGUUUAUGUGAGCUUGGUUUCGUAAUGCCUCGUAACCCUGAUUCGGCGACGGAGACGGGUUAGGGGUGUUACAUAAAAUGUUGCACAACCAAGUCAGAAGCCGGUCAAGAUUUUACGAUAUUUUUCGUUGAUACCAAGGCUUCAAAAGCUUUUCAUGUCGUCGAAGACAGCGGAGUCUAUGACGUGGCACCAUGACGGACGAACCGAUGAUGGGAAGAUGAGGCAUCCUGCAGAUUCUUUAGCUUGGAAAUCAUUUGAUAAUAAAUAUCCAAGCUCUGCAAGCGAUCCUAGGAGUGUGAGGCUUGGGCUAGCAUCUGAUGGAUUUAAUCCUUUCAAGAUCAUGAGUACUGCGUACAGUACUUGGCCAGUAGUUCUUGUUCCUUACAAUCUGCCUCCGUGGAUUUGCAUGAAGAAAUCUUCCCUUAUUUUAUCUAUGAUUAUCCCUGGGGAGAAAGGGCCUGGGAAUGAUAUCGACAUUUAUUUACAGCCACUUAUUGAAGAGUUAAAACAAUUAUGGGCUGGUGUCGAGACAUACGAUGUGCUGAGAAAAGAGAACUUCAAUUUACGUGCAGCUUUGAUGUGGACCAUUAAUGACUUUCCUGCUUAUGUCAAUUUAUCCGGUUGGAGUACCAAGGGUCUUACGCGUGUCCUUGUUGUGCUGCACAAACAUGUUCACAAUGGUUGUACAAUGGGAAGAAGUUCUCUUACAUGGGGCAUUGUCGGUAGUUACCAGAAAAUCAUAGAUUUAGAUUUCAGAGUUCUGCAUUUGACGGCACUGAAGAGUUCAGAGAAGCUCCUUCCCAGACCAGUGGCUCUGAAAUCUUGUUCAUGUUGGAAGAUAUGAAUUUCAUUUAUGGGAAGAUGAACCAACCGCCAAACACACAGAGAAACAGAAGAUCAAAUGAUGAAGCUGAUGAAAGCUCCGACGAAGAGGACGAUCCUAAUGAGGCGGACUUGUGGAAAAAAAGAAGUAUUUUUUUUAGUUGCCUUAUUGGGAGCAUCAUCUUUUACGACACAAUCUUGAUGUUAUGCACAUUGAGAAAAAUGUCUGCGAGAACAUUGUGGGUACAAUUUUAAAAGUCGACGGAAAAUCAAAAGACAAUCUUCAGAGUCGACUUGAUUUAGUCCAAAUGGGAAUUCGGCCUGAUCUUCAUCCCAAUCCACUUCCAAAUGGGAAAUAUCGGUUGCCGCCUUCUAUUUUCUCAAUGUCCAAGAUGGAGAAAGAACUGUUUUGCAUGGUGUUGAAGAAUAUAAAGGUUCCGGAUGCGUAUGCAUCAAAUAUAUCUCGAUGUGUUAGUGUUAAAGAGCGAAGAUUAUAUUCGCUAAAAUCACAUGACUAUCACAUCUUGAUGCAAGAUUUAAUGCCAGUUGCUCUACGAUGUUGUAUGUCCAAGAAGGUGACGUCUUGUAUGAUUGAACUAUCCAACAUAAUGAAAGCCAUCUGUGGCAAAGUUUUGGAUGUUCAAGAACUUCAGAAGGUACAGGAUCGAGCCGCUUUGACUUUAUGCAACAUGGAGAAAAUCUUCCCACCUUCCUUCUUCACCAUUAUGGUUCACUUGAUAAUUCAUCUCCCGCACGAAGCAAUUCUUGGCAGACCUAUUUUCUAUCGAUGGAUGUAUCCCAUAGAAAGGUGUUAAAGAAGUAUUUUUUCAAUUUUUCUUCAUUCACCUCUAUGCCUUUAGUUACAACUUUUGAUAAUGUUGUAUAUUGUGUUUAGGUUCCUAUCCAAAUUAAAAUCUUACUGCCGCAACAAGCGAUAUCCAGAAUGAUCGAUUGCUGAAGGCUACUUGGCAGAGGAAUGUAAGACCUUCUGCUCAAGAUAUUUGGAAGAUGUCGAAACAAGGUUGAACAGACCAAAUAGGAAUGCUGGACUCACGGACUAUAACUUAGCCGAUACUUAUUUGUUCCAAAGUUUUGGAAAACCAAUCGGCAAAGUUGAAAUUGUAGAAUUAGAUCAUUUAUCGUGGGUACAAGUACAUCGAUAUGUUCUGUUUCACCACGAAUCAUUGGAACCUUUACGGAAGUAAGUUAUACAAAUUUUAAAAAUAUUUAUCGAACUAAAAAUUGUUUAUCUUCUAACAAAGAUCACAUUUUAUUUAACAUAGUGAGUACAAACAAAUAUUGAGAUCUCGUUCGCGCUCCCGAAGAACACAACAUCGAGAUAUCAAUAAGUUGUUUAGAGAAUCUUUUUAUGAAUGGUUAUGCCAAACGAUAUGCAGUUCGAGCUUUCGCUUACAAAUUAUAAUGAUUUCUCAUAACAUUUUUAAUUAGUCAGUUUACUUUCCAUUCAAUAGGUUUGGAGUGGGAAGAGCGUAAACGACGAAGUUAAAUGGCUCUCCUAAGGUCCAAAUCAAGUGGUUAAAAGAUAUAGUGUGUUCCUCAUCAACGGAUUCAGAUUUCAUACAAAAUAUCGGGAGAGGUUGAGGAGAACGCAAAAUUAUGGAAUAGUUGUUAAUUCUGCAAUUACAAGUUAUGCUAGCGCUAGGGACAAUAAUCCUGUCGAGGGAAAUGUGGAAUAUUUCGGACAGCUUACUGACAUUAUUGAGUUGGAUUACUACGGCAAAUGGAAAGUUGUCUUAUUUCGAGGUGAUUGGGCCGAUGUUAAUACAGCUCGUGGAAUCAAGCAAGAUCAAUUUGGUUUUAUAAUGGUGAACUUUGACCGAUUGAUUCACACAGGACAACAACUGAUAGAUGAGCCGUAUGUAUUCUCAAGUCAAGUCAAACAAGUUUUUUACUCAAAAGAUCCAACUGAUGAGGGUUGGUACAUUGUACUCCGUAACAUCCCUAGAGACUUGUUUGACAUGGGCAGUGGAAGUAGGGAUAACAUCGACGACAGAUCAGAAACUUUGUCAUUUCCAGAACAAAACUUAAAUGAUAAUAUCCCUAGUACUAGUGCACAAUUUCAAUGGGUUCGUCAGGAUACGGAUGAAGAUAUUUACGAAUAAUGAUGUAGUAAGAUUUUACGAAUGUUUAAUUAUAUGUAAUAUCAUCAUUUAUAUCUUGGUCUCGUUAUAUCAUAUCAACUGUUUUAUAUGUGCUGUUAUUGUUGUAAUUAGUUAUUAAGUUUUCAACUAUUUUAUGUGUAUUGCAGAUAAAAUGCCCAGAAGAAAAAUUCUAAGGGGAAGCAUUGUUCAAAAUGAUCCAAACUCGACAGAAACAAAUAGUACUGAACAACAGACAGCAAUUGGAUCUUCGAAUGUUCCGAUUACAGAUGAGGAUCCUACAGAAGUUCAAAGUAAUUUUACAUUUAAUUUACAAGCGUGUUAACUUAUAGUUGAUUUAUCUUUCAAAUUCUUAUAUUAUAAUAUACCAUUUGUAGCUGAAAAUGGAGGGAUGCGCAGAGGUCGAGGACGUACGCUACUUAAAGAGUUAUACGAGUUAGAUCCAGUCGAGCGUGUCAAGGUAUGCAGAAACAGUUUUGGUCAGCCUGUUGGAUCAGAAGCUUGACUUUUAGUAGGAUACAUGGGCAUUUUAGCACGAAAUGUGAAUAUGUUGCCUAUCAACUACGAGUCAUGGCGUGAAAUGCCCGAUAGCAACAAAAAUCAAGCCCUCGAUAAUAUUAAGGUAACAAAAUGUUAAUGUCAUCUGUAAUGCUUGGGAAAUACUUUCUUUUAUAUUUACUUUAUUAACUUGUGUUUUUUGUAGGCGAGGUUUGCUUUAGAGGUCUCCGAUGCUUAUGUAAAGAUGGCAUUGGGAAAAAGAUGGAGAGACAAUAAAAGUACGUUGAAAAAAAAUUAUUAUAAGACAAAAACAACCCUCGAUGAGAAAUUGCAAAAUGUCCCGCCGGGUAUGUUGAGGUACCAAUGGGAAGAUGCGGUUAGAUUUUUGCAAUCGAAGAAAGGCGAGGUACGACGUACUUCCAAACUAUUGUAAUUAUUUUGGUUUAUACUAUUUACUAUUUACGUUCUAAAAAUUUUAUAAUGUAGGAUUGUGAACGAGUUGGAAAAAGUAGCCGGCAGCAACAAAAAUUCACUCACACAGCCGGGUCAAGAAGUUUUGCAUGUGUAGCUGAGGCGGAGGUAUUUCUAAUUUUUUAAUAUUCUCAAAUAUGUAUAACUUUCUAUUAAAUAAUAUUUUUACUACUAUAUUGUAGGAACGGGCGUCCGGUCAAAAAGUUGGACGCCUUCAACUUUUUGAAAUUACACAUAAGAAGAAAGAUGGAUCUGCUAUGACUCUUGAAGCUGGUGAAAUUAUGGUACGUUUGCUUAAUACGAUUUGACUUGUUUUAGUUAUUUAUAGUGUUUCUUUACUAAUGGUUUAAUUUAUUGCUUUUAAUGCGACUAUUGUUAUAUUGCAUUUGUUUUUUUUAAUAUAUAUUGUGUUCCUAACUAUGUGAUUUAUUUAUUAGGAAAAACUAAAGGAUAAAAAGACGGAGUACGAAGCGAUUGCGUCUACUGAUAGUUCUAUUCAUCUUGAAGACAUUGACAACCGGAUUAUUACUGAAGUUUUGGGUCCAGAAAAGUAUGGUCGGGUUCGAUUUCAAGGAUCUUUUAUCAGCCCAACCCAAUAUUUUGGAACCAGCUCGCACCAAUACAUGGCUUCGGGGAGUCAAUCUCAAGCUGAAGUUCAGAGGUUAAAAGACCAGAUGGCUCAGAUGCAAGCGACCACAUUUGAGGUUCAAAAGAAAUAUGAAGAACUUCAGCAACAACUUAAAACAGAGGCGGCAGCGAGGGAAGCAGAGGCUGCAGCGAGAGAAGCAGAGGAUCAAAAGAAAUAUGAAGAACUACAACAACGACUUCAAGCAGAUGCGGCAUCGAGAGAAGCAGAGCAGAGCAGAAAGUAUGACGAACUUCAACAGCAACUUCAGAUGAUGAUGAAGAUGUUUCAGCAGUCGCAACUUCCGCCUCCAUAAUGUAUGUUUCAUAAAUAUUUUAAUCAUUUUAACAUUUAACGUUUUUGUAAAGAAAAGUAUGAAUUCAUUUUUAUAUAUUGAUAUUAAUAUUAUUUUAGUCAUUUAAUUUGAAAUAUUAUAUAAAUUUAUUGUUUUUGGUUAGUUUAGAUUUGGUUGCUUUUAUUUUGUUGUUGCAGGAGGGCAGAAAAAAACAAAAAAAAUUUAUUUUAAAAAAAUCCCAAAAUUAGUGGCGUUUUUAAAAAAAGCGCCGCUAAAAGUUAUAUCAUAUAGUGGCGUUUCUGAAAUAAGUGCCGCUAAAGCACACUACUUUUAGUGGCGUUUGUAGAUAAAGCGCCGCUAAAGAAUUUUACUUUUAGCGGCGUUUAUUCCCAAGUGCAGCUAAAGAUCAUGUAAUUUAGUGGCGUUUUCUAUAAGCGCCGCUAAAGAUCAUGGUCUUUAGCGGCGUUUGUUGCACAAGCGCCGCUAAAGAUCAUGAUCUUUAUUGGCUUUUUUUCUAAGCGCCGCUAAAGAACAUGAUCUUUAGUGGCAUUUUUUUCCUAAGCGCCGCUAAAGAACAUGAUAUUUAGUGGCGUUUUUUCUAAGCGCCGAUAAAGAACAUGACCUUUAGCGGCGUUUUUUCUGUAAGCGCCGCAAAAAGUUAGCGGCGAUAUCCUUAGCGGCAUUUUUUGUGGCGCAUCCACAAGCGCCGCAAAUUCCUUUAGUGGCGUUUAAAAGCGCCGCUAAAAACCUGUUCUGGUGUAGUGAAUGUGUAAUUAUUACGGGUUAAAUCAUGAUUAAAUUGACGAAAUGUGCAAAUAUUGUGGGUUAAAUUUUUUAAAUUAAUGACAAUUUGAUAGAAUGUUUAAACUUUGAAGGCUAAAUUUAUCAUUAUACCAAGAAAAUUAUGUAUAAUUGAUGAAAAAUAUUAACGUUGUGAUUAAUUGUCCUUAAUUUAUCACUUUCAAAAAUAGAAAUAAUUCAAUAACUCAGAUAUUUUUAAAAAUACCAACUUUUUCAAUAUCGAAAUUGAAAACAAUUAGAGCCACAUGUUUUAAUAUAUUUACCGAAAUUGGGGUAAUUCUGAAAUCAAUUGCCAUUCUUCAUUUUAAUAUAUUUCAUAAUUAGUUGCUUAUGUUUUUUUUUAUGGUUUAUGCACGCACUGUGUUUUUUUUUUUUUUUUGCAACAAUGAGUAACAUAGACAAUAAAUAAUGAAAUAUUAAGCGCAUAAUACAAAUCUCAAAUAUGAAUUAUAAAAUGGAUAUAAAAUAUACAAAUAAAAAUAUCAGAUUAAUCCUCAUAUUUUUUUCCCUCAACAAAUAAAAUUCAUUAGAAAUUAAAGGGUGUUGCUUGGAGCAAAGCAUCAAAACACCUUAAGAACCAAUCCAUAACCAAAUGGACAGUUACACUAAUAAACCAUAAACUCUAUGGAUUGGAACACUUGGUUAAUUAUGGAUGAAGGCCAGCUUGGAAAUUCAUACUUGAGACCUGCCAACCUUGCAACGUAUAAGCGAGACAGUCAACCGUAAAAUCAGAGGAUCAACAACCAAAUGGCAACAAUCAGUAAAGCCUACAACUGAAAUUUUAAAACUUGAUCAGAAUCCACUUAACAUUAGGCCCUGUUCUUCCAUCAGGCAAAUACCAACAACCCAUUGAUUCAAUUUCGGCCGUCUUUUCAGAAUCAGCCGUAUCAUUAGUAGAUAAUUGCCUACUUUUAUCCCUCAUUAAGGAAUAAUAUAUAUAUUAUAUUUGUAAAGAUACUUGAUAGCUUUAUGCUGACAUUGAUAUGGUGGCAAAUCCUUAAAACAGGGGUCAACCUUACUAGUAAAAGUUUACAUGUUUGUAGCCCAAUGCCAUGCAUGAUGCACUUGAAAUUCAAUUUUGAGGGUAUAAUGUGAAAUGGAACAGUUCAAAUAGUAGUUUUACAAAAACUGAAAUAACCUUUCACAUUUUACCAAAAGUUGCAGCCUCGUACUUCAGUAGAGCAACUCAACCUACAAUGAAAAGGGCGUCUCUAUGGUCACUUUAUAAAGCAUUAGUUUAAGCCAUGAUGAAAAUAGAAGAGUCAAUUACCAUUUGUUUUGAAUUCAAACGAAAUUGAGCUUUUCGCAUACGCACCCAAACUUAUUUCCUUAUUCCAGCUUGGGCGACCGAUCAGUAACCUCCGUCACCUCAGAAUUUUGCACAUUCUGUGCAUGAUCAUAACAAACCAAGAAUUGUUCAAUUAACUAUGUAUGUAUGUAUGUAAAAACACAUGAAUUUAAAUCCUUUAAAUGAUUUGUACCAUUUCAUCGAACAUAUGUUUUAUGGUAGUGUUAAGGUCGCCUUUCCACUGCAGUUCACCUUCCUCAUCUCUUGUUAAGUGCAUUUGUUCCAGCCUUGGUGUGCUUAAAUCUCCUUGGCAGAAAUUCCUCAUUUGGGGGCACUUUGUCACCAUCACCAUUAGCAAGACUGGGAAUUCCAACGAGUGAUGGGCCAAGGAAAAGCUUGCUAGACAUGGCAGACAACUUAGCUGCAAAUACUUCAGUUUGGGAAAUACAAUGCCGCCUUGUAUUUCUUCAGGCUCACACGCUAUGAUUUCCUCUAUCAUCUCACAAUCAUCUAUGCUCAAUCUUUCCAGUAGCCUCAGGCACUUAGCUGUUGAGCAUGCGACUAAAUUGAUGAACCCAUGGCAUCUUGAAACUUCCAGUGUUGUUAGAUUUUUGAAAGACAGCAAAGAUGGUUCAAAAGUCUUUAACGUCAACUCUGGAAGUUGAGACAAACUUAAUUCCUUUAGCUGAUAGAUUGCUGAUGUAUGCCUUUCCUGGUCGCUGAGUCCUUCAGAUUGUACUAUUUGACAAAUGGAAGCAUUGUCUAUAACAAGCUUAUGAAGGAUUGGUAGAGACCGAAUGAAGGAAUACGGAAGAGUAGUGGAUGUCUUGGGAAAGAAUUGGAGGUUAAGAUGCUUAAGGUUUUGGAAACACUGUAAUGAGAGUUGUCCAUCACAUAUCCCCUUCACCAUAUCAUUCGUCUUCAGUGUUAGUUCUUCUAAUACAGGGAAAGUGUCCUGGAUGGCAACGAAUAUAUUAAACAUCGAUCAAAGAGUUUUCAAUUAGUAAGAACUAGACUACAGAAUGAAUAUAAUUUCCAUUUUCUUUCUCAUAAAUUUAAAAGGAAGGUGAGAAUAUUAGUUAUUUCAAAAGGCAUUUUAUAGGUAAUCUCAAGUAAUGAACAUGGAGUAUGAAACUGUUAGUGAGCUCACCUCGUUGACGCAAAACAAGGGUUGUUGGUUUGAGAUUCCAACCUGACUCUCAGGACAUUUUGGAGUAAAUAUCUGUACUUUGGGACAUUCAAUAAUGUCCAUUUGUUUCAGUGAAGGCCACUGGGUGGUAUGCAUCCUAGAGUAGAAACUUUUCAAUCUCGGCACCUUAUCCAAUCCGAGGUUUAUUAGUUUGGGAAAUACAAACUUGGUCGUCUCUGUUUCAGCCAUAAUAGAUUGAGCAGCUGAUGUUGAAUGUGACUCAUCAGCAAUGACUCCUUGCAGCUCAAUAAUUUGUUCUAACGAAUCACAAUUCUGAAUCCGCAACUUCUCCAAACUAGGGAAAACAACCUGCUAAAUCAUUUCAUUAGGUUAAUAACUGAAAUAUGCAUGGAAAAGAAAGAACUUCAAACGAGUAAGAUCAAUCGAAGCAACAUAAAUUAAAAGGAGAACCCGUAAAGAAAUGACCUUUUCAUUGAGGAGAGAUGGGUUAUGAACCUCCAAGUUACUCGCUUGUACAUGUUGGCCAAUUUCAGGUUCAUCUUCAGAUACACAUUUAGUGAUGAAUGUUUUUAGCAAUAGACAAUUUGUUAGUUCUAAAUCUGUCAAACAUUGGAAUUCAAAGUAAUUUUCAAAGCAGAAACUUGUGAGUUUGGGAAGGUCUUUUAGCCACAGCAAUUCUAGUUCAGAGAAAGACAUCUGAUUCCUCCCUUGAUGUUCUUCAACCAAUCCAUCCGUGAGUAUUACUUGUUCCAUCAUAUUACAGUCCAAAAUUUCAAGGCGUCGGAGUUGCACAAGAUCUUUUACCAAGAAAGACGGGAACAGGUAUUUCAAAUUGUGACACCUGUUCACUUGCAAGGUUUUUAGGCAUCCGACAGAUGGGGAGGAUGGGUGGUGCCAUAUCUCAUGAAUGUUAACGAAGGACAAUUCCAGAUGCUGCAAACGAGGAAUGACAACCUGUUGACAUAAAUUUCAUUAUAAGAUAACAUCAUAACUCUUCCUUCUUUACUCACAUAUUUAUGUAGUUUCCAUUACUGAUUUACAUUAAUUACUUAAGUUAUUUAAUGAGUUACCUUAAAAAAGAGUUAGGCAUAGAUAAUUUAUUUAACCCUCCAAUUUUAUAAAAAAAAUUUUAUUUUAGCUCUCUAUUUUAAUUUUUAUUUCUUUUAUCCUUUGAACUUGUGUUAUUUGUCAAAUCAUUCAAAGUAGAGAAAAAAAAAUUGACAUUUGUUAACUUUGCUGAUGUUAUAUACAUUGGAUUGCCUGUAGAUGACAUGUCAACAAUUAAUUUUUAUUUUAUUUUGAAAAUUUUAUAAAAAUAUUUAAAAAUAUAUAAAAUAUUCUAAAAAUUAAUUAAUUGCUAACUUUGCAUACACAUGAAUUUUCACAUAAGCAAAGUUAACAAAUAUAAACUUUUUCAUUCAUUUUGAGGUGAUUUGACAAAAAUGCAAGUUCAAAAGCUAAAAAAGAUGAAAAUUUUAUUUAACAUUAUUAAGCAUUAGUCGUAGCUAUUAUAAAUAAAUAUUAAUAACUUUCGGAUUUAAGAUCUUAUGUUUAAGGGCUUAGAAUUUCAAGUUUAAGAUUUAGGGUUUUAACAUUUAAUUAUAAUUAAUUUUUAUUUAAUUAUGUUUAGAUAAAUUUAUUAGUAUUUAUUUAUAAACCCUUUACUAUAUUUUUGUGGUAUUUACUGAUAAUUGUAUGUUCUUAUUCACCGAUGAUACAUGAAACUUGUGUACCGCCAAUACAUCAAAUAUUCUUCAAAUUAAAAUAGAUGAAGAUUAGUUUUUUAUUUUAUUUUCUAUUAUUAUUUUAUUAUUUAUUGUCCAUUAGUAUUUAACUUUAAAACUUCUCUUAAAUUCUUAUUGUUUAUUAGUAUUCCACUUUUAAGUUUUUCCUUUAUUCUUAUUUUAUAUAUUUAUUUAUACUUUAAACUUCAAAUUAAAAAAUAUUAUCUUAUUUAUUAAUAUUUUUAUGGAUUUUAUUAUAUUAAUUUUUACAGCACGUAUCACGUGACAUUAAUACUAAUAUAUAUAUAUAUAUAUAGACCAGACACACUCAUAUAAAUUAAUCAAAUAAAAGGAAAAUGUGAAAUAAGUUGUGCAGAUAAAUAUUGAAUACUAAACUUACCUUAUUGCUGAAAAAAAUUGCAGGGUUAUCAUAGAUGCCCCCCUCGCCAACCACGUUUUCACUUGCAUCACCACUUCCUCUUGAAACUGAGGAAGAAAAUGUAGUCAUUUUUGGACACUCAACUAUUGCGAUUCUAAACAACUCUGGAAAUUCAAGAGCUUGACUUCCCAAAUAGAAAUUUGUCAAGUUGGAACACAACUCAAUUCUUAUGGAGAAGAGUGCAAGAAAUGUGAAUUUAUCUGUCAUUGCUUCCUCCCUAACCACUUGUUCCAUUGAACUGCAUUCUUUUACUUUUAUCACUUCUAGUUGAUUGAGGCUCAAAAGCAUAGACGAAGUAAAUAUGUAUUUCAAGCUACUACAUUUAUAAAAAUGCAACGAACCAAGGUUUUUGAAGCCCAAAAUUUCUUGAGGGUUUCUAAUCCAUUUUUCUAUUGACUUGGGAAUUGUGUCAGAGAUGUCCAAAUUGUAUCCGUCAUAGAAUUCAUCCUAAAAAAAAAUUUAUAAUAUUAUUCCACUAGAUAGCAAUCACAAAUAGAAAAUGCAAACAAUAACAAAAUAACGAUAAACACUCUUCAAUGAUUAAUGAAGUAUUAAUAAAAUUAAUUGUAUCAGGACAGGAAGAAGCUAACUACUUUUAUGAACUUAUUAAUUAACUUUGUACCUUUUCCGUGUAGAGCUGUUGUAUGGUGGUAUUUAAGUCACUUGCCCAACUCCAUUUCUCACGGGAACUCGACUGUUUUACUCUUUGUAACUGUGGGGUGCUUAAAACUCCUUCAGUAAAGGUCUUUAAUCUAGGACAGUGUUCCACAACUAAUUCUUCCAAACAAGGGAAGUUGAAGGUGUAAUUCCUUGAACAAAAGCUUGUGAGGCUCUGUAAAUAGCUUAGUUCUAAACAUUUCAAUUUACUCACAACUAUUGUCCGAUGGCAGUCUCCCCCAUUUCCCACUAUUUCUGUCAUUUUAGUGCACCACAUCACCCUCAUUCUCGUUAAUUGCACAAGAUUCUUAACCACUAAGGGUGUAACUAAGUUUGUCAUCAUUUGACAAUAUGACACAUUCAAAGUUGUGAGAUUUUGCAAAGAUGAGGAGGAGACUGUAAUAUUUAUCAAAUCAUCACAUUCCCAAACUUCGAGUUUUUGGAGAUUAGAAAGAAUAUGGUCAAACUCCGAAUCUUUCCUCCAUAUAUGAUUAAGAUUCAUGGCACGAUCCAGUAUCAGAUUUCUAAUUGGUGUGAGAGUCCCAACGUCUCCUUUACAAGGGACUACGUAUUUGAAAUCAAAAUCACGAAGCUUAAAACUAUCCAAAUUGUAAAAUCUUCGAAUGAAAGGAAAUAUAGAAGAUCGAGAGCCACCACGCACUUCAAAAACUUUAAUCUCUUGAAACAAGGCUGGUGGAAACUGGUCCAUAUCACCAAAAUUUAAUAACUCAAGUUCCUCUAAAUUGGGAAUGACCUUGAAACCAAUUAAACAUAAACAAGUUAGGCACAAUGUUGAUCUAUAUGCUUAAAAAGAACAUAAGAUCUACAAUUUUGGUGUUUGAUAUUGAUGAUUAAACCUCAACAAAAUCAAUAUUAAAUCAAACUAAUCCAAAAUAGAUGAAUAUUUUGUUUUAAGAAAGCACAAUACCUUAGAAACAAAAAAUGAUAAAAAUAAGCUGAAAGAAGUGCAUAAAAAAUCUGAAUUAAAAUGGAUAAGCAACCACCGUUUCAAAUAAUAUAUAUAUCAACAAGAGAUGGAUGUGACGGUGGCUUAAAUCAUGAAAAGGAAUAUAGUUGUAAUGAUAUACAUACCUCUUCAACCAACAAAACUGGCUGCUCAUUUCCUUGGAUUAAUCUAAGAUGUUCCGAAGCCACUAUCUUUAGCAAAGCAGAACAAUCUGUUUUCAAUUUUUUCAACAGGGGCCAGACUAUUGUAUGUUGCCCUUCAUAGAAACAUUUGAGCUCUUUUAGGGAUGUAACCUCAAGGGAAGACACUUGCGGAAACUCGAACCUCACAGGCUGCUCCUCCACUCCUUCCCCUUUCGAUACAAUCUCCUCCACUCCACAAUUAGUGAUGCGUAAAUGUUCAAGUUGUGGAAGAUGUUGGGCUAUUGACACUGGAAAUAGAUUUUUCAGACUCCCACAUCUCUCAACUCUUAUUUUUCGUAGAUUUUGAAAAGAACCUGGUGCAAAGUCAUUAUGAAACAUCAUUUUCACAUUUCUCAACUUGUUGAUUGUCAUCUUUUCCAACCUAGGAAAUGCAACCUAUAUUUAAUUCGUGCCAGUACAAAAGUUAGCUCAUAUAAUGCCAGACAAAAUAACAAGGACAAAUCAACAGAAUUAUAUAAGAGCGUAAGAGUAAUGAAAUAAAUCACCUUCUCACUGAAGAGAGCGUGCAUGCCGGACUGAUUACUAUUCUGACUAAUGAAUUCUAUUAACUUGGGGCAACGCUCAAUCUUUAGCUCUUUUAACAAUGGGAACUCAAUAUUGUGGUUUCCUGAGUUGAAGAAGAUGAGGUUUGGAAGACCAUCUAUAUGCAGGGAGUUUAAUCGAGGGAAACAAAUCACAUCUUUCCUUCCUUCAUCAAUUUCCUCUGUAAGUAUUAUGUCCCUUAAGCAAUUGCAAUCCUCUAUCUCAAAGCAUUGGAGCUGCACCAGACUUCUAGCGAGAGAGGGUGAUAACAGAUGCUCCAACUUGCCGCAUCCUUUGAUGAUCAAGCUCCUCAAAUUCGUAACCCAAUGGCAUGUCUGGUUGUGCCAUAUUAUUUUGGUGUUAAUUGCAAGCUUUCCAAGUGAUGGAAAACAAAUUGCACAUAUUUACACAAUUAUUUUUAUUCUUUAAAAUCUAAAAGGAGAGGAAAGGGAAAGAUAGAAUGUACAUAAUUUGGAAAUAUGAUUUUAAAUUUUAAAGACAAUUUUAGUUGGAAUUGUUGGUUCCAAUUUCAUUUUCAGAAUUAAAAAAAUUUGUUAGGCAGUCAGUUUGGAUUAGAAAUUAAAUUUCCAUUUGUUUUGAGUUUGAAAUUUAUUUUUGAACCCUGAAAACCAUUAUACAAUAUUAUUUAUUUUUAUUAUUAGAAGUAUUACUAACUAAAAGUUGUAUAAGAAAUAACAAAUAAAAGCAAACAGAUACCUGUUUAUUGAAAAGUGGUAAGGGCUCGGAAAUAAUGGAACACCUUUCGUCUUGAGAGCAAAAGCUAAUGAGUUGCGGUAGAUUUUCAAGUGUGAUGGAGCAUAAUUCAGAAACCCCAAUUUCAUUCAUUGUAAUAUUCUGUACAUGCAUACCAUUUUCGAUGUGAAGUCUCUUUAAAUGUGGAAGAUCUUUCCCAUUAUUUAACUCCACAAGUACGUUCUUGACGCCUUCAAGUCCCUCUAGGUACAAAGCUUCAGUCUUUAUCAGCAACAUUUUCAACCCAUUGUCCAAAUGAAUGUUUGUACAUAACUUGAGCCUCAAUGUUCUCAAACAUUCAUGACUUUGGUACCAUACAAACCUAUUAUAAUCACCUACACAAAUAACGUAUUUGUCCAAAGUUUCAACGAAUCGAUGCUUUGGAAUCAUUUGGGCAUCAGGGAUAUGAACAUAUAAAGUAGAUAGACAAGGCAAAUUGUUUAAUUCGUCAAGGCUUGCAUUUUUCUUCUCAUUUUCAGCUACUCCUUCCUUUUCCCAUUCAACAAAGCUUCCACCCAUAUAUAAUUCUUUUAAUUCAGAUAAACUUGACAAGACAUUUGGUGAGAUGAUUUCGAGUUGUCUACACCGACUCAAAUCUAACAACCUUAAUUGAGUCAAUUGUGCCAUCUCCUUAGGUAGUUCUUUGAUAGCUGACUGAGAAAGGUCAAGGAUUUCUAAAUUCUUGAGCUCUCCUAUGAUGGUUAUGUCAUCAACUGCAGAUUCUUUUAGACACAACAUGCGAAGGUCUGUGAGGUGAAUAAUUGAUUUAGGUAGGGAUGAAAACUGCAUUCUGAACAAAUCUAAGACUUUGAGGCCUUUGGUUUGUUUGAAAAAAUUGGGAGGAAUUUUAACUGCGCCGGCCAUAUGGAAGAAGGAAAGACCUGAACACUCCAUCUCCUUAGGAAGGUUCGCUAUAAUCUGAGGACAACGUAAGCUGACCAGACUCCAGCUAUUUAUUUUCUCCUUAUCGGACCACUCCUUUGGAACAUGAUCUCUCAAAACAAGCAUACGAUAGUCCUUCAAUGCAAUAGCUAAAGCAGCAUCCCAAACAACAU